AGUCAUUUCAAAGUUUAAAACCAAUUCAAACAAUCCCAAAUCAACCUUAUUUAACAUAUAUCCUAUCAAUUAUGCAUCUAUGCAUUUAGAUUUUUAAUAAUCAAUGCAAAUAUCAACAAAGUUCUUCUUUAGACUCUAAAAUAAGUAAAAUUUUCAUAACUUAUAUUUUAGUCUCUACUACUUGGAACACAUUUGAUCUUUCUAAUUACAUACCAUUCUAUUCCAAAUUAUGAAACAUAACCUCUUGGCACUUGGAGAUGUGAUGAGAUGGAUGCCCACGACCUCAACUAUGACCCUUCAAAAUCAUUAUACCUACGCGUUGAAAAUAAACGCGUUAAGUCGGUGAAGACUUAGUAAGUACCCAUGAUAUUCAAAUUUUAUUAAAUUACUUAAUUCCCAAUAUCUCGUUUCUUUGUUUAUUUAUUGUCGAAACCAUUUUUUGAAAACAAAAAAUUUAGGUUGUCGACUCUAAAAAAAUGAAAAUUUGGGAGUCGCCACCAAUCUUUUAUUGAGGUGUGAUUGGAUCUCCUAAAAAAAUGGCUUUGGUCUACGAGUUUUAGAAAAACGGAUCCGGGAGUCAGUUACGUACGAGGAAGGAUUAGCACCCUCGUAACGCCCAAAAUUGGUACCUAGUUAAUUAAUUAGUAUCUUAAGGUCGAGAAUUUGGAAAAAAACGUAAUCCUUAGCAAAACUUAAAAGGCUACGUAUUAAGACCCUUAUUAUUUCAGAGAAAGAAGAUACCACACCCAAUGCGUUAGGGCACAACAUUCUAAUUUUCCCCAAAAUGAAUUGGGCCAAAAUACUUGUACAAUAAAACUUUAAAAGAACAUCCACUAAUCCAAGAUUUAAGAAAUCACAGCCAAUACGUUAGUGCACGAUUCCUCUAGAAUCCCAAACUCGGAAUAUUUCCUUUACUUUAAAAGAACAUCCACUUAUCCAAGAUUUAAGAAAUCAUACACAAUACGUUAGGGCACAAUUCCUUUAAAAUCCCAAACUCGGAAUAUUUUCUUUAUUAUUUUUUAAAAAAAUCUUCAUUUCGAGAUAUCAAUGCGUCACAUCCAAUACGUUAGGACACAACGUGUUGAAUUCCCAAUAAUGAGUUUUUAUUUUUUAUUUUUGAUUGAAGAGAAAUGCUCGAUUUUCAGAUUUAACGAAGAAAAUCGGAACCCAAUACGUUAGGGCUCAAUUCCCUUGAAAAUCCUAAAUACGAACAUUAUCUCAAUUUUUUAAAAAAAUUCUAUCUUUAAAUUUGAGUAAAAAAUGAUGUAACAUGAUUUUAUACAUACAAAUGCUAUAAUAAUAACAAUAAUAAAUACAUCAUCGACAUAAAAUAAUAUAAGCAAAUGAAUAAAACGAAAUAAAAAAGGGUAAUCCAUGACAUGCAAAAUAUUAAAUGUAAACACAAUUAUACAAUGGAUGGGAUAGCAAACAAAUAAAUAAGGAUCAAAAGAUGUACACAUGGAAAUUAUGAAGAUUAAAAAUAUACAUAUAAUUUACAAAUAAAAUUUUAGGUUAUAGAAUUUAUAUAUAAAUACAACACAUCAUAUACUUAUGAAAAUAAGGAAAAAAUAAGUAUAUUUUAAAAAAGGAAAAAAAUGUGCGUAUUUAAUCACUUAAAAACGUAAAUAUAUACAUAUAUAUAUGAAAAUAUUCAUUUAAAAAAAAGGAAAAUAUUCGUUUUUAAAAAAUAUAUAUAUGUGUACAUAUAAAAGGAAUAUAUAUAAAUAAAAAAAUUAGAAUAAAAAUAAUAAUUACACUAUUAAUUAAUAAAAUAAAUAAAAAGAACAUAAAAAACUAAAUUGAAUUGCAAUUAAAAAAUCUGGGGUAAAUCCACAAAUAAAUAAAAGUAAAAGGACUAAUUUGAACGUACGAGUUACAUAGAGGGGCUGGAAGGGAAAUUUUCCCUUCUCCUCUAAAAUGGCGUCGUUCAAAAGGAUUAAAUUGGAAUUUAAAAUAAAUAAAAGGGUAAAUUAAGAAAAUAAAAAAAAACUUAAUUACAAAAACAUUAAAAGGCGGAGGGGCUAAAUAAAAAUAGAAUAAAAUUCGCAGUGGUAUCACCUUCUCCUUUUUUUUUAAAAUCGUAAAUAAGUAAAAAAUAAUCGAACGAAAAAAAUAGUAAGCCACAUUUAAAAAACUGCCAAUCGUUCUCUUUUUUUUUAUUAUUUCUCCUCACUCCCUUUUCUCUUUUUUUUAUUACAAUGAAGGGAGAGGCCUCUAUUUAUAGCCGAGCCUCCCCAAAUCCAACUGUACAGAUCAGUUACAUCAACGGCUGAGAUUAAAGGGUAUCUACAAAUUAAAUCUCUAAGAUUACAAAAUCAUAUAUUCUAAGAUUGCAUAUUUCAUAUCUUGGAUUGCAUAUCAUAUCUAAGAUUGCAUAUCCUCAAAAAUUAUGUUUCCAUAUGUGAGCUCGGGCUAAAAUUGGGUAUUACAGCUGCCCCUAUUUGCUCGUUCUUGUGUAACAGGGACGAAGCAAAGACUUUAAAAAUGCCCGAUUUUGUCCGGUCCUGCUGGAUCUUGGUACUCUUCUUCUUUAAGUAGCCUCAUUCCUUCCUACUGCAUCUUCAGAGGUAUAGGAAUUAGUGCUUCAAUCUACUCCACUGCAACUUCAGGGAGAUAAGACUUGCCAUCUUCAGUCUGCCUCACUGCAACUUCAGGAGGAUAAGACUUGCUUCCUUAGUCUGCUCCACUGCAACUUCAGGGAGAUAAGACUAGAUGCGAUCUGCUCUCUGCAACUUCAGAGAGAUAAGAUCUAUGAUUUUAAUCCGCUCUACUGCAACUUCAGGGAGAUAGGAUUAUCGGCUUUAUUCUGCUCCACUGCAACUUCAGGGAGAUAAGAUUUGUCAUUUUCAGUCUGCUUCAUUGUAACUUCAGGAGGAUAAGACUUGCUUACUUAGUCUUGUCUACCGCAACUUUAGGGAGAUAAGACUAGAUGCGAUCUGCUCUCUGUAACUUCAAAGAGAUAAGAUCUGUAAUUUUAAUCCGCUCCACUACAACUUCAGGGAGAUAGGAUUACCGGCUUUAAUCUGCUCUAUUGCAACUUCAGGAAGAUAAGAUUUGCCAUCUUCAGUCUGCCUCACUGUAACUUCAGGAGGAUAAGACUUGCUUACUUAGUCUGCUCCACUGCAACUUCAGGGAGAUAAGACUAGAUGCGAUCUGCUCUCUGUAACUUCAGAGAGAUAAGAUCUGUAAUUUUAAUCCGCUCCACUGUAACUUCAGGGAGAUAGGAUUGUCGGCUUUAAUCUGCUCCACUGCAACUUCAGGAAGAUAAGAUUUGCCAUCUUCAGUCUGCCUCACUGUAACUUUAGAAGGAUAAGACUUGCUUACUUAGUCUGCUCCACUGCAACUUCAAGGAGAUAAGACUAGAUGCGAUCUGCUCUCUGCAACUUCAGAGAGAUAAGAUCUGUGAUUUUAAUCCGCUCCACUGCAACUUCAGGGAGAUAGGAUUGUCGACUUUAAUCUGCUUCCCACUAUCUUGGAAAGAUAUGAUUUGUCGUCUUCGAUCUGCUCCACUACUGCUUAGGGAGAUAAGAUCUACAAUCUUCAACCUACUCCGCUGCUGCUCAGGGAAACAGGGCUUGGUGGCUUAAAUCUGCUUCCCACUAUCUUGGAAAGAUAAGAUUUGUCGUCUUCGAUCUGCUCCACUACUGCUUAGGGAGAGAAGAUCUACAAUUUUCAACCUUCUCUGCUGCUGCUCAGGGAGACAAGGCUUGGUGGCUUAAAUCUGCUUCCCACUAUCUUGGAAAUAUAAGAUUCGUCGUCUUCGAUCUGCUCCACUACUGCUUAGGGAGAUAAGAUCUACAAUUUUCAACCUUCUCAGCUGCUGCUCAGGGAGACAAGGCUUGGUGGCUUAAAUCUGCUUCCCACUAUCUUAGAAAGAUAAGAUUCGCUGUCUUCGAUCUGCUCCACUACUGCUUAGGGAGAUAAGAUCUACAAUCUUCAACCUUCUCCGCUGCUGCACAGGGAGACAAGGCUUGGUGGCUUAAAUCUGCUUCCCACUAUCUUGGAAAGAUAAGAUUCGCCGUCUUCGAUCUGCUUCACUACUGUUUAGGGAGAUAAGAUCUACAAUUUCACUGAUUUGUUCUCUAGGAAACAUGACCUGUAUAAUGAACCUAUAUUAUGCCUAAGAUUAGGAUGGCAUGAUCCAAAUGCGUCAAAUGCUCCUAACUAGACAUGUGCGAAUGAUGUUUGCAUGAAUGUUUUUUUAAGAGAAUGAUCCCACCUGGGUUGUCAUUGUUCGAAGGUUAUUAAGGCUUUAACACUGACGUGCUACAACGCUUUCUUGCUUGGCUGGCUUUUCUGAAGAAAUAUUUAUUCAGGUUGCCCCCACUGUAAACCUCAAAGUUUAAUCCAUUGGGGCGCAAAAAUUCAUACUAUUGUUCUCCCACUGUAACCCAAGGGUAUGUGGCUUUUCUUCAAUCCUCUCCUAUCACAACUCAAGGAUACAGGAUCUAAAUCUUUCUGGUCUCUUACACCAUUCCUAGGGUGUCGUACCAAAGGCUCAUGCAUAAAUGAAGGCUCUCUUCCCUGAGGUAACCUCUUUCUAUUGCUCGGUGAUCAUUACUUUGUCACCCACCUGACGUCUUUUCAUUUUGUUCGAUCAAUGUUUUUUGACAACAAAAUCCAAAGAAAUAGUCUUCAUUUAGACUCUGCCUUCUCAGAUUUCUAACCUUUUUAAAACUUAGUGCGUUCUAAACAAUAGUCCUGUUUCAGGUUCCUGUAUUAUUUAGAAACUUCUAAACUAAUAUGCAAAACCUCCAUUGUGAAAGUUUUAUUAGUCCAUUAAUCAUUAUUCCAAUGCAACAUGUUUGCUAAAAGGGUAUAAUAAUAGAUGAGAAUACAAUUGGUUUUGAACAUAGCUCGAAAGGAAUAAAUUAUCAACAAAAGUAUAUAAGGAUAGCAAAGAAAUUGAUUGGGAAUGUGUAUCUUGGAAAAGAAUGAAGUAUUCCAAGAAUAACAAAUUCAAUAUAAAAAAAUUGGAUGCCCCAGAUAUCGUAGCUUGAACUUCUCUGUACAAACUUUCUGAAGACCCUCCUGAGUUUGACAUGUGUUUGAGAGAUCUACAGUACUCUGUCGAUGCCUCAAGAUGUCGUCUACCCUUUCCUGUUGAUUCAAGUAUAGCAAGAUCAUCAUAUGCCCCAAUCUAAUCAAAAUUUAAACUGCUCUGAUCACCUCAUGCCCCAUUUUGAUUAAUAUUUGAGCCGUCCUUUUUGGGUUUUCAACUCAAAUCCCCUUUGGUCUCAAGGCGUCCUUUGCAGAUUUUCACAUUGGCCUCUCAUUUUACUUUUUCUUUUUUCCUUUUCUUUUUCCUCUUUUUUUUUGAAAUAUUUUUUGAUUGAAUUUGAACUCAUAGGAUUAGGCAUGUCCUUAUUAUCCCUUCUGAUCGACGCUUUUCCAGAUAAGGCCCUCAAUAUAAGGUCCUUCUAAACUUGGAUAAAAUUCUUUUUGUAUGGGAAAGAUCCUCUUCAAUACCAGGUCCCUCUCAAGGAGUUCUCUAGUGCGGACCUUUUUUUGUGAGCUCGCAUCAUUUUCUUUUGGCGCAUUUGACCAUGAUGGAUAACUUUGAACAUUCCUCUUCAAUUAGAUCUUAAAACUCAGAGUGAAAGAAUCUUACCUUCAAUAGGCAAAACCACGAUAGGCCCAAGAGAAAGUCAUUGCCCCGGUAGAGUUCUUUUUUUUUGCUAUCUUUUCUUUGGGCAAUAUAGCAUUAAUCGUGAACAGACUGCAAACUUUUGAUAUUGUGUUGUUGUUCAAAUUUAGUACAUUGUCAGAUAUGAUCCUUUUGGCGUUCUAUAUGAUUCUUCAAGAAUUGACAUACGAAGCAGCUUCCACAUAUUUAGUAAAGUAAUUGACGAUCACAAAGAUGAAUUGAUUACCGUCAGACUCUUUUGGCGAGAUCGACCAAAUGACCUCCAUGCCCCACAUAAGGAGAAGUCAUGUACCCUGAUAAUUCUUUGUAGGGUGAGAUCCAUUUUCUGACUUGUUCUACCAUCCUUAAUAGGUCCAGAAAUAGGCUACGAUCUAUGACAUCUUCAAAGUUAUGAGAUCCCUCUAAACACAUGUCUCGCUCAGAAGGAGAUUCUGAGUCAGUAGCAGCGUCACUCAUGUCAUUGAUAUAUGAGGACCCAUAGUAAUUGCAAAAGAAUAUACAAAAGAAUGUGUGAAUUUACGAAUGAUUAUUUAUACAAUAUAAUUAUGAACGAAAGAACGAUAUGAAAGAAAAUCCAAAAGAAUGAAAGAAUAAUUACUCGCAAAGAAUGAAAACAUAUUGGCUUAAAUGCAAAGAUGUAUGUUAUUAGAAUAAUGAUGUUCAGACAUGAGCCUAUUUCACAAAGGAAUUCCUAUCGUUUUUAGGCUAAAAGCAACAAGAAUGUUCUGAACAUUACUCUAAACAAGCUCUAAAGACUACAGAGAUUUCUUCCACAAUCCAAUUACUUAUAACACUCCCAAAUUUUAUAAGGGCAGACAUCUAACAAGGUCCCUUUUCAAUUGUGUCUCCGUAUGUGAACUCUUCUCAACACCUCUUCAUAUAUUGCAUUCAUACCAUUAUCAAUCAUGAUUGGGUAGCGAAUUUCCUGCAUUAGAUGAGUCAUCCAACUUGACAAUACCCAUGUUGAUGAAUUUUUCAACUAGCUUUUUGAAGGCAAUGCAAUUCUCUAUUGAGUGCCCCGUAAUUCCCGCAUGAUAAUCGCAUUGUGCACCUGUGUCGUACCAUUUGGGAUACGGGGGCUGUGGAGGUUUCACAUGUAAAGGAGCAACAACAUGCGUAUUGAAUAAGCUUUGAUACAGCUCCUUGUACGACAUUAAAAUUGGCGUGAACUGGAGCUUUUCAGUACCUGGCUUCACAUAUGAUUCUUGCUUUAAAGGAACUUGAUGGCUGGUGGUUUCUGUCUUUAACCGGCCCACAAUGAUUGGUCUUGAGUGGCCCUUGUUAUAUCUACCUUCAUUUUUCCCCUUAUUCCCUUUCUUCCUUGAGGCUUUUAUAGUAUCUGGGUGCUCUACCUUCACCUGUUUUAUUUCUGAUGAAUUGUCAAGAGCAACAGGAUUGGAUUUUGAGUUUGUCAGGUGAUAUACUAGUGUCGAUGUACCAGUCAGAUAUUGUCAGGAUCUGAUAGUAAAGAGUGCCUCUUGUGGACAUGCGUCUGGUUGGGCUGGACACUUAUCAAGGUAAAAUCUGAAGAAUAUAUAGGGUCCUCAUUAUCAUCCCUAAAGUGAGCCUCUAGGCUUUUCCCUUUACUCAAUAACUAGGUUAGCUGGCUCAUAUUUAUUUGGAAUUCUGGCAUCUGAUUCCUCAUUUCUUGUUAAAAUUCAGUCAAUUGCUCUUGCAUCUGUAUUUGCAUUUGCUUUAUUCUCUCCAAUCUUUAGUCCAUGCCUUCUAACUUUGCUUGGGUACUAUAAUGGUGUUCGGUUGAUUGGUUGGUUUCCAGAUUAACUGAGGAAUGAUGUAAAUUAAUUAGAAUCUUUUAAUGUUUUUAAAUGCAUAUGAAGUAAUGCAAUGCAUGAAUGCAAAAAGACGUCAAUUUUGAUUCAAUUCCAUAUAAGAAAACCUUACUAGAAAGCAAAUUUUUUUACAUAAAGCGAAUUACAAGUAAGACUUUGCCCUAGUACCCAGAACUCUGAUCUUCCUAAGUAACAAAACUAAUUCUUGCCCCCGAUCCGAUUCUAAUUCAUACUUCAUACUCAGCAUGUCAGCCUGUACUGCUAAAAUCUGUACGUAAUCAGCUACUUCUCGAAUCUAGACUACAGCUUCCUUCAUAAGAUAAUCUCUGCUCCUAACUUGACUCUGAAAAUGGUGGAGCUGUUCAUUAUUACUACUUUCGUUUGCGUUCAAGUGCUUGAUCUGGAUCUCACAAUUUUGCAGAACCGUUUCUAGCUCUUCCAAGGAAUGCACUUGUUGUCCCUCUUUUGCUUAACUGGUGCAGCGACCCACUACUCACUCAUCCCUGUUAUACCUAUCAGCUUCUUUGAAAAGGUUGGCACAUUUACCGUUCUCGAGUAAACUCUAUCCACUUGAAACUUUGAACAUCGGAGUAAAGCCACAUAUUUUUCUAUCGUAGGUACCAAAUCGACAUUCCCAAAUGUGAAGCAAUUGUAAGCAGGAUUCCAAAACUGGGCGAGGGCUCGAAACAAAUGUUUGUCUACCUUCACAUCAAGCAAAUAAGGCAAGUCCCCAUAAUUGUCGUAAAAUAACUGCCUAGCCUCAUUAUUCCAUUGAUUCCAAAUUUCUUUCAACUCCUGCAAAUUGUUUUGAGUUACACUGAUGCGAGUAAAAUCUCAUAAUUCCGAUACAUACCCAUCGGCCAGGCUAUCACCCUUUUCUUGCUGUGUUGUUUCAGACCAAGUUCGGACAGCCGCAUUGUCCUCCACUUUAUCAAGAAACCCUUUUUCCAUGUCAAGCUUUCUAUCUAGCAACCGAAUCUGAACUGUCGCCUUUUAUGAUGAAAUGAAAUGCCAUGUCAUGUCAUGUCAUGCAAACAAAAUAAAACACAAAAGGUCAGUGUCAUAUAAUAAUAUAAAAUAUAAUCAAGAAACAGUAAAACACCUAAUCGGAUGUCUACUAGGGUUCAGUAUAGUUCUACCUAGGGUGGAUUCCUAAGGUUCAUUAUAUGAAGUUUUGCUUCUAGGGUAAAGGUACCCGAACCAGCAGAUUCCUCCAUCCUCACCCAUUAUAGGCUCAUAUGGAUCGAGUUCGGUUCAGGGGAAUUCAUUUCCCUAUGGCUGCACGGAGAUGAAAAUCUCACGAAGACAUAGGUACGGAUGUAUCCUGGAAGCAAUCCACAACCCUACACGGAGGUGAAAACCUCACGAAGGCAUAGCUUCUCACUCCCACUUAAAAGGGUAAAAAUGUUCAACUCAUGAAAUGCAUAAUGCAAACAAUAUUUAAGGAAUAUGAUAAUGAAUGCGAAAUGAUGUUAUGAUUUUUUUAAAAAAAUAUUUUUCUCGACCGUAAGACAAAAAUUAAUCAACUUUGUGGCUCGACUCUCUUCUUUUUUUUAAAAAAAAUCUCCCUAGUGGAGUCGCCAAGCUGUCGAAACCAUUUUUUUGAAAACAAAAAAUUUAGGUUGUCGACUCUAAAAAAAUGAAAAUUUGGGAGUCGCCACCAAUCUUUUAUUGAGGUGUGAUUGGAUCACCUAAAAAAAUGGCUUUGGUAUACGAGUUUUAGAAAAACGGAUCCGGGAAUCAGUUACAUACGAGGAAGGAUUAGCACCCUCGUAACGCCCAAAAUUGGUACCUAGUUAAUUAAUUAGUAUCUUAAGGUCGAGAAUUUGGAGAAAAUGUAAUCCUUAGCAAAACUUAAAAGGCUACGUAUUAAGACCCUUAUUAUUUUAGAGAAAGAAGAUACCACACCCAAUUCGUUAGGGCGCAGCAUUCUAAUUUUCCCCAAAAUGAAUUGGGCCAAAAUACUUGUACAAUAAAACUUUAAAAGAACAUCCACUCAUCCAAGAUUUAAGAAAUCACACCCAAUACGUUAGGGCACGAUUCCUCUAGAAUCCCGAACUCGGAAUAUUUCCUUUACUUUAAAAGAACAUCCACUUAUCCAAGAUUUAAGAAAUCACACCCAAUACGUUAAGGCACAAUUCUUAUAAAAUCUCAAACUCGGAAUAUUUCCUUUAUUAUUUUUUAAAAAAAAUCUUCAUUUCGAGAAAUCAGUGCGUCACAUCCAAUACGUUAGGACACAACUUGUUGAAUUCCCAAUAAUGAGUUUUUAUUUUGUUUGAUUGAAGAGAAAUGCUCGAUUGUCAGAUUUAACGAAGAAAAUCGGAACCCAAUACAUUAUGGCUCAAUUCCCUUGAAAAUCCUAAAUACGAACAUUAUCUCAAUUUAAAAAAAAAUUCUAUCUUUAAAUUUCAGUAAAAAAUGAUGUAACGUGAUUUUAUACAUACAAAUGCUAUAAUAAUAAUAACAACAAUAAAUACAUCAUCGACAUAAAAAUAAUAUAAGCAAAUGAAUAAAACGAAAUAAAAAAAGGGUAAUCCAUGACAUGCAAAAUAUUAAAUGUAAACACAAUUAUACAAUGGAUGAGAUAGCAAACAAAUAAAUAAGGAUCAAAAGAUGUACACAUAGAAAUUAUGAAGAUUAAAAAUAUACAUAUAAUUUACAAAUAAAAUUUUUAAUUUAUAUAUAAAUACAACACAUAAUAUACUUAUGAAAAUAAGGAAAAAAAAUAAGUAUAUUUUAAAAAAGGAAAAAAAGGUGCGUAUUUAAUCACUUAAAAACGUAAAUAUAUACAUAUAUAUAUGAAAAUAUUCAUUUUAAAAAAAGGAAAAUAUUCGUUUUUAAAAAAUAUAUAUAUGUGUACAUAUAAAAGGAAUAUAUAUAAAUAAAAAAUUAGAAUAAAAAUAAUAAUUACACUAUUAAUUAAUAAAAUAAAUAAAAAGAACAUAAAAAAACUAAAUUGAAUUGCAAUUAAAAAAUCUGAGGUAAAUCCACAAAUAAAUAAAAGUAAAAGGACUAAUUUGAACGCGCGAGUUAAAAUUGGAAUUUUAAAUAAAUAAAAGGGUAAAUUAAAAAAAUAAAAAAAACUUAAUUACAAAAACAUUAAAAGGCGGAGGGGCUAAAUAAAAAUAGAAUAAAAUUCGCAGUGGUAUCACCUUCUCCUUGUUUUUUAAAAUCGUAAAUAAGUAAAAAAUAAUCGAACGAAAAAAAUAGUAAGCCACCUUUAAAAAACUGCCGAUCGUUCUCUUUUUUUUUUAUUUCUCCUCCCUCCUUUUUCUCUUUUUUUUAUUACAAUGAAGGGAGAUGCCUCUAUUUAUAGCUGAGCCUCCCCAAAUCCAACGGUACAGAUCAGUUACAUCAACGGCUGAGAUUAAAGGGUAUCUACAAAUUAAAUCUCUAAGAUUACAAAAUGAUAUAUUCUAAGAUUGCAUAUCAUAUCUAAGAUUAUAUAUCAUCUCUAAGAUUGCAUAUCAUAUCUAAGAUUGCAUAUAUCAUAUCUUGGAUUGCAUAUCAUAUCUAAGAUUGCAUAUCCUCAAAAAUUAUGUUUCCAUAUGUGAGCCCGGGCUAAAAUUGGGUAUUACAUUUAUCAUAUUACAUCUCAAUUUCUUAUUAUCAUAUUCAUUUGUAACUUUUUACUUAUUUCACAAUUUAGUCCUUAAGUCCUCAAAUCAACCUAUAAAAAGUACUACUCUUUUUAAUACAUGUAUCAUAUUUCACCAUUUAGUGUAAAUUUUCAUAAUUCCAUCACUAUUUCUUCCACCCUUUUUUUUACAUUUUUAACUUACUAGUCAUUGUCUUUCUUAUACUCCCUCAAAUACAUUCAAUUUACUUAUGUCUUCACUUUACUAGUUCAAUAUUUCGAACAUUAAUCGGAGAUAAACCUUUACCUUGUAACGAAAAUUGUUUACCUUUUUAGAGAGGCCCAGUAGACUAAAUAGAACUAUUAGGAUAUACGAAACUGAUACAGAGGUGCACUAAAGUGCACUAAUAGAACAAUAGGCACCAAAGUGCAAAGUAGUAGGCACUGAAGUGCGGAACGAUAAACACCGAAGUGCGAAACGGUAAGCGUUAAAGAGCAAGACAAUAAGCGCGCUAAAAUUUCCUUAAUGGCAUGACAUCUAUAUCCCAAUAGUUCUAAUCUCAUCUACUUGGGCAAAUUAUAUCAUGCACACAUAUCACUUUAACACUUUUACAUAACACAUUUAUAUUUUUUUACAAUUUAGUCCUUGUAACAACAAUCCAUAUACUUAUAUCUUCCACUAUCUUUAAUACAUGUAAUAUAUCUCUAAAUUCAAUAUUCAUCUAUAAUUAACUAAUAAUCCUUAUCAUGUAUUUCACAUAUCACUUUUAUAUAUUUUGUAAUUUAGUCAUUAGCACAAUAUUUCAUGUAACAAUAUAUUUUACUUUUAAUAACACAUAUAACGUAAUUCAAUACUUAUUAAUAUUCCAAAAUUCACUACAACAUCAUUUUUUUUCUCAUUCUAAGUGUUAUGCACUUCACUUCUCUAUUUCUAAUAUAAUUUUUUUCAAAUUUACGAUUUAACCCUUAAUUUCCACAACUUAGGAAAUAAUUGUAGUUUGGAUUACAAAAUUCAUAUAUUAUUUUUUUACUAUGUGCUUUAUUAUCAAUAUUUUCUUGCAAACCUUUAUAAUUUUCCAAUUUUGUAACACCCCUUACCCGUAUUCAACACUAGAAUAGGGUACGAGGCAUUACCAGAACACAAACGCUUGUAAACGUAUUUAACCGUAUUAUAAAAUUUCAUCUAAAUUAAAACUUUCAAAUUUUUUUAACAUGCUUUUAUAAUUCUUCACAAUAUAUCCUCAAAAUAUUAUAUUCAUAAUAAAUAGGGCUUACGAGACCCGAUACAUACCUAUGCAAUUCAAUGCGUCAUUUCCAUUUCAUUCAGUUCACAAUUUCUCAUGCUCACAAUUCAAAUCAUAUCACUAGCAAUUUCUAUUUAAUUCACGUACAAUUCAAUAUUAGUAAGUUCAAUACUAAUACGUAUUUACCAUUUUACUUAACGUUUUUCGAUUAUACCAUUCAUUAACACAUUUAUGAAAUUCUCAAUUUUGCAAUGAAAAUAUCACUUUAUCUUAAAUAACAACAUCAAUUCAACUCAUCAUCCCCUUUUUCGUCAUUUUUCACUUCAAAUAUGAACUUACUAUUUCAUUACCUUUCCACACCCAUUUCCUAUGCAUAUCACAUAAGACAUAAACAUAUCGUUCAACCAUAGUCGCAAGCUAGUACAUUUAAGCAUAAUUCUUUUUGGAACUAACCACAUGAUAAACCAUUUCACUAGAGAUUACAUAAUUUAAACCUUACCACCCCUGUCAUGAUCACAAGCAUAUUCCCAUUUAGGCACUUACCAUUUCAAUGCAUAACUUAUAAGCUUAACGUGGCAUAAUCCAACCACAACUUGGUCAAAGCCUAAGCAUGUACAUCAAAUAUGUUAACCAAAUAAACAUAUAGCAUAAGCAUUAUGAGCAUGGAUGAGCACAACAUUUAUUAAUGUAUCAAACUUACCAACAUGUGUUAAUUCAUAAACCAUUCAUGACACUACUUCAAGCUAAAUCAUAUUCCAAAUAUACCAUACACACAUACUAUGAAACUUUAUUUUCCCACAUGAGCUUAAAUCAUGACCAAUAAUGCGCAAAUAUAAGCAUUAUUUCUAUUUCAUCGUUUAUCAAUUAUAAUCGAGCAUAUUACCAAUUAUACACAAAUCAUUCAUAUAUUUCCCAAUUUUCCUCCUCCUCCUUUCCAUUCCACAUCCUUAAUGUGUAUAACACACUUAAACAACAUUAUCCAUACUUUCACUAUUUUUUUGUAUGUAAAUUCAAACUAUCUGUCUGAGUCUGAGUCACUAAUUUAUUUAUAUCUCGAGCUACCGAUCUCCAAAUUAAGAUCCGUUAAUUUUUCCUGAAACUACACUCAUAUACUUCUUACCAUAAAAUUUUUAUAAUUUUUUUUCUUAGCCAAUAAAUAUAUUUUAUUCUUUAAAAUUUCCCUUGUUUCACUGCUCGAUAGUUUUGACAUUUCUUCACUAAAAAUUAAUUAUUUCAUAGUACAGAAUUCAGAUAAUAUUCUCGUUUGUUUCUUUUGAAAAUAGACUCAUUCAUAAUUCUAAAAAUAUAAAUUUUAUCCCAUAAUUAUUUUUUUAAAAUUUUUAAUUAUUUUCCAAAGUCAGAAUAGGGGAUUCCAAAAUCAUUCUAGCUCUAUCUCACUAAAAUUCAAAUAUCUCAUAAUACAAAACUCGUUUGCUUUCUAUAUAUAUUUUAUGUGAAAAUAGACUUCUUCAGAUUUAAUUUCAUAUCUUAUUCACUCUCUAAUUAGAUUUCCACCAUUUUUGGUGAUUUUUCAAAGUCACACAACUGAUGCUGUCCAAAACUGUUUUGUUGCUAAAUUUACUCUUUCAUAAUUUCACUUACUCCAUUGCAUCUUACCGAUGGUUUGAUCAAAUAUCGAGCACAUUUUUCAUAAAUUUUCACACUUAUACCUACAAUCAUUCAUCACAUAGUCAUAUUUAAUUACAAUUAGUCGUUACUUGAUCUCAUGUAUUUUCACUUAGUCAAUUUCCCGAUAAACACUUUGGAAUAAUAACAGAUACAUGGUGGAUCAGCACAUAGCACCACCCUUAUAGUCAAUGAUACUCGGUGGAUUCAGCACAUAGCAACCACCUUCAUAAUCAAUAGUACCAGGUGGAAUCAACACACAACAACCACAUUUAUAAUCAAUGGUACCCGGUACACGUAGUAGCCUGCAUAUAGUACUACACACGUGACCAUUACUAUCUCUUUCACAUAGUGUUCGGCACACAGCCCGUGCCACACAUGUGAUCAUUAUUUUCACUUCAUUCGUAUAUUUUCUAUUCCGGAGGUUCAACUGGGAAAUUUCUCACUUUUAAUAACACAUUUAACUUACUUAACACUCACAUUAUUCAAUUUAGUCCAAAAAUCACAUUUUUGCCAAAAAUACAUUUUUCCCCUAAAGUUUCACAAAAUUACAAUUUUGCCCCUAGGCUCGUAAAAUAAUUUUUAUUCAAUUUCCUUGCAUUUUAGUCCUAGACAAACCAUUUUAAUAACUAUAUCAGUCUACAAUUCUCACUUAUUCGCACACUUGUGACAUAUUUUAUAACUUUUACAAAUUAACUCUUUUAGGCAUUUUCAUCGGAAAUCACUUAGUAAAAGACAUUCAUCACACUCCAAACAUUCAUAUUCUUCCAUAAAACAUCAAAAUACAUGCAUAUCAUUCAUAGAUAAAUUUUUAAACACAAACCCUAGUUCAAAAUAAUGGUAAAACUAGGUAAAUCUUGUUACGAGGAUUUCAAAAACGUAAAAAUCAUUAAAAAAAGGGCUAGAACAGACUUAUAAUCGAAAUGAGAUAACCAUGAGUUGAGAGAUGUGAAAACGUAGAAUAAAAUGAAAGUUUAUAUGGUGAUAAGCCCAUCCGUGUUUGCUUGGCGUGCAUUUGAUGUUAUGUGCUCAACAUAUUUGAUUAAGUAAAUAUGGUAAGCAAAUAUACACAAAUAGAUGGAAUGUGUGUUUAUGUGCACUUGCUUGAAUAAGUGUAAUCAGUAUAUUUAUAUGAUAGAAUCUUAUGUCUAAUUUUUAAAUUAGAAAUAAUAUGGUGUUUUGUUUUAUGUCUUUAUUGUUGAACCAUGAAUAUUAUAAUAGUAUGAAAAUUGAAUUGGAAGAUCAAAUUGAGUAGAACGCGGGAAUGAGUACUUUUGUUUAGUGAUAUGUGAUGAAUUGACAGAAAAUAUCAUGGUUUGACCAUUGCAACAUGUAAAAAUGUGAUUAUGUGUUUCCGUGUAAGACCAUAGCUGGGCUAUGGCUUCGGUGUGUGAUAUGUGGCGAUGUGUAAGACCAUAGUUAUACUAUGGCAAUGUGAAAACAAAAUACUCAAUUUUGUAAGACGUUCUCUAAUUUGACAAAUAUCGGUAAGUAAAAUGGAAGCCAAGUAUUGGAAUUUAAUUAGAUAUUAAUAUUGAGCUCGAGCAAGUAAAUCCAUUGUGUGAAAUUGUGGGUGAAAGAAAAUAAUGGUAAAAAUAGGUAAAUCUUGUUACGAAGAUUUCAAAAACGUAAAAAAUUAUUAAAAACGAGGCUAGAACGGACUUACAAUCGAACUUGGAAGCUUGAAAAACUCUAGCCAUGGUUUCUCCAUGCAAUUUUCGGCCUAGGGGUUGAAGAUGGACAAAAAUUGGCUUUUAAUUUUGUUUUUAAUUCAUUUUAAUAACUAAAUGACCAAAAUGCCCUUAAUGAAAAACUUUGGAAACAUGCCUAACCAUGUCCAUUUUUGUCCACCAACUUAACCAAUGGUCUAAUUACCAUAUAAGGACCUCCAAUUUAAAAUUUCAUAACUAUUGGACCAUGAAUAUUAUAAUAGUAUGAAAAUUGAAUUGGAAGAUCAAAUUGAGUAGAACGCAGUAAUGAGUAUUUUCGUUUAGUGAUAUGUGAUGAAUUGACGGAAAAGACCAUGGUUUGACCAUGGCAACAUGUAAAAAUGUGAUUAUGUGUUUUCGUGUAAGACCAUAGCUGGGCUAUGGCUUCGAUGUGUGAUAUGUGGCGAUGUGCAAGACCAUAGUUAUACUAUGGCAAUGUAAAAACAAAGUACUCAAUUUUGUAAGACGUUCUCUAAUUUGACAAAUAUUGGUAAGUAAAAUGGAAGCCUAGUAUUGGAAUUUAAUUAGAUAUUAAUAUUGAGCUCGAGUAAGUAAAUCCAUUGUGUGAAAUUGUAGGUGACAGAAAACAUUCGUAAGAAAUAGAUGUGUUAAUUUGCUUGGAAUGAACUAUGUGGUUAUGAUGGUAUUACAUUGAUAAUCAAUGCUAAGUCAUAUAUAUAUAUGUAUUUAUGUGAGUAAGUCAGAUGCUUUACGACCUCACCAUCACCCUCCUUAUCAGUAUUGCUUUAUGAUGAAAUUUUUAUGAGAAUCAUGUUGAAUAAGCUCAUAAAUGUGAACUGAAGAGUUCAGUGGUCAAAUAAUUAGUAAAGUAAACAGAGUUAAGUAUAGUGUAACAAAUGAACUUGGUAAAAAUAGGUAAAUCUUGUUAUAAGGAUUUCAAAAAUGUAAAAAUCAUUAAAAAAUAAGCUAGAACGGACUUACAAUCGAACUUGGAAUCUUGAAAAACCCUAGCCAUGGUUUCUCCAUGCAAUUUUCGGCCUAGGGGUUGAAGAUGGACAAAAAUUGGCUUUUAAUUUUGUUUUUAAUUCAUUUUAAUAACUAAAUGACCAAAAUGCCCUUAAUGACAAACUUUGAAAACAUGCCUAACUAUAUCCAUUUUUGCCCACCAACUUAACCUAUGGUCUAAUUACCAUAUAAGGACCUCCAAUUUAAAAUUUCAUAACAAUUGGACACCUCUAACAUGUAGAUCUUAACUUUUAUACUUUUUACAAUUUAAUCAUUUUGACUAAAUUGAGUGCCCAAACGUUAAAAUUUUCAAACGAAAUUUUCACGAAAUCAUUUUGUGAAAUAGUAGACCAUAAAAAUAUAAUAAAAAUAAAUUUUAUUCUCGUCAGAUUUGUGGUCCCGAAACCACUGUUAUGACUAGGCCUAAAAUCGGGCUGUUACAACUCUCUCCCCUUUAGGGAUUUUCGUCCUCGAAAAUCUUACCAGAAGAAAUUACUUCCAACUCUCAUAAAACACUUCACUAACUUUCCAAAAUCACUAAUCAAUUUAAUCUUGUAUGUCUCUUUUCAAUAAAUAUAUCUCUAAGGAUAAAAGAAUAUAUAUAUAUAGAAUAUCCAAAAAAGAUCAUCGUGUUCAUUUCGAUUAUAAUUGUCACACACAGGCAUCUUUACCACUUAAUUAUCAUUUCUCUAACUAAUUCUAUUAUCACGAAUCUCACAUUAUUCCAUUCACUAAUAAAAAUCAAUUCAGAAGAAUUUUCAGUUAAUACAUGCAUUCUUUAGGUAUCAUACCUGAAUAUUUUGUCUCAUCAAAUUUAACUUCUUCUUUAACAGUGGCAUUACAUAAUAUGUAUAAUCUUUAAAAUAAUCUGAUAUUUCUUUUAAAACUGAGUUCAUUUGUUACACUAUACUCAACUCUGUUUACAUUACUAAUUAUUUGACCACUGAACUCUUCAGUUCACAUUUAUGAGUUAUUCAACAUGAUUCUCGUAAAAAUUUCAUCAUAAAGCAAUACUGAUAAAGGGUGAUGGUGAGGUCGUAAAGCCUCUGACUUACUCACAUAAAUACAUAUAUAUAUAUGACUUAGCAUUCAUUAUCAAUGUAAUACCAUCAUAACCACACAGUUCAUUCCAAACAAAUUAACACAUCUAUUUAUUACGAAUGUUUUAUGUCACCCACAAUUUCACACAAUGGAUUUACUUAUUCGAGCUCAAUAUUAAUAUCUAAUUAAAUUCCAAUACUUGGCUUCCAUUUUACUUACCGAUAUUUGUCAAAUUAGAAAACAUCUUACACAAUUGAGUACUUCGUUUUCAUAUUGCCAUAGUAUAACUAUGGUCUUGCACAUCGCCACAUAUCACACACCGAAGCCAUAGCCCAGCUAUGGUCUUACAUGAAAACACAUAAUCACAUUUUUACAUGUUGCCAUGAUCAAACCAUGGUCUUUUUCGUCAAUUUAUCACAUAUCACUGAACAAAAGUACUCAUUCCUGCGUUCUACUCAAUUUGAUCUUCCAAUUCAAUUUUCAUACUAUUAUAAUAUUCAUGGUUCAAUAAUAAAGAUAUAAAACAAAACACCAUAUUAUUUCUAAUUUAACAAUUAGACAUAAGAUUCUAUCAUAUAAAUAUACUGAUUACACUUAUUCAAGCAAGUGUACAUAAACACACAUUCCAUCUAUUUGUGUAUAUUUGCUUACCAUAUUUACUUAAUCAAAUAUGUUGAGCACAUAACAUCAAAUGCAUGCCAAGCAAACAGGGAUGGGCUUAUCACCAUAUAAACUUUCAUUUUAUUCUACGUUUUCACAUCUCUCAACUCACAGUUAUCUCAUUUCGUACAUUAAAACAUACUUAUCAUGAACUUCUAUUCAUACCUUUCUAAAUUUCAUUUAUUCAAUAACACAUUUCAAUCGCCUCAAUAUAAAUUUUCAGCAUUAUUGGAAACAAUUCGGUUAGAAGUCAUCUCUGUCUUAACAAAUCAAUUUCAUUAGAGCCGAAAAAUAUUACACUAUCACGAGUAAUAAUAUGACAUGUAUAGCUAAACUCACAUACGCUAUGUUAGUCCGAGAACCGACUAAACCAUAGCUCUGAUACCACUAAAUAUAACACCCCUUACCCGUAUUCGACACCCGAAGAGGGUACGAGGCAUUACUAGAACACAAACGCUUGUAAACGUAUUUAACCGUGUUAUAAAAUUUCAUCUAAAUUAAAACUUUCAAAUUUUUUUAACAUGCUUUUAUAAUUCUUCACAAUAUAUCCUCAAAAUAUUAUAUUCAUAAUAAAUAGGGCCUACGAGACCCGAGACAUACCUAUGCAAUUCAAUGCUUCAUUUACAUUUCAUUCAGUUCACAAUUUCUCAUGCUCACAAUUCAAAUCAUAUCACUAGCAAUUUCCAUUUAAUUCACGUACAAUUCAAUAUUAGUAAGUUCAAUACUAAUACGUAUUUACUAUUUAACUCAACUUUUUUUUGUCAUGGUCAAACCAUUACUAUCUCUUUCACAUAGUGAUCAUUAUUGUCACUUCACUCGUAUCUUUUCUAUUCCGGAGGUUUAACCGGGAAAUUUCUCACUUUUUUUUCACUGAUCAAAGUCGAUUUCUCGUCUUUCUUGAUUUAUAAUAACACAUUUAACUUACUUAACACUCACAUUAUUCAAUUUAGUCCAAACAUCACAUUUUGGCAAAAAUGUAGUUUCACAAAAUUACAAUUUUGGCGUGCAUUUGAUGUUAUGUGCUCAACAUAUUUAAUUAAGUAAAUAUGGUAAGCAAAUAUACACAAAUAGAUGGAAUGUGUGUUUAUGUACACUUGCUUGAACAAGUGUAAUCAGUAUAUUUAUAUGAUAGAAUCUUAUGUCUAAUUGUUAAAUUAGAAAUAAUAUGGUGUUUUAUUUUAUGUCUUUAUUAUUGAACCAUGAAUAUUAUAAUAGUAUGAAAUUUGAAUUGGAAGAUCAAAUUGAGUAGAACACAGGAAUGAGUACUUUCGUUUAGUGAUAUAUGAUGAAUUGACGGAAAAGACCAUGGUUUGACCAUGACAACAUGUAAAAAUGUGAUUAUGUGUUUCUGUGUAAGACCAUAGCUGGGCUAUGGCUUCGGUGUGUGAUAUGUGGCGAUGUGUAAGACCACAGUUAUACUAUGGCAAUGUGAAAACGAAGUACUCAAUUCUGUAAGACGUUCUCUAAUUUGACAAAUACCGGUAAGUAAAAUGGACGCCAAGUAUUGGAAUUUAAUUAGAUAUUAAUAUUGAGCUCAAGUAAGUAAAUCCAUUGUGUGAAAUUGUGGGUGACAGAAAAUAAUGGUAAAAAUAGGUAAAUCUUGUUACGAGGAUUUCAAAAACGUAAAAAAUUAUUAAAAACGAGGCUAGAACGGACUUACAAUCGAACUUGGAGGCUUGAAAACCCCUAGCCAUGGUUUCUUCAUGCAAUUUUUGGCCUAGGGGUUGAAGAUGGACAAAAAUUGGCUUUUAAUUUUGUUUUUAAUUCAUUUUAAUAACUAAAUGACCAAAAUGCCCUUAAUGAAAAACUUUGGAAACAUGCCUAACCAUGUCCAUUUUUGUCCACCAACUUAACAAAUGGUCUAAUUACCAUAUAAGGACCUCCAAUUUAAAACUUCAUAACAAUUGGACACCUCUAACAUGUAGAUCUCAAAUUUUUCACUUUUUACAAUUUAGUCCUUUUGACUAAAUUGAGUGCUCAAACAUCGAAAUUUUCGAACGAAAUUUUCACGAAAUCAUUUUGUGAAAUCUGAGAUCAUAAAAUUAUAAUAAAAAUAAAUUUUAUCCUCAUCGAAUUUGUGUUCCCGAAACCACUGUUCCGACUAGGCCCAAAAUCGGGCUGUUACAAAUUUAAUCACCUUUUAUGAUAAAAGUUGUCUAUUCAUUAUUAAAUAAAAUUUUUUUCACAUCUCACUUAUUUCACACAAUUAAUUACACUAUCUCAUUUUCCACAUUAAAUUUCUAUGUAUUUCACUUGUAUUAUUUCCACCACAUGUAUUUCUCAAGUCCUUUAAUUUAAUCCUUGUUUCCAUAAAAUUUCACAUUUUCCCAUAAUUUUACUUAUCUAAUACUUUGUAUAUAUAUAUUUGCUAUUACAUAACCCAACUAUUAUUCUUUUAUUAUAAUUUUCUACUUCACAUAAUAAAUUAUUUCACACUAUUUUUUUACUUAAUUACUACUUAGCUUACAAAGAUCACAUUUUAAUCCUUAAAUAACAAGGAAGUUCAUGGGUACUUACCUCUUUUCCAUCAAAAUCUCUUGUUUUGCUCUUCUCUUACCACUUGAUUCACUUACUCAACUUCUCUCUUCAUCAACAUGUCAAAAACACAAUAUUUUCUCAAGAGAAAUCUUUACUUUAACACCAUUUUUAUGCUUUUCUAUCACUACUAAACUUAAAAAUAACAUAAAACCUUAACAUCCAUACCUUAUUCUCUUGAAACCAAACUUUAACUUGACUUCCUCUCUCCUCCAACUUCUAUUUUUUGAAUCUAACUUUAUAUUCUAGCUCCCCAUAAUCUCCUUAUUAUUUUUCUCUCUUGGUGGCUAUGGAAAUUCUUUUGAUUUCUAAGUGAAAAUGGUAAAUUUUUUGUGAAAGGACCAAAUUGUAAAGAAAAUAUUUUUUCUUUCUUUUCUGCUUCUCAUGUUGGAAGCAUGAAAAGAUGAAGAGAAUUCUCUAUCUUUCUUUCCUUAUAUAAUAAGUAAAAAUUAAUAAAAUAUAAAUAAAUGUCAAAUCAAAAUAUUAAUAAACUAAUAUUUAUUUAAUUAAUCUAAAAUAUCACCAACAUCAUCAUUACUCUUCAAAAUAUCUUUCUUGUUAAAUGAUCAUUUUGCCCCUUAUGAUCCUUCAAAAUUCCUCCAUUGAAUCAUCACUCAUUUUAGUAAAAUUACGAUUUAACCCCCUCAUACUUUUUCCACUUAUUCAAUUCGGUUCUAAUUCAUCCAGAUUCCUUAGUUUCUAGAUCCUUCCACCCUUAAAAUAUUUUCACUAUUGGUCCUUCAACUUUUCCAUAUUUACACUUCAACCUCUCAAACUUUGAGUAUUUACUCUUGGGCCACAAAAAUUUUCUCACUUUUUCAAUUUAGUCAUUUCUUAAAUUAAUACAUCAUAAUAUAUUUCUUAAACAGAUUUUGUUGACAUAACUCAAAAUUUCUCUUUUUUCCACUUUAUUUCAUUAUUUUACUGUACCAAAGACAAUAUCUCACUUUCUUACUGUAGUAACUUUCGGGGUGUUACAAUUAUUGUUGUUUAAAUUUCAAAAAUUUUGAUUAUCAUUAUUAACAUUUUCAAGUUGGAGUUUUUUUGUUGUCAUUACACAUUAAUGCCUUAUUUGGUUACUAGUGUAAUAAUAUGAGAAAAAAACUUAGUUAUUAGAUAUGUAUUUCUAAGGUAGAACUUGCUCGGAAGGGAAUAGAACAUGAUUCAGUCUGUGGGGUUUGUGGUCAAGAUUCUGAAGAUGUACUUUAUGCUACUAGAGAUUGUUCUGUUGCGAGAAAUGUUUGGGACCACUUAAUUCCAACCGAAUGGUGUUUUAGGUUUUAUGCAAGAAAUCUUCAAGAAUGGCUUGUUCUAAAUUUGCAAAAUCAACAUAAUUGGCAUUUGGGAGGUGCUGACUGGCAAUGUCUAUUUGGGAUCAUCGCUUGGCGCUUGUGGAAGAACCGCAAUAUUUUCAUUUUUCAAGGUACUUCAUGGACCAAUAGUGAAAUUAUCAAAGUGGCAAAUAGUUGGGCUAAACAAUACUUUUCUUCUAAAGGGAGUAAGGCAAAUGACUCACAAGGUAAGUUUCCACUUCUAUUUUUAAAUAAUGACUAUGUCCUUUUGAGUACAGAUGGAUCCGUUUUGGAGAAAGCCGGAUUUGCAGCGGUAGGAGGUAUAGUACAUGAUCGAGGUGGAGCUUGGAUUCUUGGAUUCAAUAAAUAUUUGUGGAAUUGUUCUAUAUUUGAAGUUGAGCUGUGGGGUAUUCUAGAAGGUUUAUCUCUGCUCGUGGAGUUGGGAUAUGAUAGCGUAUUGAUCCAUUUUGAUUGCUUGGAAGCCAUUACAACUAUUCUAGAGGGAUCUUCUGAAGGGUCCAAUUCUGUUUUGGUUCGAAGAAUUUAUCAAAUACUGUUGUGGUUUAAAUAUUGGAACAUUAGAUAAAUUUCUACGGGGGAAAAUCAGGAAGCUAACCAUUUGAGCAAAAUGGCCUAACAUAGAGAUUAUGGGUUAUGUCUGUUUUUGACCUCUCCUUUAGAAUGGUUGGUCUAGUUAUUGUAAUAUGUUUUUAUUUUUACUUUUUUACCAAAAGAGAGAGAGUAAAGAAUAGUUAGUACAAAUUUAAAUUUGAAACUAGAAAUAUGAGUAAAAACUAUUGUUAAAAAUAAAAAAUCUUCAAAAUAAGCAAAAAAAAUUCCCUUUUUUUUUUUGCUAAAAAUAAGUCAUAGGAAUGACUAAGAAAUGUUUGAAGCUUUCUUUGUUUCUUAAGUUAUGAAGGAUGUCAAGAAGAAGAAAUGUUUUCAUAUUUUAUAUUAUGAUUAUAACUUACGUAAUUAUAUUUUUAUCUUAAUUAAUCAAAAUAUAACAUUACGUCUACUAUUUCUUAUUUUUGCAUGGUCUAUUUGCUAUUUUGAACCUUUAAUUAAUUGCAAUUUAAGUCUCCAAGUCAUUUCCUAAUAAAAAUCUAUAGCGAUUGAACUUUAUAAUUUAAUCCCUUAACCUCAAUUAAACACAAUUUUGACUAAAUUAACUAUUCAAAUUUCUUUUCAUCUAUAUAUUAACUUUAUAAAUAUCUUUAUUCAAUAUUUACAAAUUCGAUUUAUGAAAACAAUACAAAGAACUAUAUUUUUUGGCCAAGAGAUGAUUUUCUUUUCUUUUCUUAAACGAAGAGAAUAGUUUUCCUCGGUAAAGAAAGGCUGACAUUGUGAUAUUGAAUCAUGGGAAAAAGGAGAAACCCAAGUUUAUUGAUUCCAUCAUUAAUCCUAUUAUCAUUCUCAAAUUGUCAAAUUUAAAGCUACAACCACCCUACCAGCCUACUACACAUGCGGUCUUCACCAUUCGUUUGGGGGAAUUCUUUAUUAAGCUGCAUGAAACAAGCCAUGAAAUAUUUAUCUAUCUGUCUAUAUAUAAAAUACAUACUAAAAAGAGUGGAACAGCUGGAUCCAAAUCCAAUAGGGGCUCUCUUUUCAAGGCCGUAGAAGCCAUCAAUUUUAUAAGCAAUAGCAGGCAAGGGAAAAGAAGGGUAAUGGGUGGGAGGUCAAUGCUUGCUUGGAGUUAGAUAUGGAAAUUGGAGCUCUGCAAACCGGUCUAAUAUAAGCUACAAUCCAAAAUUUAAAUGAUUUGGCAUUGAACUCUUUUACAAACAUUUGCAAUCAAAGUGAGAAUGCUGGAAAUCGCUAACUUCUUUAGUUGUUUUCACUCAAAUAUGAACAUAAAUGGUGGUGAAUAGGGUAGCCAAAAGUGGGUUACUAAAAGUAAUUGUAACUUUCCUUCAAGAGCACUAAGAAUCAUUUAUUGCAAUUAUUGCCUCUAAGGUCAUACUUAUCCAUUGUCUAGGCUCUAGACCCUAUCGCUAAACUUGCAUAAUAUUUCAAAUGAAUGGUAAUGAAUUUCUAAUUAAAUGACAAAGGUUGAAGACUAUUUGAUGCUCUUUUUCCGAUGUGAAAUACUCCUUUGACCCCAAUAAUGUUUGCUUCCUUAAAAACAUGUAUGACAGCAAUUACAUAGUACUAUAUGUGUAUACAUCUCCAAUUAGCUUAUACUCGAAAAGAAAAUAAUUCAAAACUUACUAGGCAAUUCCACUUUAGUCGGACCAACUCACGAGAAGCUUUGGGUGUAAUGUAAUGUAAUGUAAGGACCACCAACUUGUAUGAAAUGAUGGCAGCUUUAGAUUGCUUGUUUGUUGGCCAUGCAUGCCCCAUGCUCCAUCCAAUUAGAGCAACCCCCCUCCCCCUUCUGAAUCCAAACCUGUGUACUGUUUUAUCCCCUUGUUUUUCACACGCAUGCCUAUUUUUUAAUCAAUAUAAUAAACCUAGUUUCUUCUCCCACCCCCAUCUUCAAUUCUUCCACUUCAUCAUGAUUAGUUUACUAGGCUUUUGAUUCUUCCAGGCUGUCCUCUAAUUAGUAGUUAUAGAGUUAGCUUGAUUACUAUGAACCUUUGAAAUUUGAAUCCAAAUGUGGGUAAUCAACAUAUCAUUUAAUUCCUCAUUAAUGAAUCUUUGCAAUUGGACGUUGGUAGCUUGAGACUUUACUAAAGCUAAGCUAGCUUCAGGUCAAACCAGACCAACCUUUGAGGUUCAACUUUUACAAUAAAUCAUCUCUCGCUUCAUAUUUUCAAGCUUCCCAACCAACUUUUUGUUAUAAUUAAUGGUAUCCCAUUUCUUUUUAUUUUUUUAAAUAAAAUUUUACUUUGAAUUUGAUGUAGUUUAAUCAGACUUGGAUGGUGGGAAGGUCUGAGAUUCAUUAAAUCAAAAGGUACCACAAAAGCAAUUACAAGCUUUAAAAUGGUUACAACUUACAACUGGGCGCAUACAUAUACUACCACUAUUCUCCAUUCCAACCAUUCCUUAGGUUUACAGCUCGUUGAGUUAGAAUGAUAAGCCGAAAAUAUUCAAAAGAAAAAAGAAAUUAUUUAAAAGUGUUCAGGAACUCAAAUCAAAUGAAUAAUUUAAAUUAAUAUGUAUCAUUAGUUUAUCUUUAUUGUUUCUUAUCUCUAAGGGUAAUUUUGAAUAUUGAAUAUUGCUUAUAAAAAAAAUUAAUUGAAGAAAAAAGAACUAAUAUAAAAUACAGAGUGUAUCAAAUAAAUUCAAGGUAACACCACAUUUCAUUCCCUUUGAACUUUGAAGAUACUUGAUUUCACCAUCAAUCCAUUGAAUGCAUAUAUUGUUUUCAAUCAUAAACAUACCUCUUUGCUCUCCUUAAUUACAAUUCCUUUUCUUUGUUGGAACCAACCUUAGAGUUUUCACAAGCUAUUUACACGUAUGACGAGUGAAACAUAAAUAGUGAGGCUUGGGCACUUGUGUUGUGGGAGUUGUGACAUCUUUCCAAUCCAAAACCAACCAAUGCGACCCCAGCUAGCAGUGAUGAUGAGAUCCUACAGUUAAAAAAAUUUGGAGAAUGAUGUGUCAUUUUCAGCACCAUCCUCAUGAAUCUGAAAAAUCAAACUUUUGGGACCAUAUCUUUCAUUUUCAUUUAACAAAACAUGACAAAAGAAUUUGCCCAAUGCCACAAACUCCGAAACAACACUCGCCAAAUCAUACGUCAUGUUUGAGUAGGGAGAAUCUCAGAUGUACCCAGAAAAACAAGCACCAUAUUAAUACACUCGUAAUAAAUUUAUAAAUGAAACUGGCUGAAAAUUGGGUGUUAGCAUAGGGGUUAUAUAAUGAUGGGUGGUAGAGUUAUAAAUAUGCAAGCCCACAGCUGUAAAGAGUGGUCGUCCCUAAAACACUCAAUUCCAUCAUCGUCAGAGGACGGUACGAUACAAGGGUGGACUUAAUGGUGAACCGCGUGGAGUUUGUUUUGGUUUAGUGAAAGCACACAGCAUUUGGCUUAAUUAACCAUUUGUCGUCAAUCUUCACCAUGCUUUCUUCCUGUUUCCGCGUAUCAAUGCCCUUUCCCACCUUAAUAUUCAAAACUAAUGGGGCGGUCCCUAUUAGACCUGUGGAUUUGAAUAGGAGUAAUUCUCAGAUAAAUUUUGGACAUUAUUUUGAAAUUAAAUCAUUCCAACUUUCUGUUUAUUCAAUUAUUUAGAUUGAAUUAUAUUGUUAAAUUUAUCAAUAUAAUUAUAUUUAUUAUGCAUGUAAACUUUUAAAUCGAUCCAAUACUUUUAUAAUAUCAAUCUAAAUAUUGAAUUUUUUAUUUUAAAUUUACAUUAAAUGAAUAAAUAUAUAACUAUUUUUGUUUUUCCACCUCAAUGAAAUACAUUUUUAAGAUGAAUGAGAUUCAUUUAACUUUUUUAUUCUAUUUUUAAUCAAAUUGCAUUACAUUUUGUCUUUCUUUAAGAAUUAACGUACGCAACAAUUCUAGGUUGCUAACGAACAUUUAUAAUUAAAUAAAAGCAAAAGAUGUAUAGUAUGAUUGAAUCUUGUGUAAAAUUCGUUUUUGACCCAAAUAGGGGUAAAAUUGUAACACGACCCUCACUUGGGCAAACGGGCAACGUAAUGAAACACUAGAGCUCUCGUCUUUUUAAGCUAAUCACAUCCACAAUGAGGAUCCAUUCUACCAAUGAUUUCACUAACAAGUCCCUCCCAUUUUUACAUAUUUACAUUUAUACCACCCUCAUCUCUAUUCAGGGAUAGAACUCAACACAGCCUUGAACUUCCCUCUCCCUACUCUCCCUCUCUUCUCCCCGCCGUUCCCACCACCAGCACCGGCGGCGGGUGAAACCUUCCGGCGAGGAGACCCUUCAGAAAACGCGAAAGGGGUAACCGCCUUACUCCCGCGCCUGCAUUUUUCAGAGGCGGUGGUUUUCAUCAAAGCGGAGCUGGCUUUGACGGCCAAUGCAGCCAUUUCCUCAGCUUGUAAAGGAUGGUUGAGCCAACUCAAGGGCAAAGCGAAGUAAAGUUGACCGGGUUGAAGCUCCUCGUCUUCCUCGAUGGCGGAUACGAAGUCAUCGAAGUCCAUCUCAUCGGCGUUGCAGAUGAAACACAUGGGAUUCUUCUGCAAAACGUAAGAAGCCUUGACGGGGUAAGGAAACUCUUGUAACCGCCCAUCAUGGAGAAUCAGCUUGGCAGUUGCUACGUGAGUCGAAUCGCAAGAACUACAAAUACCCAUUUUCUAUUUUCAGAUUUGUGGAUUUCAACGUCGAAGCUGUCGAUUUUUUUUGGAAUAGAAAGCUUUUUUGAAAAUGUUGGUGUUGGAGAGCUGGGGGAAGUUUAUAAUAUAUAUAUAGAGGAAGGAUGAAAGGAGAGAUGUCUCGGAUUUUGGACCAGGUAGCCACGUAGGAUUUUGUCGUGACGUAGUAAUAAACAUAUUUAUGGGAACAGGAACAGUAGGCAGGGUUGCCAGGCUGUAAGUUAGUGGUGACAGGUUGUAUAAGGAGUGAGGAUGUGGGUCUGAACACAUCAACCCUGGUUUCGAGAUGAUAUUACGUUGACAGGGACUGCUGAGCUUUUUACAGUUCCAUGGGAUGAUUUCACUGCUAAGUGCAAACAUAAUGCAUUUAAUAAAAACGGUAACCAUACCAAUCAAGGAGUUUAACAUGUCUUUGCUUUAUGUUAUCAUAUUUCACUGUUUACCAUUGGUUUUAAAUAAUGCUUUUUAAGUUAGCAAGGUUACUGUAUAGGUUUUCAAGUUUUGAAAUUGAGAAAAAGUGUUUCUCAAGUUCAGUUUCUUUUACCUUUCGCUUUUUCUUUUGAAUUAAAUUAUUCAUUUAUCAUCUUCUUUUUCUUUUUUGAAAUUUAUUUAAAAUACUAUAUUUAUAUGCAGGUUAAAUUUUAUAAAAAGAACGUGUAUAUUUAUUUUUAUAUUAUACUUCUAUUAAUUUUAUUUAUAGAAUCUAAAAAUUCUACUAAUAGUCUCAAAAAAAAUUUAACUGUAAUGUGGGUGAGUUGGCAACUCAAACAUUCAAGGAAAAUACUUAAAAGUAAUGGGUAUUAAUAUGUUGUUUACAUUUCUUUUAUUCACACAUUGAGUAUAUUAUACUUAAAACGCCAACUGAAUUAUGAAAUAAUAAUACUUUUUCACUAAAUUAUAUUAUUAAAACACCAUAACUAAUGACACCUAAGUUUUUAAUAAAUAUACUUUUACAUGAUUCUGUAUGCACAUUUACAAUUAUUAUAAAAAUAAUAUAAUAAGAAAGAGGAAGGGGUAUGUUAUAUGGGGAAAAAAAGGGGCGAGAUAAAAUAGGACAUUCAUUCUAUAAAAGGUCACUAAAAAUAAGAGGAAGGUAAAUAGAUGGAAAAGGAAGGGUAUAAUGGAGAAGUAGAGAGAAACGUGGCAAUUGAAAAUCAACCCAAGGAAGCUAGGGGUGCAACUGUGCAGGGCAAAGCAAAAGACACGUGGAACAGAAGGGCCUUGGGAAUAGUAAACUCGCAGCAUUCCGACAAGACAUGGCGUAAGCUCAUCUGGUUUUGCUGCUGCUCCCUCCCUGUUUCCUGCUGCCCCGCCCUUUUUCUAAUAGUUAUUAUUUCCCCAUAUAGCCCAUGUAUUAUUAUCUUAAAUUCUAAAUCUACAUAACGCAACAUGAAAGCAUGGACAAUGUCGGGACUUUCUUCUACUCGUAUAUUUUAUAUAUUAGGUCUUGUAGGGUUUGCAUGUGCAUGAGUGAUGGAGUGAGAAUACAAUUUUUGAGCCUCCCUUCCUUCCAUGUUUCGUGAGUUGAUUAAUGCCACUAGGUAAAAAUCUAUGGUUUUAUGACUUAAAUGUUAGUUCUAGCUAGUGGCGAUUGAAACAAACAACUUGGUCAUUCUUUGAACUGAAUUAGACAAGGGUAUACUAUUAAUUGGUUUUGCUUUUUUGUUCCCAUAGAAUACAAUGCAUGAUUUUAGUUGUUAUCAUUUAUCAAUCUAGUUCCGUACGUGCAUGGUUUUCAAUUGUUAAAAAGCAAGGAAUUAUUGGUAAUAAUCGAGGAAUGAGCAACGUUUCCCACUACGAUUAAUCCUUUGCAUGAAGCUUCAGAGGAUUGGGGUACCUAUUUCUCCCCCAUUCCAUCCACCCUAGCUAUAGCUACUUGAAAAAGAAAAACCCAAUUUUUUAAUCACAAAAAAAUGGCCUCACAUGAAUGCUGUUCAUUUCUUUAAUCUCCCUUUGUUUCUCUUAUUUCAUUGGAUGCCCUCCAUAUUCCCUCUUUUGACUUUCAUCACUUUUGAAACCCAAUCUUCACCCCCCUUUUUUUUUAUUGCGUUUUAAUUUUGUUGUUAGUUUCGGUAUUGUUAUGAAUUUUAUCAAUUUUAGUUAUAUAAUUUCAAUCCUCAAGUUUGAUUUUUUAAAUCAAAUUUUAUUAUUAAUCCUAUAUUAUAGGUAAGUUGUGAAUUUAGUCAUUAUUUUCUAUUUUAAUUCCUUCAAUUUAGUUAUUUUUAGUCCUUAUAUUAUAAGUAAGAUGACGAUGUAUUUUUGUAAAUAUUAUGUGAAAAUAACAAGCUAACAAUAUUAUAUUACACAUGCAAUAUAAUAUUAUUGAGUAAUAUUUUUCUCAUAUCCCAUUGAGAUGAAUGUUGGGGGUAUUUAUACAUCCUCUUACCGUUACUAUUAUAGUUCAUAAUUGGGUCCACUAUUUUGUCUUGACCUUGGGGCCUCCGGUACUAACAUUCUCUGCCUCUAGUGUUGACAUUCUCUGCACGCUCCUUGGCUUGCUGGACGCUUGUCUAUGUAAUACGCGGUCCUUUCUAAUCCUAGGAUUGACAUCCUUAGCAAGCUUCGUACCCGUUGGUCACAAGUCUAGAUUACUUGUAGGGCUUGCAAUCCUUCCUGCAAACAUAGUUCGUGACCCCAUCCUGCGAGGUGCGCCCUUGAACUCUUCUUGUGAGCUAUCUUGGCGAACACGCCUCUUCCGAGUCGAGCCCACCCGAGUCAAGGGUUGGAGACCCGGAUCUUUUUAGGACAUUUGGGUUGGCAAUUAUGGAUAUAUAAUAAAUAUGUUUGUCGAAUAAUAUUUUAGAAAUAAAAGAAUUUAAAUUAACAAAUUUAAUGGAUACCAUUUGAUUUAAAAUUGAAAUUUCAAAAAUAUAAAAAUUAAAAAUGACCAAAUUAUAAGAACUAAAUUUGAAAUACUAACAAUCAAUAUAUUCUUUGAAUGGAGAAAUCAUUUUUCUACCAAUUGAAUUGGUGAACAUUAUUUGAUUUAUUUAUGUUAAUCCAAUAAAAUUAGGGAAAUUAUUUGGUAAAUUAUUAAUGGAGCUUUUAGAUCUAAUAAAUAGAGAUUAAGGGUUUGAUAAAUAUUCUAUAAGAGUAUAUUAAAAUAUUAAAAAAUAAAUAUUUAAAAAAGAAGAAACACUUCUCAAAAUUUCAGAACUACUUAUAAAAUAAAAAAAAAAUACACCAUCAAUAUAUCAAAUAUUGGCUUAUAAAAUUAUAUUAAUUAUAAAUUACAAGGUAGACCUAGAAGAUAGAUAUCCCUAGAAAACAUAAAAUAAACCACUAUUAAUAAAACUCAUAAAAUAGGGUGAACUUAAAAUGCUUGUCAACAUAUAGGUUUGGAAUCUUGUAAAGCUAAAUUACAUAUAGAUUUGAGGUUACUUAGUUGGGCUAUCAUGGAUAAGUAGAAGAAUUUGAACAAUUUAUCUAGCAAACUUUUUUUAUUUUUUGAAGAACACUUGGUUAAAACCUAAACUAUAGUUGUUAUUUUGUAUUUUUAUGAGAUGACCAGUCAAAACCCAAAUAAUGCAAAACCAUAUAAAUUCAACAAAUAAGGAGAAUGGGCAUAAAAAUAUUGAACAAUCCACAAGGAUUUGAUCUGUAAAAUUAUGUUAAACAUGUUUCUGCUUAAUCCUGGAUUAUAUGGGCAAAAAUAGUUGGCAAAAGAAGAAAUUAAACCCCACCAACCGGCAUAAACACAUUACAAUAUUCAUAAUAAUGUGGUCUAAACACCCUCUUAAAAUAAAUCUGUCUAACUACAUGUAUUUUAUUUGUCUUAAUCACCUAGCUCUUGUAGGUUUUAGAAUGGGAUUUCAACUUUGAUUCAAUCAUGGUUCAUAAAUAAUAAAGGUAGCCAUUGGCACUGCCAUGAAAGUUCCUCCCUUUUGUCUACACUUGAAACUUGUUUAUUUAUGUGGCCCUUAAGGGGUCUGAUAUCUUGCAUGGUCAAAAUCUCAGAUCAUGCCCUAUCCAAAUAAAAUUAUUGGUUUUGAAUGGAUUCAUUGUAUACCGAAGGAUCAAUUUUUUUUUUAAAUGACAAUGAUGAAUGCGACAUAAGAACUUUUGUUUUGUGUUAUACAUUCAUGUUUUUGGUUCAUGUCCUGUCUAAUCCGUACUAGUACCCAAGAUUUUAUAUAUAAUUGGAUAACAUUACAUUACAAGUAUCUUAUUAUCUAUAUAUGCCAAUAUAUUUUUAUAAAAAAAUAAAAUAAAAUUACCAAUAUAUUCAUAUCUAAAACAAAAAUGAAAGUUGUUGUUAAUAUAGACAUUAAGGGUGUAUUUAGUAUUACUUCUAAGAAUCAUUGUUGGGAUAAAAAAACACUUUUGAGACCAAAACAUUUCUAAACAAGUUACUUUUUCAGAGAAAAAAUGUUUUUCCCAAGCAAGAAAUUGGCUCAUAAGCACUUUUUUGAUAACCUGAAAAUUUUAGCUUCUUCCUAAAAUUAAUUUUUUCCUCAAAAAAAUACUUUUGAGAAGUAUUAAUAAACUAAGUCUUAAGUAUGGGCAUGUAUGUCGCGCCAAAUAAGUGUAAUUAUUUGUAUAGGAUUCUUUUUCAUUAGCUAAAAACAUUGUCUAAUAUGAUUACAUAAAAAUAUUUGAAAUGGUAAUUUCCCAUACAAUACAAAAUUAGUAAAGGUAUCUAUAAUAAAGUUUUGAUUUGUAUGGAUAGGUGAUUAAAGUUUUUAUGAGACACUCGUUUGAUACAGAUUCAAAUCGUGUGACACUCGUUUGAUAUUUAAUAAAUUUUUGAAGGUAACAUAAAAAUUUUAAUAAACAUGGAAAAAAUAACAAUAUAAUACAAUUUUUGAAGGUAAUAACAUAGUAUAUUUAAACAUUAUAAGCAAUGAUGGUUAUUUUUUUAAAGUUACAACAACUAAUUAACGUAUCAACGGCUCCAAUCAAAAUAAAUCAUUACAAAUACUGAAAUGAAUAUUUGGCUCAAACUAACUACUCAAGUAAACUAAUUAACUAACCCACACAUAAUUCUUGCAUGGUAAGACUUAAAUCUAAGCGCUCAAAAUCCGAGUGCCACCAAUACUAAUUAAUUAAUACAAAUAUUGUAUCUCUAUCUAAAUUUUUGGUGUGUAUUAUCAAAAAAAAAUUGCAUACAUACAAAUUCUCAUGUCUAUAUGAAAAGUAUAUCCCAAUCGAAUUAAAUAGUUGAUAUUGAAAUGUAGAAAAAUAACUUAAUUGAAUGUGUGAUGAGUAGCGGAAUUGAAGGGUAAGUGUGUACAAAGUAGAAAUAUCCCAAAAUUUACGUGACAUUUUCUUUUCGAUGGAAUGUAAUGCUUUGGCCUAAUUUAUUAGAUUAGGAAGAAAAGAAAGUUGAAGAGGAAGAAAUUUAACCCCACCAACCGGCAAAAAUACAUCUCAAUUAAUUAAUUUGUCUAAAUUAAUCACCCUAAAAUAAAACAUCUUAUCCUAAUAAUUUUCAAAGAAAUUCAUGAAAGUGAAAGGCUUUAAAAAAUCAAUACUAGGAGCACUUAUACGUAGGGUUAGUUUUAUUAAAACUCCUCAGAUUAUAGUUCAUAUUCUAAAUUCAUCUUUAAAUUUCAAGUGUUUUAUUUGAGUUAUUAAUAUAUCAAAGUAUUGUAUCAAUUCUAUCCUUAUUAGCCUAAACCCACAAAUUUGCACCUAAAUUAUACCUUUUUUUCCAUCUUGAUACUUAAACAUUUUUUUUGUCAAAAAUAGUACCUAAAUUAUUAUUUUUUUCGCAAAUUAGUACCUCCGUUAGUCAAACUAUUAAGUUUAUAUUUAAAAAAAAAACAAUUUAACCCAUAAAUUAGUACCUAGACAAUACAAUUUUUCUCAAGUUGGUACCUAAACUUUUUUUUUAAUCUUAACUGAUAUAUUCGUUAAAAAAAUUCUAGUUAAUAAUAGACUGCCACGUCAUAUAAACUUUAAAAAAAUAAUUUUUAAUAAUUUUAUUUUAUUUUACAUUCUCUCUCUCUCUCAUACUCGAAAUUUGCCCUCCCAAAGUUGAGACAUUGGCAAUUAAUUUGUUUUUGAACUUCACCACUAUUUACUUGACUUGAUGUAUUUGAAAAAGUUCUUUCAUUGAUCAAACUAGUAUUUUCAAAAUUGAAUCGUACUAGUUGGACCAAGAACCUGAUGGGUAUCAAUCUGGAGCUAAGAUUGAAUCAAUUGACUUGCAAAUUGAUAUAAACCGAUUGAACCGAGCUAAAAACCGGUUGAAUUGAUUUUCUUUAUAUUUAAAUAUGAUUUAUUUUUAUAAUUUUUUAAUAAUUUAUUUUAUUGAAUCACACGAAUUGAUCAAAUUGAGAAUUGUUGGCUUUGACUGAUUCGACCAUCGAUCCUAUUCUAAAAACCUUGAUUAAAACCAUGAAGCCCAAAAUACUCACACUUGUAGAAGAAAUAUAAGAUGAGAGGAAGAAGAAAGAAAAAAUAUAAAAAAUAUAAAGUGAAAAGAAAUAUAUAUAUAUAAAGAAAAUAUUUUUUUUCCUUUUUUUACCACGUGAUAAUUUUUAAUUGGUUAUCUCUUUUUUUUAAAUUGACUUAACAAUUAAGCUAACGAAUAUACAACUUGAGAAAAAAAAAUUAGGUACCAUUUAUGAAAAAAAAAUAGGUAUUUAAAUGAGAAAAAAAACAAUUUAGAUACCAUUUGUAGGUCAAGAUUUUUUAAGAUAAACUUAACGGUUGGACUAAUGGAAGUAUCAACUGAGGAAAAAAAAUAUAAUUUAGAGAUCACUUAAACAAAAAAAAAUUAAAUAUCACUUAUAACAAAAAUAAAAAUAAGUAUCAAAAUAUAUAAAUAUAUAUAAUUUAAACACUUAAAUUAUUUUCCAUGAAUGUUAAGUUUUGGCCUAAUUUAUAUUAGAUUAGGAACAAAAUAAAGUUGAAGAAGAAAGUUUAACCCACCAACUGGCAAGUUUAACCCACCAACCGGCAUAAGCACACCUCAAUUAAUUAAUCUUAUUUAAAAAAUCAAUGUUAGUGGGUGAUUGGUUUUUAUCGCAUGAUAGAGAUUUGUUCUGUUUUUAAAGCUUAAUUGGAGGAAUUCUUGAUUGUAACACCCCUAACCCGUAUCCGUCGCCGAAUUAGGGUUACGAGGCAUUACCGAACAAACACAACUAUUUUUAAAACCAAACUGAUCACAAACAUGAAAAUUUAAUCAUUUUCGCAUAGCUGUUUAUAAUUUACAAUCAAAAUCUAACUAACAUCGUACUCAAACCUAUACAUGCCAUAAGAUCAAGUUCAAAUAUUUAACAAAAUACCAAAAGAAGUCGAUAGUGUGAUAGACUAUGCUGAUGAUCCCUGAGCUCGUAACGCGUCUCUAAAAUCUAUAAAAACAAAUGGACAAAAACAAUCAAAGUAAGCUUUUAUAGCUUAGUAAGUCUAUAGCAUAUCUAAAAAUACAUAUAAAAGAAUCACAUAAUUCUUUAAGUAAAUUUAUUGAAAUCACAAAUAUCAAAUAUAAUUACUAACUAAACAUUGCUAUAUUGAGUCAUUUUGUUUAAAUCUAAAAGAAUGUAUAUUUAACUAAUAUACAUAAACGGACAAAGGUAUAUACAUUAUAUGCAAAUAAUCAAGUUACUAACAUAAUCAUUAACUGCAUAUACUGAUUUCUAAAGUACUUAUUGUUCGCACUUCAUCGGAUCCAUUUAUAUAUAAUUAUUCAAUUACAUAUACCAAAAGCAUAACUUUUAUACUUAUCAACUAUAAGUGCCGAAUGCACAUAUUCACUUAUACCCACCUAUGCCGAAUGCAUACAUAUACACAUUUAAAUAUCCAACAAUUUCAUGACAACUGAUAUAUAUAUACAUACUCACUAAUCACAAAGAUUCGAACGAUUAUAUACUCAUCAAACAUCUUGAAACAAUGUUCAUAUAUUUAUCCAUUUCAUUUAAUUAAAAUCAUAUAUAUAUUUAUACCCAAUGCUUAGAAUCACUUAAUUUAAACAGAUUCACUGGCACUUCACCUUAUAGACUUAUAGUCUAAUUCCGUUCACCGGCACUUAGCCUGCUAGGCCUAUAGCCUGAUUCAGUUCACCGGCACUUAGCCUGCUGGACAUAUAAUCCGAUUCAAUUCACCGGCACUUAGCCUGCUGGACGUAUAGUCCGAUUCAAUUCACCGGCACUUAGCCUGCUAGACGUAUAGUCUGAACAAUUUCACUGGCAAUAAAUCCGAUUGAUACUGAGCUUUAAUAAAAAAAUCUCAAUUCACAGAAGUUGUAUCUCUUAUUUGUAUAUAAAAUCCACAUACAAUUUAGCUCAAUAUUCAUAACUUAUGUCUGUAAAAUACAUGGAUAGAUAUAAAUCCCAAUCAUCAAAUCUAGCUUAAAUAAUUCAAUGAUUCAACCGAAACACAUUUAUGUAUACAUAACCUCAUACUAUAGAUUCCACUUCUAAUACCAUAAAAUUUAACUUAUAAUAUACUAGGUACCUUAAACAUUUGAAUUCCCUAUAUACCUAUAUAGUUUCAUAUACCAUUUCAAUACAAGAUCUUAUACAUGUACAUAUAUGCAUAUUCGAAUCUAACAACCAUAUAUUACUCUAUACUUAUUUUCGAAACAAGAACAUAUACCUAAAUACUCAUACAUAUUCGAAUUUAACAUAUAUAUGUAUAUAUAUAAUUGAAUAUAAUUUCAUACUUAUACUCAAUAUAAUUAUUAUUCAUAAGUACACAUACUUAUUCACUUCAACUUAUACAAAUGUUCAAAUAUAUCUCAUACCUUUGAAAUUUCAUACCUAAAUUCAAUACAACAAAUUUUACAUAUAUAUACAUGUAUAUUCGAAUAUAAUUUAUACAUAUAUGUUCAUAACUAAAUUUAUUACAUGGACAUUCAUAUGCAUAUUUGUAUAUUCAUAGCCAUUCGACUCUAACAUAUAUAUGUAUACAUAAUUUCAUACUUUCAAAUUCCAAAUUUCUUUCUUUUAUACUUUUUAAAUUUAACUCAACACACAUACCAUUGAUAUACAUACUCAUAUGUUGAUUUAAUAAAAUUAAAUAGCUAAUAGACUUACCUCGGAUUUCAGCGGACACGAUCGACUAUUCGAUUACUUUCGUUUUUCCCCGAUCCAAAUUCGUUUUCUUCGUUUCUUGAUCUAAACAUAAUCAAAUUUAACCUUUUUAUUCAUCAAAACAUUCAAUUAAGUCCAAAAAUACAUAAAUGGAAAAAUUACCAUUUUACCCCUAACAUUUUACACUUUUUGCAAUUUAGUCCUUUUUGCACAAAACACAAAAUACACAAAAUUUGCCUACACUACGCUAGGGCCGAAUGUUCCUUGUCUUCAUACAAGUCCACACAUUUCAUUUAUUUCGCAUUUUAGCCUUUCAAAAAUAUUAUUUUGAAAUUUAACCCUAAUUACUCAAUUUCACCAAAAAUUCCAAUACAAAACAUAUUAAUCUAAAACAUAUCUUUCAUUAUUCACUAUCAAACAUCACAAAACACAAUUAUUCAUCAAUGGCAUAGACCAAAAUAUUCAUCAAAAUAAAAAAUUCAAGCAUGGGUCAGAUAGUAUUCGAAGUAGAGCUGCUCAUGGGCCGGGCCAGGCCGGGUUCGGCCCGGGUCCUAGGCCUGGGCCCGGCCCGACCCGAAAUAUGGGUCUAGAAUUUUGCCCAAGCCCGGCCCGGGAAAAAAUUCAUAAGCCCGGGCCCGGCCCGUUUUUUAAAUAAAUACCAAAAUUUUAUUUUAAAAAUUAAAAAAAUUUAUUUUAAAAAUAUUUUAAAAUUAAAAAAGUAUUUUAAAAAUAUUUUAAAAUUAAAAAAAUUUUAAAAAAGUAUUUUAAAAGUAUUUUAAAAUUAAAAAAUAAAAAAAUUUAUUAUAUUCAGGCCGGGCCGGGCCGGGCCCGGGCCAAAAAAGUGGUGCCCGAGGCUCGGCCCGUUUUUUAAUCGGGCCUCAUUUUUUGCCCAAGCCCAUAUUUCGGGUGGGCCGUCGGGCUGGGCCGGGCCGGGCCGCCCGGCCCAUGAGCACCUCUAAUUCGAAGCAACGAUAUCAAAAACGUAAAAAUUAUCAAAAACCGAGCUAAACACAUACCUUAAUCAAGCUUAGACAAAACCGAACCCUAGGAACUCUUUUUCUUUUCUUUUUCUUUUAAGUUUCGGCAAUGGUGAUGAAAAAGAUGAACAAGUGAUGUUUUGUUUUAUUUUUAUUAUCAUUAUUAACAUAAUUACCAAACUAUCCUUAAUGAAAUAAUAUAAAAGCUAAAAAAUGAUAGUCCACUACCGUCCAUACUAUCAUUUAGUGGCCUAAUUUCAUUUUAAGGCCUCCACAUUAAAAGAACAUAGCAAUAUAGCACUUUAACAAAUAGCAAGUCACUUUUAUAAUUUAUGCGAUUAAGUCCAUUUAUAAAAUUAAAUAACCAAUCGGUAAAAUUAAUUUACGAAAAUUUCACACAUGCAUUCUAACAUGCUUUAAACACAUAAAAUAUAAUUAAAAUAUUUUUAGGACUCGGAUUUGUGGUCCCAAAACCACUAUUCCGAUUAGAGUCAAACCGGGUUGUUACAUUGAUGGUGUGUCAUUGACAGAAGGAAUACUUCAUGACAGAAUUUUGAUACAGACCGAUAAUAUGGAUGUUAUUGGGACCAUUAAGGAAUCCUUUUUGAAGGAGUCAAAUUCUGCUUUAAUAAGAUGCAUUAAUCAACUCUUACGGAAGGAGACAAACUAGUCCAUAGAUUAUGUUCCUAGAGAAGACAACAUGGAAGUUGAUCAAAUAUGGAAGUUGAUCAAAUUAUUAAGUUGGCUUUUGAUAGAGAGGAAGUCGGCUAUUUUACAAAAAUAAUACAAAAAAAUAAAAAAAAAUACCUAAAUAUUAUAUCUUUUUUUAUUUACCAAAAUGGUACAAAAAAAAACAGUUAAAAAAAAACCUGAAAGAAGGGCCUGCCACAGGCGGUACCUUUGGUGCCUGUGGCAAAGGCGGCACCAAUUGUUCGUAUUUCGACCCUUUGUUCGUAUUUUUUUUCGGAUUUUAUUAUUUUAAAAAAUAUAAUAUUUUCUAAUUUUAUUAUUUUACAUUAUUUUAGUACAUUAUAUUUGAAAUGUAUUCAUUUAGUAUGUUUUUUAAAUAAAUUUAAAAAAAACCCUUAUUUCGGCCCUUUGUUCGUAUUUUUUCCUGGAUUUUAUUACAUUCAAUAAAAAUAUAUUAUUUUCGUAUUUUAUUAUUUUACAUUGUUUUAGUACAUUAUGUUUGAAAUGUAUUAACUAAUUUUGUUUUUUAAAUAAAUUUAGUAAAAAACCCUUAUUUUGACCAUUUGUUCGUAUUUUUUCCUUAGAUUUUAUUACUUUUAAAAAAUAUACUAUUUUUUAAUUUUAUUAUUUUACAUUAUUUUAGUACAUUACAAUUGAAAUGUAUUCAUUCAGUGUGUUUUUUAAAUAAAUUAAAAAAAAACCCCUUAUUUCGGCCAUUUGUUCAUAUUUUUUCCCCGGAUUUUAUUACUUGCAAUAAAAAACACACUAAAUGAAUACAUUUCAAACAUAAUGUAAUAAAAUAAUGUAAAAUAAUAAAAUUAGAAAGUAGCAUCUUUUUUAAAAGUAAUAAAAUCUGGAAAAAAAAAUACGAACAAAGGGCCGAAAUACGAAAAAUUGGUGCCGCCUCUGCCACAGGCACCAAAGAUACCGCCUGGGGCAGGCCCUUCUUUCAGGUUUUUUUUUAAACUGUUUUUUUUUGUAUCAUUUUGGUAAAUAAAAAAAAGUUAAACUAUUUUGAUUUUUUUUUUGUAUUAUUUUUGUAAAAUACCCGAGGAAGGCUUACAAAUGCAGUUUCUCCUCUAGUUUCUUUUUAGUUCUUUUAUUUAUUUUUGUAACACUUCUUUUAUUCAUAAAAUAAAAAAUCAAUGCUAGGAGCACUUAUAAAUAGGGUUAAUUUCAUUAAAAGUCCUCAAAUUAUAGUUCAUAUUCUAAAUUGAUUUUUAAUUUCAAAUGUUUUACUUGAGUUCUUAAAAUAUCAAUAUUGUAUCAAUCAUACCAUUAUUAGCCUAACCACUAGUUUAGACAUUAAAUGUUGGUUUGGAUUUGAAGUGAAGCAGAUUUUAAACUACCCGAAUCAAAUUGUAAAUACGUUUGUACCUACCAUAUAGGCAACUUAAUUUGAUGUGUUAAAAAAGCAAAUAGUGUAAACCAUUUUCUUAAUAUAUUAGAUCCAAGCUAUUGACACAUGUUUUUAUAAUUUAACCCACGUACUUUAAUUAUGCUCCAUGCUAAAUUUGAGCGGACAUUUAAUAUUUAAAUUAACGGUUAUAUUAUUUAAAAAUGUGAUUAAUAAAAAGUUAGAUAUUUUGGAAACUCUUAUUAAAUUUGAAUACCAAUGUAAAGUUUUGGUGCAAUUUUAUUUUUGUAUUUUGUUUUAUGUUAUAGAUUCAUAUGUUGUUGGAUUUCCUCAUAUUCUAACAAAUCAAUUAAACAAUAAUAUAAACUUUGGAAUGAAGAAACAAAUAUUAUAAAUUAGAAGUAUUCAUGGUUGUCACAUUUAUUUUCCAGACAAAGCAAAUCAAAUAUUUUUGCAUCAUCAUGCAUUUAUUAAAUAAAAGGGUUCAUGAAUAAUGCAUGAAAACUUCCAUUUUUUAUUCAUGAUGUCAAAAAUGGGAUUUCAUGAUUAGAAAUAAAAGAAGAAAAGGAAGAAACAGACCUUUCCUAAGAUAAGCUCAGAUUUGGUCUGGAUUAUGUAGACCAAUAGAAUGAGAUAUGAAGUUAUGAAAUAAAUCCAAAUAUAUUCCAAGAGAAAGGACAUCUUCUUGGAAACCCCUUUCCUACUCUUCCUUCCAUAACCAUGUAGACCAGUCAAUUUUUUUAUAAUAAAAAAUUAAGUCUGCUCAGCUGAUAAUGGGUAAUUUUAGGAUUCGAAUUUGAUCUUAUAAAUAUCUAGGAAAGAAAUUUACUUUCACUUUUUUCAAUCAUUGGUUGAAAUUUAGAGAUUAAUUUUCAGUGUAUGUACUUUUUAAAUAUACGACUAUUUAAUAGUUUUGGGUGAACUGAUGUAAUUUGGUGGAAGAUGUUCUUCGGAUUUCGGAAGUAUCCUCCAUAAAAGAGGCAAACACAUUCAAUCUAAACACGUGCAACAUUCUAAUAAAUUCCAUACAUGUUGACUUUUGAUUACUUACUAUUCCUUAGUUAGAAAGUUUUAAUAUUGACGAGUCAGGGUAAUUGCACCUAUCAAAGAAAUUUAAAAGGCUGUUAAAUGAAUUUCAAUUUGUUAACUAUUACUUACCAAACCUUGUUUUAUAAUUUAAUUUGAUUCUGUAGUCCAAAUAAUCGAGUAUAGUAGUAAUUAGCAAACAAGAAUACUUGUACAACCCAACAAACUAAGGCCAUUCCCAAUGAUCCACAUAUUAAAAUCUUGCCUAUAAUGGAUAAGCAGAAGAAUUUGAACAAUUUGUCCAGCUUUGGAACACUUGGUUAGAACUUAAACUAUAGUUUUUAUUUUGUAUUUUUUACGAGAUGACCAGUCAAAAGCAAACAAGGAGAAUGGGCAUAAAAAUAUUGAACACUCCACUAGGAUUUGAUCUGUAAAAUUAUGCUAAACAUGUUUUUGCUUAAUCCUGGACUAUAUGGGUAAAAAUAGUUGGCAAAAGAAGAAAUGAAACCCCAACAACACAUUACAUUCAUAAUAAUGUAGUCUUAAAACCCCUUAAAACAGAUCUGUCUAAUUAUAUUUUUCUUAAUCACCUAGAUAUUGUAGGUUCUUGAAUGGGAUUUCAACUUUGAUUCAAUCAUGGGCUCAUAAAUAAUAAAGGUAGCCAUGAAAGUUCCCAACUUGAAACUUAUUUAUGUGGCCCUUAAGGGGUCUGAUAGCUUGCAUGGUCAAAAUCUCAGAUCAUGCCCUAUCCAAAUAAAAUGAUUGGUUUUGAAUGGAUUCAUUGUAUACCGAAUGACAAUGAUCCAUGCAUUUAUAACAAGUUUUGUUUUGUGUUGUGUUAUACAUUCAUGUUUUUCGGUUCAUAUCCGUACUAGUACUGGAGAUUAUAUAUAAAGUUGGAUAGCUUUUUAACUAGAAGGUCUUAUUAUCCAUAAUUCUCAAUAUUUUUCAUAUCUAAAACCAAAUGGCGGUAUUCGUUGUAGAUAUAGACAUGGUGCCAAUAAGUGUUGUUAUUUCUAUCUUUUCUCUUACCUAUAAACAUUGAGUAGAGAAAAAUAUUUGAAUACUAUAAUUUAAACAUUACUUGUUGAAUACAAAUAUUAUGAGGAUUUUUGACGCAUAAUAACUUGUGUUGUAUCAUCCGGUGACCACGACGGUGAUUGGAUGAAAGGGAUGGUAAGAGAUAUCCCAAGGGCUUCUAGUGUCCAUGCCGAAUUAUGGGCCUAAAUCUCUUGGAAUUAGUUGUCAUGAGAUCAAACUUGAUGCCACUGCUGUUAUUAAAGCUAACCUUGAUAAUCAAAUGCUCACGAUAUUGAUUCGAGGCUUCUUAUGAAACAUAUGUUUAGAGAAGGAAAUCAAUGUGUUAGGCAGCAACUCUAUGGAACCUCGGACUGCCCAAGUAUUGGAUUUUGGUUUUGUUGUUAACUGCUAUGAACCCUAUUUGUAUUAAAGAUUUGCUACAAUGAGACGUGGUAUAUAUACGUUUUUUUCUCAUUGAAUGUUGGAAUUAUACGAAAUACAUUCAAAUAAAUAUCUAAAACAACGGAGAUCUACUUGGAAUCCCUUUCCUACUCUUCCUCCUGUAAGAAUGUGGAGUUUGAUUAAUUCGAAUCCUCUCACCAUUCAUCUGCAAUAUAAUUUUUAGAUUAAAAUACCGUUAAAUUAAACCUAUUCGAUAUAAAAUUUAUUCAUCAUGUUUGUUGUAUAUGAAAUUAAUGAACUGUUUUUAAACUAUGAUUAUGAGAAAAACUGUGGGUGUUUGUGGAGAGGAACUUACAUGAAGAGUUUGGUGAGAGGGAUGAUGUUCCUUGGAUUCCAAGCAUCCUUCACCCGUACAAUCUAAACAAGACGAUGUAUAUUUAGAGGCAUGGGUCUCACAUAAACUAAACAACUUGGCUUCCAAAGAUGGCAAUACCCCGCUACUUUCAACCUUAUUCUGUUCCUCCAUUCUUAAUUUCUUUAUUUCACAAUUCACAUAUGAAACUCCUCCUAAUAUAUACGUAUUUGUAUUACUCACAUAUAUGAGAAUAAGGAAAUCAUAGUUCUAAGAGAAGUAGGACACAAGUUUUCCAUAUUGUAUUAGGAAUUCCUACUAUUUCCCUUUUUUGUUGGAUGACGAUUUAACUACAUUAAUAACAAAACAAAUUCGAGGGUGACUUUAUGUACUUUUUGUUAUUGCAUAACAUCUGAAAAACAAAAGAGUGAAGUUCAUUAAUACAUCUCUUAUAUUUUUAGUCAAAUAAAUAUAAGUUAGACAAUGCUAAACUUUUGUACCCUUACCCUCAAGCAUUCCCUUCAAAAUUGAACUAAACUAUAACAUGAAAAUUGAGAAUUUCAGUUCAUAGGUGAGGCAAUGGAGGUUGAUUUUGACUUUGGAACAUGGAUUUGCUUUUUAAGUCUGUUCAUUGAUGGGACAAUUGUCGAGAUAAUAAUGGAGGGGUGAUUUGAGGGCUUUGGAAUGUUUGGCUGAAAUUGGUGGAUUUUUAAGGGGUAAUUAAGAAAUGGCCCUAAUUGGUCAUUUUGGUACAACCGCAAGGGACCCUUUGCAGUUGUAGCUGCAGUUUUUCUUUCACCACCUGCAAGAAUUUGCUGAAUGUUAUAUUUUUAAUAAACUGUAUGAACUAGAUAAAUGAAUCAUUGAAUCGUAAAUUGGCAGCAAACUUUAUUCAAAAAACAUUGAAAUUCAAUUUUAUCGUUCAAGAUUUUGAUGUUUGUAUAUGAUACUGUCAAUGUACACUUCUUAAUUUGAACAUCUAAAGAACUGUCAGGAUCUGCCUGCUGAACUUUUUUGUGUAUGAAGAAAGGGUUGGAACUAGGAAGUUGCGAGUCGCUACAAAGACGAAAGGAGCCAAAGGUUGAAGAGAGUUGAAGCAAAGGAUAGAAACCACGACAUGAAAGCCAUAGCUGCAGACAACUGAUAUCUACUGCAUAUCUUUGACGGGCAAUAUGUUGAGCUGACAUUGACCAAGAGACUUGUCACACUAGCAGUUGAGCAAGCCGCGGCUAGUGAGAGAAAUGACAAGGCCUGCAAUCAGAUAAAACACAUGUUUUUACAUCAAAUUAUGAUAAGGGAUAACACCAUGGUGAUGAUAUGCAUAAUAAGCCUUGUAACAUACCCAGUCUCCAACAAUGACAACCAGCAGUACCCUUGGUUGUCGUGGUAAGCCUUUAACGAACACGGAAUAUGCAUCAACCAAUGCUAAUGACACACUCCAUGGAGUCACUAAACCCAUGACUGUCACCAAGUAGCUGCGAAAAAAUUUAAAGGAAAAUUGGAGAUUGAUUUAUCACCCAACAAUUGGUGACCAACAAUGAAAACACAAACAUUCUCUUCUAUAUCAUUAUAUCUAAUGAGCAAUUGAACAUUAUAGUUUGUACCUGCAAUUGAUCGAACAACACCACAGACAAGGCAAGUUUAGACAAUAGAAGACCUUAUCCUAUGGCAAUUUUUUAUCAUUCAAUAGCUUCUGUUACUAGUGCAAGGGCUUUGAAAUUGCAAGAACAGAUACGGUAAAACGGCCACGCCAGUCAUAGCAAAUUGGUACUUAUGGUCUUAUGUUUUUGAAGUACAGAAUAAAGUGGUUAUAUUCAUUGUCUUAAGAUUGAUCCAGAUGGUUUGUGCUGAUCUAUAGAAGUUAGAUAGCAGAUACAGACAAUGCCUCAUUAUCUAGUUUCAUCUUUCCAGAAACAUGCAAAACACGAGGACCCAAGUCAAGGAAUAAAGUUUAAAUGCAAAAGCCAUACAAGACCACUAUCUACUUUUACAAUUCACCUUGUUAACUAUCUUGAUUCCCUUGACAUCAAGCUUAAUCAUCCUUGAUAUUAGCACUUGAUGAGCUAUUUGGUUCCGGCCAUUUUGUUAAUUGCUUAAAUUAAAGCCUUUUUCUUGUACAAAUGCUCCCAACAUUGUGCAUUUUAUACACAAAAAAAGACACAUUUUUUGCAUUUCCAUUCACCUAGUGAAAACUUUUAACAGAGGAAAAGUCCGGAAUCCAGCCUUGGAUAACAAAUAUCAUCAGCAAAUAAAUUAUAUUCUAUGGUCUAGUUCAACAACUAGCCAAGUAACAGGUCAUGUACAUUGAGAAUGGUUUUGAUAACUCUAAUUGUUGAAAGUCCAAAUUCAGUCAUCCAUACAAAAAGCAAUUGAUCUUUGCAUAUCCCUGAAUCAAAAUAGACUCUCAGAUAACUUUACCCUUUCAAUCAUUAAAUGGCACCUUUCCCUGCAGUCAUCCAUAAGCAAGAAGCAAGAUUUCCUGAAAAUGGCUUUUUUUUAAACCUUAAAUUGUUUUGUUUUCAUAAAAAAAAAAAUUCACCUAAUUCAUUUUCUCCCCAAGCCCAAAAGCCCUUCCCUUCAAAUAAUUUCCAUGAAGAUACCAGUGGAACCAGAAGUACUUUUGCUCUCUCCAACAUGGUAAAGCCGCUAUUUUACAUGGCAAAAAGACACACAAAGCUUGCCUAACCUCAAUCCAAAUCCUUAAAGACCAAUCACUAAAAUGAUCACGAUUGUGAUAGUUUUUCCCUGGAGGUUCCCAAAGUAACACCAGAACCAGCUAUUAAAAGUUGACAACGAAUUGAAUUCCGAGCAAAUAUCAGAAACAAAGAGGCAUGGGUAUUGAAGAUUAAAAGCCAAAGAGAGGAAGAAAGAUAAAAUAUGACCAAAUAAAUGGAAGAAUCUUAAAACGUUGACAGUUACCUGAAAGAAGUAUAGCUAUAGAAUUCAACAUCCAAACACAUAAAGAGAAGUGAAGCAGCGGAGAAAACAGUUUGUCCCAAACGAAGAGCCAAGCUGGCGCUUGUUCCCAACGCCCCUGGCACUGCUUCCAUCGUCCCUCAUGUCAUCUUAUCUCUCUGUUUCUUCAUCUUCAGUGUAUUCCCCUAAAACCCAAUAAAAAAGCAGAGGCCAAACACUAGGAGAAGGGAUUGAAGGGAUUGAAACAAUAGAAUUAGAGUAAAAAAGAAAAAGAGAGAAACAGUGGAGUCCUAGGAAUAGGAUGAAGAAAUGGAAAGAGAGGAAAAAGAGGAGAUGGGUAGGGUGAAUGAUGAAGGAUGAAGGAGGAGGAGGAGGCCAAGUUGUUGUAAUGGCGCUUUUGGGUCAAUGUCAAUUCUCUCUCUCAUUCUUAAUUUUACAAAUGGACUGUCCCUCUUUUCUCCAUUUUUGAUUCUUGUAAGUGGAUUCCCGGGGGUUGUCCACUCUUUUGACGAUGUAAAUAAUAAUGUGUCAUUCCUUCACGUAUAUACUACCAAGACACUGUUGAGUUGAAGCUACUAUAUUUUAUUUCUGAAAUGCAAAUGAAAUUCAAAUUGGUGAAAUAUUUAGAAAUUAAACAUUGAAUAAUUGGAACCAUACAAAGUUGAUUGCCGGGCCAAGACAAUUGGAACCCCACAAAAUGGUAUUUAAGAGAGAACAAAUUCCAUUUCUAAAGACGUGGUUCAUCUAUCCUACAGUUUGGAACACCCAUGAUUCAAUCAUUUCCAACCCAAUGUUUAUAAUAUUACUUGUCUAUCUGCUUCUGCUUUUUCAACACUUCCCUCUAAAUUAUACGACUUUCUCUAUUUCUUAUCUGUAUUUAUCAAAACACUACGGCAUCAGUUGACUUGUCAUUUUAGGCACCAAAUGCAAGGAAACUAUAAGUUUAUUCACACAAAACACUAUUUUGAUGAAUUCAAAAUUGUCUACACUUAGAUCAUCUUUCUUUUUCCAGAUUAUUAUUAUUAUUUAUAAAAUUAUCAUUUAAUAAAUAAAUUUCAUAUUUGAAAAUGAAAAAAAUAUAUAUUCAUUUAUUUAUAAAUAUUUUUAUAAUUUUCUACAUAUUUUUACCAAAAAUUAAACUUUUAAAUAUUUUGUUUUAUGUUUUUCUAAUUUCUAAAUUUUAUUUUUUAAAGAAUCAAGGCUAAAUUCACAAAAUGUAUAAAAUUGAGGGUUAAUUUAUUAUUAUGUAAAAAAAAAAGACCACCACUAAUGAGUUAACAAAGGGAUGACCAAAAUAUUAAAUUUUAAACUUAAAAUAACUAAAAUAAAAAUACACUAACAAUUUUGUAGUUUACCUAUAAACAUUUUCUGAAAUUGAAAAGAUAACCUUUUCUAGUUUCAGCCUUUUAUCAGACUUGUUGAAGAUGCUAAGAGGAGUAGUUUUAUUUGGUAUUAUUAUGUGGGUGGUACACUCAUUGAUUUAUUUAGUUAUUUCUUUGGCAAGUGAAGAGUUUGGGAGAGUAAAUUGGACAACAUUUAGGGUGUCAUUAUUCAUUUGAGUGCCAGCAUACUAGACUUAAAUCAAUAGUUGUAUAGAAAAUACUGUUUAAUGAAUUCAUUCUCUAAUCUAGACUCUUAAAAGUAGAAUUGUUUAAUCUAAAUUCGCCUCUUAAGUAAGGAUACCCAGAAGAAAAAGGUCAAGUGAAUCGUUAGGGUGUAUAUGAUUAACUUAUAGUUACUAAUAAAACAAAUAAUUUUAUAUCUCAAGUUCACGAGACAGAAAGAAUUGUAGUGAAAAAGUUUCACUAACAAUUUGGAUGGAAUGAAAUAAUUAUUUCAACUCUAUCCAAACAUCUAUAUAUAAUGUACAAAUAAAUACACAAGUGUCUUUUUGAAAAGUCUUUAAAAAUUUAUCAAAUAAACAAGAUUAUUCGGAUUUAAAAUCAAUAAAUAAACAUAUGUUUUUGACUUAAGGCACCAACUGGGACAUCAUUAACAUCUUUUCUUUCUCCUUUCAUGAUUGCAAAAAUAUAUGCAUAUCACAUAUAUAAAUAUAUAUUAUAUAACUAUGUAUCAAUCAUAACUAUGCAUGUAAAAUAUCAUGUAUAUAAUAAACUAACUUUUGAUUUUCAUAAAACAUUAAUGCAUUAGACAUUAUACUUUUAAAUCAAAUUCAAGCAACAUGAAUAAAAUGAUAAAUUUGACAUACAUGUCCUCGCGAUAAAGGUUUCUUCUAAAUCAAUUUUUGAUAAGAUUAUUGACCUUGAUGCAUUUACAUUUGUCAAUAGCCAUCCUUUUAGUAUCAUGCUUGUAGUGUCGUGUAAAUAAAUACGCCUUCAUUAAUAUCUGAUAAGUUUUCCAAAAAAAAAAAUCUUAAAAUUGUUGGCGUGUGGAGAUAAAAUAAUCUUAUUAGAAAUUAACCGAAGGCUUCAAGGCUUGUAACCAUGCCACUAUUUUUAAGGAUGAAGGAUAAUAAAAAGAAACUUUUGAAGUUGUUCUUUAUAGAACAAUCUAAGAAUAUUAGAAGAUGAAGGAGAAUAAAAGAAACUUUUGUUUUUCAACUUUUGAUGUGAUUUUGGUGUUACAUACAAAUGAAAUUUCACUCCUAUUUAUAUGACAUAACUUUUGAUAUUUAAGUGACAUACAUUAUCACUAUAAAUAGUGACAACUCUUGAUCAAUAAUCAAGUGAUACAACUCUUGAUUACUUAUAACUUUGGCAUAAUGACUUCUUUAACCUUUCAACUUUACAAAAAAAAAUCAUUUUAGCCAUCCAUUUUUUUUUGUUCGUUUUAGCAUUUGAACUUGUAUUUUUUGUCACAUCACCUCAAAAUGGAUGGAAAAUUUAAUGUUUGUUAACUCUAUUGAUGCGGCAUACAUGUAGAUAGCCAUGUAAAUGACAUGUCAACAUUUAAUUAAUUUUUUAAAAUUUAAAAUUAUUAAAAAUAUAAUUUUAAUGAUUUUAAUUUUAAAAAAUAGUUUUAUAUUUUUAAAAUUUUAAAAAUUAAUUAAAUGAUGAUAUGUCAUCCACGUGGCAAUUCACAUAUAACAUUAGCAAAAUUUUUAAAAAAAAUUGACUUUUCCAUUCAUUUUGGGGUGAUUUAAUAAAAAAUACAAGUUUAAGGGCUAAAAAGGCAAAAAAAUAAAUGAAGAGCUAAAAUAGCUUCUUUUUUUGUAAAGUUAAAGGGUCAAAUAAGUCAUUAUGCCUAUAACUUUUCAUUUACAACUAUUAAAACCCUAUAUUAGAAAUGUUACUACAAAUAUUUCUCCUACAUGUGAAAGACCUACAAAAUUAAUGAUAUCUUAAGUUAAGAAGCUGAAACUAGAGUUAAUGAAAUUUCAACCCUAAAAACUCUAGUCUUUUAAUUUCCUAUAGGUAAAGUGUAGUAAAAUCCUGAAGUUACUCUAGGAUUUCAUAUCUUUUAUCUACUCCAAAAACCAUACUUGUGUCUUUUAAUCAAUGACAAAACAAACCCAACAAUUUUAUCCAAUCAUUAGGAUGGGUUUAUACAUGUUUAAUUAUGUUGUAAUUCCUAUAAAUUAUUAUACAACAAUAAAAGUUAUUUUGAAGCGUUCGAUAGCAUCAAGGUAAUUGUUCACCUUAAUCCGAUCGCGUUUGAUUGUUUGCUGAUGUAAUGGCUUGCUUUGGUGGCUAUUGCUCAUUCCUAUGGCUUUGAAUCCUCCUUUUCGUGUUUAGUAAUGGAGGCCUGAUUGAAGUGUAGGUUUUUCCUGAGCAGUUCAACUCGGACUUUAGAUUGAUCGGCUUUGGGGUGAACUGUGACUCUCGUUCAAGUGUACUAAGAUUGUUGAAAGCUUUGGCUCAUUUGGAGCUAUUGCUCUUGUUGCAUGUAAACCUAUUGGAAAAACAUUUGUUAAGGACCCUUCAGCUGUAUCAAGCCCUUUCUCAAGAAUCGUAAGAGAUUUCAUAGCAGCCACACUUGGUUUUGAUUUUGCCCAGGCCCUGUUUUCACGAUCCACAUUGGGGAGAGUUGUACAAGUAUUUCAUCUUCUAAAUGUUUAUUAACUACUGGAUUAUUAUCUACUUCUUUAGGGAUUUUGAAGAAGAUCGUGAUGUUGAAGUACUUGAAGCCACGGUUUUACCACCACUUGCACGGAAGAACCAAGGCCGUUUAUUGAUGAUUUACAUUCAAACUCCUUAAUGAGAGUGAGAUUAUUUAGUUUCCAGGAUUCCCAGUGCUUUGAUCAAAAGUAACAGGGGUUUGUAGUAGAAGCUUAGAAAAUUAUUAUAAGAAGCCAACAUAGUAACAUACAAAGAAGAUAAGGGUUUCUCAGUGGAUUACUGCAAAGUUUAGCAACACUUGUUUAAAAAUUACAAAACCUCAGCCGAGAAUAAACAAAUUCAUACAAGACUUGUUUAUGAAUCAAGCUGAGCAUACCAGACACCAGUGAUCUUGACAUCCUUUGGAGUCUUGGCACCCAAGUCAGUGUCAGAUGGCUGAAGGCUCUCGAACACACCGAUAACUUCACCGGUCUCCGGCUUGCUCUUUGUGACGCUCAAGGUGAUUUUCCCUGAUGAAGAUGCAGCACUCUUGUUGUUCUCCUUGGCUAGCUCUUCCUCAUCCCCUCUUCCUCCAGCAGGCAAGGCCACUGCAUUAUCGUACCCGGUUGAGCCACCCCUUCCCUUUGGGUCCAAGAAAGAUGAGCCACGGUAGGAUGGUACAAGGAAGUCUCCUCCAAAGCUAUCAGGUUUGCCUGAUGCAACCAAUUGCUUGAUGGUGAACAGGAAAGGCACACGCUCACCACCAGGAAGCUGAACUGUGACGGCAGCAUAAUCAAUCCCAUCUUUCUCCUCGAAUUUGACGGUGCCAUCGGUGGAUACCUCGAAAGGGCCCUCGAUUUCGUCAAGGGUGUAGGUUAAACGGGUCAUGAGCUUGGUGUUUUGGAACUCAGGAGGGGCAUUCUUGUUAACACCCUCAGCCUUGACAGUGAAGGAAGUGGGCUCCAAGCAGAACUUCUUGGCGUAGUAUUUGCCAGGCUUGAAGGCAAAAGAGUCGACACCACCAUCGAUGGUUGGGCACUGGUUAGCAGUUCCUGUUCCUUUGACUUCCAUGUAUGUCUUGCUUUGGAUUUCAUCGUAGGUUAGCCGCUUUGGAACUCCUUCAGCGCUUGCUCCCUUCAAAACAAACCAGUCAUUGUAACAUAUUUGUUCAGAUCACGGAUCAUAUAUGAUCCUUAUGUAUGCAAUCAACGAUACUUGGUUCAAAUAAAAAAUCCAAAUGAUAAAGUUACAACACCAUGCAAGCUCAUUAAGAAUCCUACCUAAGCUACAUAAAAAUAAAUACAGAAAUUUGAAGCAAGUGAGAGGCGAGAAGUAAAUACCGAGACAACAAGAGCAGAUGUAGCAAGAGCGAAACCAGCGAGCUUGGUAGCAUCAACACACUUCUGAGCCAAGUCCUUGAGGUCAGUUUGCAAAGAGCAGGUGAGCCUAGCACCAACAGGCUCCAAACCGAAGGCCUUAGAAACGCUCUGGGAGGACCUGAGCAGCACAUUGGUCCUUGAUGGUGCAGCAACCUUGAUUGGUUGCAUCAGGGUAGCUGCAGCUUGAAGUGAGACCGACAUUGUUACGAACUAUUGGAAAACAAAGAAGAGAGAGUUGUUUUAGUGAGAGCGUAGGGGAAAUUUAGGGGCCAAUUAUGUUGGUGGCAAUGGUGAGAGUAAAGAUAAGGGGAUAGGAUAUGGGAAGUUCCCAUUGGUGGAUGAAGGUAAUGUGUUUGGUUUCAGGGUAUGACACGUGGAGAUUUUGUGAAAUGGGAUAAAAAUGGGUGUUAGUCAGAGUGGAUGAUGUGAGGGACUACAGAUUUUCUUAAAGUUAGUUCUGCCAUACAAAUUCCGGUGGUUGCCCUUCCUCCACUGGGGCCAUCAUGCUCAGAGAGUACUUUGAGUUGGAAAUCAUUUGGUUAACAUAUGCUGUUACUCCCUAUAUUUUGAUACAAUUUGAGAUUUAGUCUUUGUACUUAAAAAAUUUUAAAAAUUAAAUCCUACUUUUUUUUCUUAAAAAUCUCAGUGCAAUCAUCAAAAUCACAAGUACUUUCUGUCAAAAUAUUUUAAUUUUUCGUAAGUAUUUUUUUGUCAAAUUUUGUUAACUUGAAAUUCUAAUUAGGUUUUUCUCAUAUGAUUGAUAGAAAAUAAAUAUAUUAAGUCGACAAAUUUUGAUAGAAACUACCAACAAAGAUAAUAAUUGAACUAGGAUUUUUAAAUUGAAAAAUUAGAAUGAUUGAUUUUUUUUACAUUUUAAGUAUAGGGACAAAAUUUUAAAUCCUACACAAGUACAGGGACCAAAUAAAUUUCAUCAGCUUCUGUCGUGUUUGGGUUCCGACUGGGAUGUAAAAAGUGUCCAAAGUAGCAAGCCCAACCCAAACUAGAAGAGAAGUAAAAUCAUAAAAUAAUGAUAAUGGCCCAUCCAGGAAAUUCGCGUUAUUAGCACGACGCUCUAACCAGCUGAGCUAAUAGGCCUUGAUGGCAAAUGAGAUUUUAUUAUAUAAAUCAAGAGGCUACAGGAUUUCGUAUAACAGUUCAAUAAUUCAUACACGUGGAAAGACAGAUUCGUCAUUGACGAUUAUCAACGAGAAUUGACAGUGUUUGUGGGAAAACCAGUCUAAAAUAACCAACCCCUUUCUUUAUUCCUCUGCUUAAUUUAUUCAUAUAUUAGCCCUAUCAUUUCUCUUAAGGCAGCACCCUCUGACAUCUGGCAUGCAUCCACAGCAUUUAUGAAGAUUGCUGGUUACCUGCAAAACAAAACUUUAAAGUUGUUUCAUAUUCAUAUUCAACCAAAAACAUCAAGCUUGGCUUUUUUGUCCCUAGCUCGCUUAUCAUGAUCAUCAUCUUUCCUUUCGCUUUUUCGAAACAACAGGUUUAAAUGUCAACAAAUAAAAAUACCCAUUUUCCCAAUAUGUUGUAGUUGGGUAUUGAAGUAAAGAUUAGACGACCUCAAAGAGCAACUAAAACUAUGACAAGUAACCUCAUACACCAAAAAGUCAAAGAAAAACUAUAACCUGAAACUGGGGUUGCAGGUUGCUGAUUAUUGUUGUUGUUUGUCGCAUUAGUUGUGGAUGGGAUGACAACGCCAGGCCAUGAUCGGCACAUGCAGUGUUUUCCCACAUCUAUGCUGGCAUAGAGGGUGGAUAGAUGUUUCCCACAACCACCCCAAGUGUACUUUCCACAUUGCCUGCAAUCCACCCUGUAACAUAUUCUUUAGGAAUUUCUUCGCUGGCAAGAUUUUUAAAUCUUGUACUGAUAUUUGAUGUUGCUUCACAUCUCUUUAUCCUUCUCCUUUUUCAGUCUUUAUAAUGAAACCUUUGCUUUGAUGUAAUCGAACACAUUGUUGCAUAAUUAGCUAAAUAGUAAAAUAGAAACUUUGCCUGCUUAUCUUCUUGUUUGUAUCGCUUUGCCUAGUUAUAUUCCUGUCGUCCUAUUCACUCGCAACUAUCCUUUCCGCCCCUGUUUUCAUAAUAAUAAUAAUAAUUGUUGAUAGAUAUGUCAAUGCAUUAAAAAAGGUUGGCACUGUUUAAGAUUCACCAAUAGCAACAUAAAAGGAUAAAUGCAUGUGGCAAUACAAAAAUUCCAAUCAGGCUUUUAAAAGUAGGGAAAUGAUUAUAUCUAACCAUUGAUGUACCGCAAUUACAUAUUAGAUACACUACUAGAUGAGAGCUUUGCACGAAAAUGGUAAGAGUUUUUCAGAAGCAUAUUACAGCAGAAUAUAUCAAUUAUGAAUACAGGCAACCAAAACUGUAGUUUGCUACUACAGAUGGUAAGCUUCAACGGCAGACCCCGAUAACUACUAGUUAGGCAUUAUCAAAAUCUAGGACCCAAAAUCAGGAGGCACUGAUGCCGCCUCCCUCAGAUUAUGGGUCAAUUGUAGGUUUCUUUAUUGAGCUCGAUUCUACGGCACCUGCACUCAUCAAAACACGCUUCACUCCUCUUCCUACGAUGCCAAGACGAGUGACCGCCAUGGCCCCAUUUGUAUGAGCAGUGGAAACAGUUGGAGAGUCAAAAUGAUCUACGUUGCUGUUAGCAGGAGACAUAUGUGAAGAGUUCACUGCAGCAGGAGAUGCAUUAUUCUCACCGCCCCUUGACUUGCCAGAUGCCAUUCCCUGGAUUUCUGCAAUAAUUGACUUUGGGUCGGAGAUCAGCUGCUCUAGAUCUUCAAGCUACAAAUAUGAAAAUAGACAGAAUAAUAAAGUAUGUUUUACAUCAUUAUUAUUUAGUUCAAAUAGAUCAUCAAAAUUGCACUUGCCUUCUUUUCCAGGUCUUCAGCAAGUCCAACAAGAUUGUCAAUUUCUGAUUCUUUAUCUUUGACAGAUAGAACAGUCGGAGAGCCCUUAGACAGUUGUUCACCGUCACCCAAUUCAGAGGCAGCUGAAGAUGAUGCUAAUCCAGUGGAAAUCAUUAUCUCAUUCGUGAGCAGUUGCACCCGAGACUUGCAAACUGAGAUGGCCUUCUGACCGUAUGGAAUUGCUUCUUUGGGGUUUGAGCCAAUCUCCAAACACGUACAAAUCCGAAAAUUCCUAAAUUAUAGAGUUAAGCAGCAAAUAUAAAAACUAAAUGACAUUGAAGGGUUGACUUAAGGAGAUCCACAUUUCUUCAACUGACCAAGAUACCGCAUUAUUUAAUUGAACCUGGGACAAUCGAAGAAACAAAGAUAUUUCAACCUUAACAAGGAUACUGUUCAGCUAUUUGCCGGUGAUCUGGUUCAACCAGCUGUUGCAAAAUGGAUAGAGCUUUCUGGUAAUUGCCAAGUGAAGAUUCAAUGUCCUCUAAAGAAGCAUAACAGGAAAAAACAUGGAUGCUUCAAUAAAAACUGGUAAAGAGGGUUCCUCCCCCCCACCUCAACAAAGCAUACACAAGCUACAACGAGCAGUCAAGUACUGACCCCUUUCCAAGUCAACUUCAGCCAAUGCAGAUAAAAUAUCCACUUUCUCCAUGGUGUCACCCAACUGCUGUUUUUCAGCAAUUGCCCUCGCAGUAUCUAGCAUUUUCCAUGCCAAAUCCAAAUCCAAUUCCGAUUCAUCCAUGUCCUCAUUUGCUUCAGCUUCAAUCACAUCAUCAGUGUCGCUAUCGUCACUAUCCUGUCUUUUUCACCUGAAACACAGAACGAAAUCCAACUGAAUGUGUAAAAGAACAGUUAACAAUUUAGUUUAUGAACUAUAACAUUGAUCGUGGAGCAGCUGUUAUGCACAAUUCACAACAAUGUGAACGAAAAUGAAAGAGAUUCAACUACACUGCUCAAUUCAACUAGAGGUAAAUAAUCCCCUCAGAAUACAUACUGCCAUCCUGUUCCGAAUUGCUUCAUACAGAAGCAACUGAAGAUUCCCGAGUUACAGCACUUUUGGUCGGCCCCUCUUUGUUCGAGUCUUGCAGAAUCUCACCAUCCUUUUCCGGAACAGAAACCAGAGGACCAGUCUCCUCUUGAGCCUUGCACAGCAAUGCGCGUCCAUACAGAUAGUACACGUUGAGACAUGCGACUGCAAGUUCACCGUGAUGCAAACCCCUAGUAUGAAAAAACCUUAAAUGGUUAAAUGUAACUUCAACUACAAAUGGCAAUUCACUAAACCUCUGUUUGAUGGGUUUUUUCCCCUAAUUGCACUUUGAAACUAUCUUAAUUACUUCACAUAACAUAAAUUAUAAUAAUGCAAGUUAAUGAAAAAAGUUAAAAUUUUUAUUUUUCUUAAAAGAAAGGGAAAAAAAAAGGGGGUAAAACCAAACCCUGAAUCAUAGAUUUAGUUUAUUUCCUCAUAAAUUAAAUAAAAAAUGGAAAAGAGAUCAGAUGAAGCAGAAAGCACAAGGUUUAAACCUGAUUUCAAGGGCACGGCGAAAAAAAUGGGCAGCUUGGGUGAAAUCGUUUUCUUUAAAAGCCUUGGAUCCUUUCUCCGUCAACUCAUCUGCCAACUCCAGCGCCUUCGCUCGGCCAAUAUCCGGAGCAAUUCCACAGCUUUCAGUGUUGUUCUCAUUAUUGCAUGUAGACUCGGUACCUCCACGAACCGCAGAUUCGAUAGUGGCUUCUUUUGAACCUUGCACUUCUAGGGUUUCCACCUUUUUCGGUUCUGGGGUUGGCUCCGUCAUCGUCACCGGACACCGCCGUAACUUCUUCUUCAGCCAUCACUUUUUUGCUUUAAUAUUUACCGAAAAAUACAAAAGUAUGGAUAACCGAAAACAGGUCUUAGGCUUUCUCUUGCCCGCCUUCCAGAAAUCCUUUCUGGCGGAAAAUCGAGGUUUGAAAGGAAAGACUGAAACCUUGAACGACAAGCUUUGAAGGAGAGAAGUGGAGGAAGGGUACUUUCGUAAUUGAAAGGAAAAAGGUUUCUUUUUUGUCAAAUUAUUAUCAGUGUCAGACGAUUCUGUCAUUUUGAUUUCGAAAGGUAAGGCUCUGAGGAAAUGAAAGCAAAAAAUGGCUUCCACAACUCUUUCUCUCAGUCCGCUGUAUGUUUUUAUAUAUAAUAUAAUGCUUGCUGGAAUUAUAGAAUCUUGUUGAUGGCAUAUAUUUAAGAUGAUAAAAGGGAGCUGAUAAGAUAACAAUCUUCCAAACAAAACGAUUAUAGUAUUGUAAUCACUUUACUAAUCGAAUUAAAACACUUUCUGGGUUUCAACAUUGAUUAACAUUUUACGAAAAGAAAAGAAAAUUUUUAUAGGAUGAAUAGUAUUCACAAAGCAGUUGUUGUUCAGGUCUCAUCAUUCUCGCCGAGAUGAAUUACCCAACAAGCUGUUUGUUGAAGGUGAGCUCUGUCCACUUGACCAAUGAUCUUGUACUGAUAUAGGAGACCUAUUUUUUACUUCUUCUAAUGAGGUGGUUAAACAUUCUCCUUCCCUUUGCUUCAACUUCAUCAGUCUCCGGCUUCCCACAUCGGACAUCUUUGUUGACUUGUUGAAUGAUUUCUCACUUUCUUCAUCUGAGGAAGCUGCAGGAGACUCUAUGCACAUGCCUGGAACCCAAGCGCUGAGUCUGAUGUGUUCUAGCUCUUCCGCGACUUCGAUCAUGGUUGGCCUCAUGUCCCGAUGAGGAGCGAGGCAUCUAAAUGCUAGCUCAGCCACAUUAUGAAUUGAUGAAAGUGUCCAAGCAUCUCUAUGUGGAUCAAGGUAUGGAUCAAUUAUCUCAUCCACGCAGCCUCUUCCUAUCCUAUCGAUAGCAAGUGCAGCUAAGUUUACCUCAUUAUGAGCGCGUGAAAAGUCAACCACUUUCAGCGCAGUUAUUAUCUCCACAAGAACCACCCCAAAACUGUAUACAUCACUUUUAUCUGAAAGAUGGAAGUAUUGAUGGUAUUGAGGAUCAAGAUACCCUGGUGUUCCUUGAGGGGCAGUUGAGAUGUGGGAUGAUUCAGCCAUCCCAAGCCUGGAAAGACCAAAAUCAGCUACCUUUGAUCUAUAGUUGUAAUCCAAGAGAAUAUUGCUAGACUUAAUAUCUCGGUGAAAAAUAGGCGGAUUCACGGAGUGAAGAUAGGCAAUAGCCUUAGCAGUUUCAGCAGCUAUGGUGAGCCUUACUGUCCAUGGAAGUCCUGAACCCCUCUCUCUUUGUAGAUGCUGUGAUAAAGUUCCAUUAGGCAUAAACUCAUAGACCAGCAUAGGUUCACCCUCCUCCAUGCAGCAACCUAAGAGGCGAACAAGAUUUGGGUGACUGACCGAGGAAAGGAGCUUAAUCUCAUUCAUUACUUGGUCAAUACUAUCAGGAUCUCUAUAUCUGAACCUUUUUAUGGCAACCCAGUCAUCGCUGUGGAGUUUCCCUGCAUAAACUGUACCAUAGGCUCCAGUUCCCAGUCUCUGUUUAUCACAGAAGCCAUUAGUAGCUCUUUCAAUUUCUCUAUAGGCAUAGCAAGGAACACUUGAAUUGCCUGCGGCUUCGGAUAUAAGGCGCUUUGCACUCAUCUGUUUGUUGAUGUUAUUAGAACGCCUUCGCAAAUAGAAACAUACAAGAGCCACAAUACCCAUUAGCAAUGCCCCACCAACAAGCCCUAAGAAAUUAAACAAACAACGUGGUCCAUUAGUUACUUAGAGAAGAGAACACAGAAUCUGUAAGAGGGAUGGAUGAUGAACACAUUAAUACAAUUAUUUUGAAUUACAGCCAAAUUACCUCCAACCAGAACACCAACUCUUGUAGUUCCCCCGCAAUUGCCAGAAAUGUAUUUUGAAGCAUUGCAGCUAGGCACUGAUUAAUGUUGCAUUCAGAAACAUAUUGUCAAAAACUAUAGGCAUGAAACCGAUAAAAUAUGCAAAAGUCGACUUUCCAAUAGACAAGCACCGAUCAGAAUCAAGAAGACAUUUGUGUAUUUGUUGCUAAAAUAUUUUCAUAAAUGUAGUGCAUAGUUGAUAGGAAGAUCCUUCCAACAAGUUGGUUUACCAAAGAAGUUAAAUUUCGGCCAUAUUUCCUAAAUUACAAAUCUUUAUAUUUUAGGAGGUAUGAAUUACCAUAUCCAAAUCUACUUUUAUGCAUGCCCUUAACUUCCACGAGGGAGCCAAGUCAAAUAUCAGACAAAGAUGUAAGGCAGAACAGUACAUUGUGCCCAAGAAUGGAAAACUCCAUUAGUUUUACCAAGUCAACAACGCUGUUUUUUGUUGACGUUGACCUCAUUGUUGCCUUUCUUGAAGAGGCUUAGAAUUAUGGAUUAUGAUGAAGGUGAGCGAUCAGUUGGCCCUCACAGCCAAUUUUAGCCACCAUUGAGGUUGAACAUUCAUGACACGCAUUACCGGUAAAAAUAAGUUUCAUCCUUUUGGUGCAAUUCAACCACUAAAUAAGAUGCAACUUUACAAGCAGAAACUCUUGAUCUUGGUUCGUAGUAAUGCCAAAAUUUGAUGAACCAUAGUGCAAAAGCAUCAAAUUGUAUAUGAUUUCACCAAGAGAUCAACUCCUACAAUUCUACGCCAUUUUCUUUUCAAAUGUAGUUAAACUGUUAAAGCUACCAUUUCUAGAGAAACAUUACUAGUCAAGAAUCCCACAAUAAUUUUGCUCUAAAAUCCAAGUCAAAAAAAAAAAAAAAACAAACCCGACAAAAUAAAAUAACAAGUAAAACAAAAUCUUAGACUUGGAAGCGUUGACUAACCUCUCCGGCAACCACCGCCUUCUUUGAAUCCAUCUCCUUCAAACCCUUCCUUGCAAAAACACUUACACCCCACCGUCUUGUUACCAUUCUUGACGUCCGUACGGUUAGCGUUUGGGUCGCAAUUACAGUCUUUAACCCACCAUUCCAAUUUAACUCGUUCCAAAUCCACAGAGACCGCUGAGUUCCUCGCCGGGUCAACUACAAUAGCGGUCGAGGAAAACAAGAAACGGCACUGCGUUUUAUUAACUUCCUCGAAACUCAACAGCCGGACGCCGUCACCACCGCUGGAGAAACAGCUUAUGUUGUCACUCCUAGCAGCGCAAGGGCCAGCUUGAAACGACCUUUCUAGAAACAUUGGCCUGAUUUCACAAGGACCUGGUAAGGGGUUGGAACAGUUUUGGAGAAGGAGAGUGUUGUCCACCGAGAGCGCGUAGUUCUCACCGGAGAGAACGGCGAGUGAAGCAAGCGGUCGGUAGCAUUUGGCGGGCAGGUCGAUGAUGAUGUCGUUGGAAGUUAUGUUGAGGACAUGGAAUUCUCCAAUUCCGACCCCGGUCGAGUUGCAGUUGAGUUGGAUGGGGCAACCCGGUGUGAACCCGAAUGGAAAGGGUAUGGGGCUUGAGAAAUUGCUGGUUUCGCAGGAGCCUUGGCACUUGUUGUUCUCCGAGUUAACUGAGUUUGCUCGGUAGAUAACAAAAAGAAAUGUUAUGGUUAUUGAGAAGGGUAAUUUUGCAUAGCACGACAUCAUUUUCGAUUCUCAAAGAACAAAACAGAGCAACAUCAGCUUCCUACAAAAAAGAAAAACAAGCUUGAAUAAGAGGAACAGAGUAAAAAGUAAAAUAUGUAGGUAUUGAAAAAAAAAGAGGGAGUUAUUGAAGGGGGGGGAGGGAGUUAAAGCAGAUCGAUUGAUGGCGUUGGGAAGUCCAUCAAAACUCAAUAAAUGCUAAUACAAAGAAAGGUCAAUGCAUUGUAAAUUCGGGAAAUUUCUUUCAAAAAGGAAAUUUUUAAUGAAUGGGCUUGGUUUAGUUGAGAAUAUUUAUGAGCUUACCUUGUUAUUGUUUCUUCUUCAAUGGCUGCAACAAUUGCCUCUUCUUUAUUCCAAUAACAGAGCUUCAAAUAAAUAUCUGAGCUUUGCUAACGCUUCUUUAGAAGUACUUUGAUUUUGGGUUUUUGGUUUUCAUUUCAAAUCAAACAAGAAAAAAAAAAAGAGAGAAUUUUGGAGAAGAAGAGGAAAUGGGAAAUGAGUUGAAAGUUUUUAAAUAUAACACAGAAAGAGUUGUUAAAACUCCAUUGACAAGUGUAUAGUGAAUUAAUUAUUAUGAAAUAACUGUUUUACCCUUUUAAGUUCGGGAGCUGAGGGAAAUGAUUAGACGGAAAUGUCCUUCGAAAAGUAGGUUAAAUUACGGAGAUAGACCAAACCAGAUAUUAUAUUGUGGGUCAGCACCGCACACAAUAAAAAAGAGGGUUUCGAGUUUUGACUAAUAACAUAGAUAUAUAUAUUUUUUAAUAAAUUUAAAUACAAGUAUAAAAACAAUAAUAUUUUAGCAAAUUUUAAAUUGUAUUUUUUAUUUAAUUAAUUUUUAAUUUUAAUUCAUCGAUUAUGUUUUAUUUAUGAUUUAUAUUAUAAACAUUGACGUAGAAUCUUGAAUUUUAAUCCUAUAAAUAAAAACAUAACUCUUAAAACAAUUUUUUUCAAUUAAAAUCCAAUGAAAUUAGUCAACGAGGGCUUAGUAUCAUCAACAAAUGGCGAGACUCUAGGUUUUAAGUGUCUAGAUUCGAAUCUUAUUAUGCACAAUUGUCAUGUGUAAGUAUCUCAAUCUUAACAUGUGUAGUUUUUAUAAGUGGAUUUUGUUAUAUUAUAUUUUGAUUUUUUAUGCAUUUGUAAUUGUAUUGGUUUGAUUAUACACUUCAACUUAGGUUAGUUUUUCUCUGUUUUUCUUAUUUUUAAAUCAUUUUUGUAUUUGGGUGGGUUGGCUUUUUUUUUAUGGUUUGAAACCAUUAAUUUGAGCUAAAGAACAGUUCUACCAGUUCAGAAUUUGUUGGUCAACCCUAAUUCUGAGUUGCUCACUCUAAAACCAAUCUAACCCCUUUAACUAAAUUAAUAUAUUAGUUAAUUCUUGAUUCAAUUCAGUUUUGACAAUAUUACUUUAGGUGCCAACAAGAGGUUUAAUCACGGCUCCCUUACAUAAUUGGCACUCCUUCCUUACUAUAAUAAAGAUAUACUAGAUUAUCACGCACUAGGUGAAAAAUUAUAUAAUAAAUAUAUUUACUAAAAAUGUAUAUAAAAAUAAAAAGAACCUUAAAUGUAAAAAUUAAAUAUUUAAAAUUCGUUGUUUCAGGAGUUCAAAUUUUACUAGGGUUAAAUAUUUAUUGAUUUUAUAUAAAAAUAUAAAAUGAAAAAAAUAUCUUAUAAAAAUUAAGAUUAUUUUAAUAAUCUCGUAACAAAAAAUUAUUAUGAUAAUUUCUCAAUCGAACUCUAUUCAAUUGGCUCGUGACAUUAACUCAUUUAAUAUAAGUAUAGAUAUAAAAUAUUGUUAUAAUAAGUAUGUGGCCUCUUUUUUUCAAUUUAGUGAUACUAUUUAAUUUGUUAUAAAAUAAGUUAUACUGUUUAAUAUAUUAAAAGUGGAUUAGACUUUGAUUUAGCGGUAAAAAUUAAGGUUUUUUUUGGUAAAGGUAGAAACUUUAAUUUAAUUUCAUCUAAUUAUAUUUUAUUUUUAGAUAAGGUUUCAUUACUUUAAUGGUGAUAGGUGAAGGUGAUAAUUGAUUAUAAUUAUAAUUUUAAAAUAUAAAUAAUAAAUCAAAUCAAAUUAAGCUCAAAAUUUUUAUUACAGAAAAACUAAUCCAAAUUGAGGACUUGUCUUUUUCAUUUUUCUAUUUGGAGAAGAAGUCAAGAGGUUUAAAAGUCAACAAGACAAAAGUGGCAUUCUAUUAGAGGACUUUUCUUUUUAUAAUUAUUUAUAUAUACUAGGAUAAGUAAAACCCAAAUUGAAAUUCUGGUAAUAUAAAAACCAUGUGGAAAUUUUUAGUUAAUUUCUACCCCUUAUAUUUCUGAAUUUAUAGAAACAAAAACAAAAGUUUACCAUCACAAGAUUAUUACCUUUGUUGCGAUAAGCUGUGGUUUUUUUUAAAAAAAGUAAUAUUCUAGUCGUGAUAAUUCUAAUAUUUAAAUUUGGUUCAAGUGUGGAGGAAGAAGUCCAAUUAUUUGCUGGUAAAUAAAUAUAUAAACUUUUAAGAUGACAUCUACUUUGAAUUUCGGAUUAAAUUUAACUUGAUUUCAAAGAUAAAGCCCUCUCCUCAAUUUCUUUGCAAGCAAUGCUAUUGGUAAGAGGAGCAGCAACUUUUGACCAGUGAAGGUUGUAUUAUUUUCAUAUUUCAGGGCCUUGAUUUGUGCAGCAUAGACGAAAAAAAGCUUCUUCAAGGGUGUCAAGCAUGGCGUAUAAUUAAUUAAUUUUUUUAAUGCUUUCCAGAUAACAUUGAACGACUUUCCCGUUAGGUUAUCUACUUUCUGUAAAUUUUCACCAUAUUCCUGGCAAAUUACAAUAGAAUUUUGGCAUCAACUUUGAGAAGGUAGUGCCAUUUUACUUCCACAUUAACUUUUAGGUACAAAAGUUGAAAUGGUGCAAAGAAAAUUACAGUUAAACAAUGGCAUCGCAUGCAAGUAUAGAAGAUUAUUAAGAAAGGAGCAUGUGUUUAUUUGUAGAUUUCCACCACUUCCACUCUCAUCUUAUUUUUCUUAAAAAUCACAUUUUAUUUUCAAAUCAUCACUCGAGCGAAGUCCCAUACCACUUCACUCAACCCAUUCAGAAUUAUCGAUGAAUAAAUAUUUGAAUAAACUCUUUAAAAUAAAGAAAUAAUUUUCAAAUUAACAAGUAAAAAGAUGUUCCAAUUGAGAAUUUCAUUACAUCAUUCAAGAUAAACUCGUUUUAAAUUAACUGUUUAUGUUAUAGAUUUGUGAAUGAGUUGGUAAUGAUAAAUCCAUAAAUGUUUUUUUAUUCUCAAAUUUGAAAAGGCAGGCAAAAAGAACACUUCAGUUUGAGUUCUAAUAUAUGUAGUGUUUGGUUGAGGGUACAUAGAUUUGGAAAUGGAAGUCAAAGGGGGGUGGCACAUGGCCAGCCCUAAUAGAUUAGGGCCAACUUUGCUUUUUCAUAAUGUCAACAAUAGAAGAAAAUGAUGCAAUUAUAGACCAAGGCUUCUACUUAUUAUAAACCUUUUUCUCAACUCCAAUUUAAUUCACUAAUGUUUAAUAUAUAAUAUUUAGGGUAAAUUAUACCAGUAGUCAUCUAAUUAUGUUCUUUUUUCUAGUCAUCCAAUCAUGAAAAAUUAUAAAAUUUUCACUCAAUUGUUCAACUUUUAUCUUUUUUGGUUAUCCAACUAGCUUAGAUUUUUGGAUGUUUCUAUUUUUACGUUAACUCGCCGAUGACAAAAAAAGACAAAAUUGAAUAUUGAGUGACUAUUUUGUAACAUUUCAUUAUUAAUAAUUAAGUGACUACUAAUAUAAUUUAUCCUAAUAUUUAUUAGGAUAAAAAUCACUCACCCCUCAAGUUUACUGUAAAAUAUAAUUUCCCUUAUAGUUUGAAGAAUACUCUAAGCAAAUUUAAAAUAAAAAGACAAUUAACUCUAUUUAAUUUAUUCAUUUACCUUACGAAAAUUUAAUUCUAUUUUUGAACUACCAUAAAAUUAAAUAUAUUUGACUUAUGUAUUAAAAAAAAUCUAUUUCACUUCAAUUAAAAUAAUGUAUCUUAAAUUUAUAUUUAAUUUAGUUCAUGUUAAUCUUUAGAUGAAUUUAUUAAAUUAUUUUUAUAAAAAUUAAUUAAUAAUCAUUAUUUAAAAAGUUUGAAUAAAAAAUUUACUAAAUAAUAAGAAAAAUGAUUAACCACAAAGAAAAAAUAUUGAGGACAGAACAAAUAAAUAGAAGGCUUAAUUAAAUAAAUGUUGAUCCUUCCCGCUGUUAAAAAGAAAAAUCAGAGCUAUCAUUAAAAUCUAAUUAAAUAAAAUAUAUAUUAAUAUUAAAUAAAAUUAAAAAAAAUCCUCCCCACCAAAGCAGGGUACGGAAUCGCGUUCCAGUCCACAACCAAAGCAACCUAUCAAUAUCUGUUAGUAUUCAUGAGUGACAAACAAUGUGGGGAUCCUGAAAUCCCGUUGUAACAUUACAUCCUUAAGCUGCACCACAAAAACAAUCUGAAUCAACUUCAAAUGCAGCACUCAUCCCACCACCUCCUUACCUUACAACUCUUCUUUUCAAACGUAUUUGUGAUUUCAGUCUGAGAUGGUCUCUUUGGAAUCAAUUUCAGCCAUACCAUCAAGUUAGAUUAAGUUUCAAUUUGCAUAGUUUUACACUGCGUGUUUUAGAUUAAACCUCGCGUUGGCUCAAACUUAGGGGGAGGGAUGGUGGUGGGAGAGAGGGAGAAAAACGAUGUGAUACCUCACACCCGACUCAAUUGCCGAGCCCAAAUGUGAGACACCAUAUUUGUUGUCAAAGCAACUCAAACUGACUCGUACAUUGAAUUCAUCAUGAUAAUCAAACAUUAAUGCAUAAGUAACCCAACUGAACACGUCAAUUUAACUUAACUUAACAUGCAAGCAACACCUGUUUCAUUGAGUAAACACCAUAUAAUGAUCAUGCAUACCAACAUAACCUCAUAUUCAUACCACUUCACAUAUAUACAAACUUAACUUGGCUUACGAUUCACUAGCAUUGUAAAUUUAAAUCAUAGAAAGGGGCUUUAAAGCUAGCUUUGACACUAGGUGCAUGCCAACUCGAAACAUUAUAUUUUAAAGAUUAUACAAACAUUGCUCAAUUGAGAAGUGAGUCAUGGAUGCUGUCGAACUUUUUGUACCCACGAGACCUAAUCGUCACUAAAUUAUUUGUUCGUCUUCUGUUCUUAGCCUUACGUUGUUCCUCAUUUUCAACCUUGCUCAAUGACACUAGUGUAGAAAUGAUAUUAAUUUUUCAUCAUUAAAUAUAUUAUUCAAACCUUUCACUUUAGUCUCCUUAAAUCCUAUUAUUUAAAAUUCUCGUAUUUUACUAUUUACCCAAUCAAUUUAUAACUAUUCUCCAGGGACCUCAAACUAUCAUUAUUUACUAAUAAAUCUCAUAGUCCUUAUUUUUUACAAAUAAAUCCUUAGUAAUUUAACAAACAUCACCACUUCAAUUCUAAGAUGUAUAACAUAAAAUCUAAAUUCAACAACUAAGAUUUCACGGCUUUCUAACUUAAUAUUCUACAUUAAAACUUCAUCAAUUUAUCAAUCUAACAAGUGAGUUUUUCAUAUCUAUCAUUGAUUAUAAGAAUCACAAAGAAAACCUUACCAAUUUUUCUUACGGCAAUGAAGGAAAACCAAAGCCAAAACUCCUUUCUUCUUUCUUGGUUCGGCGGGAGAGAUGAUGAGAAUGAAUAAGGUUUGUGUCUCUUGCUCAUUUACUAUACCUUAUUUCCAUCUAAUAACAUUAAUCAAUGGCCCAAAUUUCUCAUGAAAGAUCUAGUGGAUGUUUAUGGCAUUCAUCAAUGCUUGCUACUAACUUCUAAGUCAACUAUGGGUUAAUUAAGUUUAAGUCCAUGUUUAAUUGUUUAGUAAGGACCUGCUCAAAUCUUAAAUCAAAUCUCCUUAUUUACUCACCUUAUAAUUUAGUCUUUGUACUAUUUGUGUAAUAACUUAAUCAAUUUAAUGGUUCAAUUGUUCUACCAUCUAACUUUGUACUUAUCUCUAUAAUUUUUUGUUUUAAAAUUUUUGGAUGGCUCGGUUUGAUAAGUUCAAUUUCGAAAUUAAUUUUUUUGGCACCAGUAGAAAUCAGGUUGUUACAAGUAACGAGGAGAGGGAGGUGUUGAUUUGAUUUAACAUUAAUAUAAAAAUUUUAUUUGAUUAUUUAAUAAGGUGAUGGUGUGGCGCUUCUUAAUUAGCUCUGACUAUUCUUUUAUAGGAAUAUAGUGAUAAAGACCAACUUUAAUUACGGAAAAUAAUUUAAAACCGAAUUCAAACAAAUGACAUAAUUUAAGAGCCUCAUAUUAAAUUAACCCUAAAUUGGAUAAUAAUUAAGUAAUAAAGGGUUAUUUAAAAUUCAUUUAAUAAUUAAAACUUGAAGAUAGUAUAUUUUUUUUAUCAAGCUUCAACAGAUAAGUGGGUAUCUUUCAAACCAUAUCGGUUUCCAUAAUUAAAAGAGGGUAGGCGAAUUUUAUAUCGGUUUAAAUACUUUACCUUCUAAAAAAAUUAAUUAUAAAAUAUGAAAAAUUCCAUAAUUAAAAGAUAAAUAAUUAUAAAACAAUAAUAUAUGAUAAAUAAUAUAAUAAUAAAUGUUAAAAUAUGCUCCAAAUUUUUGUAUUUUUUAUACACUUGGAGUUUAAUUCCCCUAAUUUUAUUUUAAAAAAUUUAUGAAUUUGAAAAUGCAAGUUUAAUUGUUAACACGUUAAAAUUCUUUUGUUUAAUUCAAGUUCAUUACAAUUUUUUUUUGUUACAUAAUUAUCAAAUGAGUAAUUUCUUUUAACUUUAAGAUAUCACACCAAGAAAAUAUUUAUUUUAGCCAUUUAUUUAUUUUUUCUCCUUUUCAACCCUUAAACUUGUAUUUUUUUUAUCAAAUCAUCCCAAAAUGAAAUGAAAAGGUUAAUGUUUUUUAACUUUGCGAACUAUACACACGCCAACAUUUAAUUAAUUUUUUUAAAAUUUAAAAAUUUAAAAAUUUAAAAAUUAUAAAAGUUAUUUUUAAAAAUUAAAAAUUAUAAUUUUUUUAAUUUUUUUAAUUUUAAAAAAUAAUUAAAUGUUGAGAUGUCAUCUAUGUGGCAAUCCACGUGUAUGCCACGUCAACAAAGUUGACAAACGUUAAUUUUUUCCAUCCAUUUUGAGUGAUUUAACAAAAAUGCAAGUUUAAAAGUUAAAAGAGGCGCAAAAAUAAAUUAAAAGCUAAAACGAUCUUUUGUAAAGUUGAAAGGCCAUAGAAGCAAAUUAUGCCUUUUUUGUUUCUUUAUAAAAUAAGAAAAAAAAACAACAAAAUACCCCCAUAAUAAUAGACCUAUUCAUAGGUCGGGCCACCCUACUUAACCUGAAGGCCCGUCCGAAAAGUGAAAGAGUUUGGGCAAAAAAUAAGGCCCAAAAAAUGGGUUGGGCAAAAAAUAAGGCCCGUUUAAAAAACGAUCUAGGCCUCGAGUAAGACAUUUUUGAUCCAGUCCCCGCCCAACCCAAAUUCACAAAAGGACAAAAAAAUCUAUUUUUUUUCUAUUUUAAUGCUAUUUUCUUGUUACUUUCUCCUUAUUUUGCUACUAUUUUGUUAUAAUUGCUGAAAUAUUGUAAAACACUUAUUUUAUUAUUAAAUUUGUUAUUAUUUUAAAAAUAUUUACUUGUUAAGUUGCAUCUAUCUAUCGAAGUGUUAUUUAAAUAUACAUAUUUUUUAAAAUUUAUUUUUAAUUUGUUGAAAAAUAUUUAUUUUAAUCUUUUUAAUAUUUUUGAUGUAUUAUAUAUAUUUAUAAAUUAUAUAAAAAGUUUAAUAUGGGCGGGUUAGGUCACUUUUGAGUUUUAACAUCUUUAUCUGGGCCAAACUUCGGGAAAUUUUAAGCCUAUUUUUUAAACCAGGCCUAAUAUUUUGGUUGAACCCAACGCAUGAACACCUCUACAUAGUAAUAUAAUUUAUUUAAAACAUUUUAAUAAUUUCAUUAACUAAGUUGAUAUCGAAUUGACUCAUGACACCGACUUAAUGAUGCAACUUAAAAAAAUAGUAUAGAUAUUCCAAUUUAUAAUUAGUUUUCUAUUAAAUGAAAUUAUUAAUAAAAAAAAGUUACAUAAGAAAUGAUAACACUAUUGAGAGCAGGAGGAAUUCGAAGCUGAUUCAAACGGAUCUUUUAACAACUAGAGAAAUGAUAACAUUAUUGAAUUAAUCACGAACACAGACAAAAACUUCCUAAGUAAUAAAUAAAAAAAUUAAUUAAUAUACAUUUGCACUAGAGCAUAGUGUGUUGCGAUAUGGAACAUUAGUGGAGUUAUAUUUUCAUAGGUUGACUGAUGUCAUGAUCUUCCUAGGGCAACAUUACAAUAUAGGAAUAUAAAUAAAUGGUUUUAAAAAUACUACAGCUAUUUACAAUCAGCCUAGCUAAGGGGUUGGUUCAUCUAUCAUUAACUUUGGUCAAGAAAACUCAACAGAAAGCCACUCACAAUUCGGCGAGCUACAGGGUUAGGGAUACUUCGACACAAUCUUCCAUCAAUAUAUGCCAGUAUACCUGAAAGCACAAAUUUGACUAUUCCCCAUUUCCAUAUAAACCUUACCUUCUGCACUUCUCCCGUGUCUGCAGGGACAAUCUCUUUCGCUUCAUCUUUCUCUGCUUCUUUCUUCGAUUUGAUGAUUGCGAUAUAUUUAUCCGCUUGACUUCUUAAUUUACGGAUUGCAAAACUCACAAACAGGUGCUCACACAAUGUUAUGAUGGUCGGUCCUAUUCUCCAUUCCUGGAGUAACAAAUUAUCCUCCAUUAAUAGAAUGUGAGUGUGGCAAUAAACAUCAGUGUUCAGCACAGUCCAUUUACAAUUACAGAAUGCACAUACGCAUGUUCCCCUUUCUCGGUAUCCUUUCUUCCCUCUCAGAGAUCUCUAUACUAUAUUUCCAGUUUCCAAAGAGAUGCAGAAAUCAAAAAGACCCACUUAAAAAAACAAAGCAGAGAGAGACAGAGACCAAUAUAAAUGGGAAAACACAAACACACAUGGUAUCAUUAUACAAAUCAAUCUUGCACUGACUGGAUACUAGAAAACGUAGUGGAAAGGAUCAGAAAUGGCAACUUGGAUUGUUCAAGAACCCUCAAAAGCACAAAAAUUUAAUAAAGUGGCAGAUUAAAUUGAUGGAUAAACUUACACUUUCUCCUUGAACAUUGCGAAAAGGGCGGGAAGCUGUUGCAGGAUCUCCUUUCAAUAAUGCUUUGCUUAUAAGAAACCCCUUCACACUAUCCAUGAUCUCAUUUAUGAGGGAACUGUUAGGAGGUAGAUUUUUGAGGAAAACCUAAAUAUAGAAUAAAUCAGAAAAGAGCAUGUAUGAAACUCAUCCGUCAAGUUGGUAAGGCAAAGCAAGAUUCUGAAAAUGAAGGUGGGUUGGGAAGCCAAAAUUUAUCCUCAAAAGCAAGGUAUACUUGGAUGAACACUUUGUUAGAAGUGAUAAUAUAAUUAUGAAAGACCCACAUAAAUUAGAUGUCCCCUUUCGCUGCUAUCUAAAUCUCAAAUAAAUAAAUAAAUUUUGUUGCAGUACUGAUAUUUCUAUUUUCUCACUUAAUCAGUUACCUGGUCAUCAAUUACUCUCACUCGAAGAUAUUCUUGCCUGUACAUUGAGUCUAACAUAGCUUGUAGAUAUCCUUCAAUGUAUAACUGCAGAAGUUGAAACCUUAUCAGUGACCAUUAAAGCAAAAGUAAAACAAAUAGAUUAAUAACAUCAGAAAAAAUCAGCAUCCAUUGAGCAGUGAGGCAAAGCAAUAACAAUCUGAAUUCCUACAGAAGUAAUCACAUAAAGAUGCUGCUUAAUAUCACAUGCAAAAAAACACUAGUUUUCAUGUGUGUUUUUCAGGUUCUCUGGUCAUGGUUCUGUAUCUGACACUCGUUACUAGGUAUCUAUAUCCUCAGCAUUAUUAGUCAAUACUGCUUUCAUUACUGUAAAAGGAGACUUGAACCGAACAGUAUGAUAUAGAAUUAAGAGUACAAAAAACUGAGAUUGUUACCUCAUCAACCCCAGGGCUCCUAUCAAGCUUGAUUUUUCUGUCUGGCCCACUCCCCAUCAAGGCUGUACCCAGGACCGAAGGCUCCAUAGCCAAUUUUAAUAUUCCUUGGUGAAAUCCACUCACCUUUAGAAUAAACAGUCGACUGUCACUUUCAACAGUUAUCCUUAGUAAUACUUAGAAAAUAAGCUAGAAAACUUAUGCAAAUAUAUGCAAAAUGACACAUUGACUGGUACCAUCCCAUUGAAACCGCUUGCUUCUGCCCCCUUCAAAACAGAGUCAGAUAUUUCGGUAACAGCAGCAAAAAUUACAUUAGAGCCUGCUGUUUUUAGCUGCAGAGUUGGCACAGAAAUAACAUAGGUAAGUGCAAAGGAAGUAGAAAGAAAAUCACAUUCCUUAUUGAAGGUUUAUAGAACUUACAGUUUUACCCAGAUCACCAAAGUAGCGUUUUGUUCCCGAGAAACCUUUACCAUCAAUACAUCUACUGAUGAAUUUAAAGGUACCUGUGCAAAAUGAACAAAGCAGAAAUAAAAUAUCUCAACUUACAAACAGCCAUAAUCAAUUAUGAUAAAAUAAAUAUAUCUGAAUCUAGAACCUGAACUUAAUCACAGAAUAAGCAGUCUACACAUAAUCAGUGCCUUGAAAAGUAUAGUCCCCAGAACUAAACUAUGAAUCUUUUAUAUUUCUCAUAACUCUUAUAAUGCAAAAUUAAAAAAAAAAGGGAAUUCCCAACUCCAGUUUCAGUAAUGUAGCAUAUGCACCUAAAAUCUAGUGAUGAUGACCCUCUCAUAUAUGCCCAAAUAAAUCAUGCAUGCAGAAUAGGUAAAACAAAUAUCAUAGAUGCCACUAUUAAUUCCAAGGUAAACCCAUACAGGAAAGGAAGACUUGAGUGAACAAACCAUAUAGAAACCAUACCCCAUUUGAAACCAGGAAGAUUCAUCAAGCCUUGAGAAGGAUCAAAAAAGAUAUCAAGGGAAGACGAAGCUAAGUCAUCAAAUAUCGACGCAAAAGCUGGGGGCAGUAGUUGGCUACCUUUAGCAAUAGAAAUGGACCUCAUGGCAUACCUGGUUAAUUAUAUCAUUCUGAAAGUGAGGAUACCAUAGUUGCAAAACAAGCAAAACAUAAAUGAAGAUCUUACCAUGAAUAAUGUUGUGCACAUCUUAUUAACAAUUCACGAAUUGUUACUAGAGCAUGAGUAACCGAGACACCAUUUAGCUCCACAGCCACCUUUUUUAUAGGAGGAACCUAUAGAAGCAAAAGAAAAGUGUAUAAGAAAAAGGAAAAUGACCCUACUCAAGAUGACACCAAAGAACGCAUGUUUCACUAUAUAAGAACAACUAAAAUCAUGCAAGCAUAUAUUAAGAGCGAGCACAGAACACAACUCUCACCUUUACAACACUAUGUAGCAAUGUUCUCAGAGCUUCCUGGGCUGAAUUAUAACUAGAAUAGGAUUCCCCAGGAACAAAAGUUGCAAUAAUCUGUAGGUAGAAGAUAUAUUAAAACUAAUGUGGUAGUUAAGACAGUCAUCAAGAAGAAAUAGAAGCAAAAAUAUAUUUCCUUUAUUGGGUGGAUCUCAAAAUUGUCAAAAUAAAACUGCUGACUCGGAGAACUUGAGUCACUCAGAGAUGUUCUCCAAAAUGAGACGAUUUUCAUCAAAGUAUCCUCAUCAAUAUUCAAAUCAAUUGGCUGCAUAAGAAAAAGCAACAAACUUUGAGCUGCUGUACUCUGUUCAGGGAAGUAAAUAGUACCUUCAAAUUUAAGCUAUUCUUCACAGUUCCCAACACCCAUAGUUUCUAAAAGAAAACAGAAACAAAAGGAACAAAUGCUACAAUGGUUCAGGAUAGAUCCCAGAAAGAUAAAUACAGACUGCCUCAUUAUACCUGCAGAAUAACAGAUGCAUAUUUAACUUGUUUAACAUCAGCGCCUGCUGAAAGUAGGAAAAAUAUGAUUUUGAGCAUGCUAUCAUUUGCAUCACUGUCAUCUAACCGAUGUCUACGUAGCAUUGAUGCAACAGGAGCUCCCAUCCACUUGACAUCAACCGUCAAUGACUAGAAUGAUGGUUAAAUCAAGGAGCUAUUAGUACUCACAACACUAAAAGUAUAUCAAUUUAAACUCUUAGCACAUUUUAAGGUAUCAAACACAUGGAAAUAUUUUACCUGAACAGCAAUCUGGUUAUAUUUCUGUUGGUCCAUGAACAAAGAAUCCAGACUAAUGUUAUGAAGCCUUGCAACAGCAAAUGGUGUAUAACAAAGUGUUCCACUCUGGUUUAAAUCCUUGACAAUAUUAUAACAUCAAACAAAGACAAUAAGUUGAACAGACCAAUAUCAUCACGAUGCACUUUACCAAACCUAUGAUAAAUAUAAAAUGCAAUCAAAUAAUCAAAGUCUGAUUUCUACUUUUCAUGCUGUCCAAUUUUACUUUUUGGGAUUUUCACUUUAGCAAAAUCGAAAUCUUUUAGCAAUUUAGUCAAUCCAAGGUCUAUUCUAUGUGUUUCCAAAAGUUCCUUUUAAGUGCAAUACAGUUUUUAUGCCUUAAGUAGUUAGUUCACAAGUCAACAAGGCUUCAUGAUUGAGCACCUAAGACCAAAGUAGAAGAAUAUUCAGUCAUUAAGGCCUGGAAGAGAAUUGUCUAGUUUGGCACAAUUAGAUCUAAGCAGAUAAACAUGGCACCUGCAAAUCAGAGUGAUAUUGCCCUUUGCUAGUUUUCUGAGUUCAGACUAUGAAGGAAUGAAAUUAUCACACAAAGAGAGAGGGAGGAGAGACCUCUUUUGCCUUCUCAAGCAAUUGGAUAGCAAACUGGGAAACUCUCAUCCGAAUCUUAGCACAUGAGUGAAAAGCUUUGUCUUGCUUAUGACUAUCUGAAAACUCACAAAUCCGCAAAACACGUGUGGGACCAUCUGCAUAUACUUCAUAUCCCACCCUUACUGCAUUCAUGCCCUGAUGCUCACCAAAUCUACUUCUCUUACCCUUGGAUUUUUUGUCAAAAAGUAUAUGAGACGCUAACCUUUCUUGUGUAAGUUUAUAAAAGGGCUUCCAUGUCCGCACUUUGUCUAAGUUGAUUUCUCGCGGCAGAUUCAUAUCUACAAGGAAAAUCAGCAUAGCCAUAAUUUCAUAAGCAUUUUUCUCAACAUUUAAGCUAUGGACCACUAAUGUGUAUAUUCAUGUAACAGCCCUGAACGACUAAAUAUGCUUUGUCUAAGUAUCUGCUUAUUGAUCUAAUUGUAUAUUAGUGUAACAGUAAAGCAUAGUAGAAUUCUACAGAAAACCGUAGAAGAAUAUAUUUUCUAGCAGCAUCCCUGUCUAAUCCUCCACCUAAAUUUUCUAUGGUACAUGAACACUUCCAUUCCAACUAAAGACAGAUGAGAAAAUAUAUAAUUCGAACACUAUCUUAAGUUUGACACAUCAAAAAUUAUGCUCACUGAAGUCAAAUGAACUCAUUAGUAGAACAAACUUAAGGCUCACAACAGAGUGAGAUCCAAAAUAGAAUUCUCAAUUAUAAAAUGCAAGAAAAGAUCAAUAUACUUGGACGUACAAGUUCUUUAUGAAUCCCUUUUACUUGUUCUACUAUGAAAAUCAAAUUCCAGAAAAUUCAUUGCAAAGCAAUUACACAAUAAAGAAUAAACCUACAGAAACUUAUCAAUACUAGCUGUAAAAGCAACCUUAAAAUGUAUGUUAAUGAUAUGAACAAGGCAUUUGCAUUCAGCUGGUUAAAUUGUUUUCCACGAAAGUAGAAACUGAUUUACCAAGGCAUUUUAUGCUAAUAUAUAUAAAAAAAAACCCCUACAUCUCUCUUCCCAAAAGCAGCCAAGAAAGCCCUAAUGGUGAAAAGGCAACUAGCAAGAUUAGUUCAUAUCAAAUGCAAAGUAUAAUACCCAUACUCCCUUUUCUCUAACAGUCCUGCUAAAACUGGAUGAUGGUUAACAGAAACCAGGAAACCAUUACAGGCUUAUCUUCAUGGAAAUCUCCAAAAACUAAUUGAGGAUUGCCAAUCGUCGUGAAAUGUCAGUAGAAAUCAGUUACAGGUCAUGUUUCCUGCAUCUUCCUACUUAAAGUUUUAGGGGAGAGUUCAUAAAAAAAUCCAUAGGGCCCUAGUGCAGUUAGAGGAUUCAUUUGGUUAAAGGUGGGAAUGGUGCAACGAAACAGCUUAAGAUGGAAGUUAACAUUAAUUCACACAUCUGUUGAAAUAAAGUUUCUCUCACUUUCAAGAAACUGCUGAUCUCAGUGAAAUAUACUUAUGCAUUAAAGGAAACUUUUAUCAAAGUGUUUGAUUUAUAAAUCAUAUAAUACAUUGUCAGAAAUUCAAAUGUCUAAUCAGAUUAACAAAGCAACCGUCACAUUCAAUGCUUCGUUCAAGUGGUCUUUUCCACUGAUUUUGAGUUGCUCUACCUUCUAACUUUUAGCUGGCUAGAUCAAGUGGCAUACAGUUUUGCAACCAUCUUGAUGAGAACCCGAAGACCAAACUUAAAGUAAAUAAAAUAUAUUGCCUGGCAUAUCACUCAGAUAAAGAGAGAGCAGAAGUUAAUAGAAACAGAUACGUGUGCACCCAUUGUGAAUACUCCACGUUCUAGGAAAUUAUAAAACUCAAACGUGUAAGAAGAAACAGCACAAAUGAUAGAUCCAAACAUGUUGCACAAGGAGUUUGACUGUUCCAUUCUCCAAAGUUCAAAUGUCGGUUAUGUUGAUUACAUCAUAAUUACUAUAAAAAUACAUGCAAGUUUGGAAUAAUGAGAGGCAAGUAAUUACCAUUUAGUAUAACAACCAGUUUACGAGGAAGUGUAACAUCAUCCCAGGUAUAAUCAACAAAGCAUUCAGAUCCAAGAAACUCUGACUCUGAUGAAUUCUGGGAAAUUUCCAAUAAUAAUUAUCAGUAACAAAUUAAUACAUAUGGAAUGCCUCAAUUGAGCAUUAACUAAUUAGACAGAAUAAGUAACAUGGACUCAAAGCACAACCUUCUGAUAGUAAGUGAGGGAUGCACCAUGCAGAUAAUUCUCAAUCCGAUACGGUAGCUUGCUGCUUGGUGGUUUUUGGAAGCGCACUACAAUUGUAGAACCUUCCUCGACUACAUGAACUUCUGCAAAUUCUGCAAUCUUUUUGUCCUCUGCUGUCAACUGACUAGAAUGCUUUCUAAAUUUUAGGAAAAAACGUCCUAAUGAAGUGAUGCAUAAUGGUCCUGACCAGUCCAACUGAGACUCAUUCAACCGAAACUGAAUAUAUAUUAAAGAACUAUCAAAAUCAUUUCUAUGCUUUUUGAUGAUAUUCUCAAAUAAACUGUAUUCUGCCCUCUUGCCAAUUUCUUUCUGCAGCAAUAGUGCUGCACUCUGUCUACUGUUGAUGGAAAUCAUGCCAGCUGUGUCAACCUUCACAUCCAAACACCGAAAAGGGGAAGAACAAAGAAAGUAAGAACUUGAAAUGCAUAAAAUAAAACUGCAUCCUACAUCGGUGGGUACAAACCUCCAAAUUACACUGACGAACAGUAAUAUUUUCCUCUGACUCAUUCAGCACAACAUGCCUUGGAGCAAUUGUUAUUGUUUGUGAAGGAACAACACUAUUCAAGGAAGGUGCAAUAGAUACCCCAAACUUUGCAAUAUAUUUCACUCCAGAUCUUUCCGCUAUCUCCAGACUUACUUCUGUAGGGCCUGAUAGAGUAUCCAAAUCAAUUUGUGGUUCUGAUGCAGGAUUUUCGAAUAACCUGAGAUGCAUCUUACAGGAUCUGGCGGCAGGAGUGCACAAAAAAGUUAUAACCAAUGAAGAAACCAUAAUAUCAAAUAUGCUCUGAUCAUAAAGGUAGAUAACGAACUUUAAAUGCUAUAUAACAGUUCCAAAAAAUUUUGCUUACCGCAAAAACCAUGACCCUGUUGACUUUGGGGGUAAAAAUAAACCUAAUUCAGGACGAAUGCCCUCCAUUUCAUUUCUGCAGAUGUUCAUGAAUUAUGGCCAUGAAGUAUAUAAGAAAGCAUAACCCAGCACUUUAAGAAUUUGCUAACAAUUUUCAGAGAUAGAAACUACCUAAACGGAGGCUUCUGACCAGAAGCAAAGAAGAACAUAGAGAAAUCGGUUUCAUUCUUCAGGAUAUAUGGUGUAUAAACAGUAGCCUGUAACAGACAAAUAAUUCAGCUAAUACAUGCUCUGGAACUUGUUAAGCAUCCAUCCAAAAAUCAAUCGGUAAUAAGAGGAGGGGCCCAACUUUAAAACCACAGGGAACCUAAUAUUUAACAGAUGUGAAAUUACACCACUUAACACUCCCCUCACGUGUAGCUCACAGGGCCUACAUGUGGACAACCUUACCAGGGGUCAGGUUGGAAAAACAACAUAACAAAACCUUGGUUCUCAUAGAUGUUAAGCAUCCAACCUAAAACCAAUUGAUAAUAAGUGGAGGGACCCAGCUUAAAUAUAAGACCAUAGGAAACCUAAUAUCUAGCAGAUGUGGGAUAACACUUAAUAGAACUUCUACAGCAAACAAAACUAAACAUGAUUAAAAAAAGAAAAAAUGAAAACUCAUGAUACGUGUGCACCUCAGAAAAUAUAUCAUCAAGAAAAAUUUAGAAUGUAUCACAUUUGCAAACAACCUCUAAUAUGCCUUUGUAUCCACGGGAUAAUCUUAAGGAUGCAAAGUAUUUUCCACCACAGAAAUCCAGGUCAAUGUCCAAGCAACGAACACCAGUCUUAUGCUUCAGUAACUUCUUGACCCAUUCUCCACUAUUUACUGGUUUAGAUGUUGAACUAAAAGCAGUUAAUGAAACCAAAAAGUACAUUAUAGCAGGAUUAGCAUAAAAAUCAACAGUUGAUCUGCAAGGUAGAGUUGCCUCCUUCCCAAUGUUGUCAUGGCCAGUAGGGGUACAUGAAUCUGCAACAAGAUGGAAGUUAAAAGAGUAAAAAUAACAAAUACUUUAUUGUUCAAAAAACUCGCAGGUCAUACUUGUCUCAGUCAAAAGCACGUGUAUUUCUGAGUGCAGAAGAUUGGAAACGCGCACAGUGGGGAGAAUACAAAUUUCUUUCUGCUCUUGUAGUGAAAUUGGUGCAUUUCUAUUUUCAAGCCCAUCCUUGGACUUAUCAGGUUUCAUGAUAGGAACUUCUCUUCCAAUGCUUUGAAUUAAAAAGUGCAUGUUAGAAACAUGUCCAGCUGCAGAUUUGACUGUACAGGAGGCCGUGUGAUACGAGUCACAAAAGCCCAAAUUCUUGAAGGCGAGGCCCAAUAAGCAAAUUCCCAGCCCAAUCAAGAAAUCCAUCCAUACUUAGUUGAAAAUCAGGCCAAAUUGUCAAAGUGGCCCAAGUUGUAAAGUUUUAUUUUUAUUUAUUUAUUUAUUUAUUUUACUUAGUUUAAAUUUUUAUAUUCAGUCCAAGAGUCCCAAAUAAAAUACCCUUGGCCGAAUUUCCAUAUUAAAAUAAUUAGGAGUUUUUUUUUAGUUUUAGUUUUAGUGUUCUAAUUAAAUUAGGAAAACAUUUGAAAGGCCUAUUUAUAUGGCUUGGCCAGCCACCCUACAUUACAUUACAAUUAUAUUGAAAAUUUCAGAUUUGAUUUGAGUGAAAAUUCUCUUUGAGUUCUUCAAGGAUUUUCUCUUGAGUUUUCUUUAGAAGUUGUUUUAACAAUCUUUUUGAUUGUGGGAGCCAUCUUCAACCUUCUUCUUGCCAUUGAUAUUCUUUGGAGGGGAGAUUAGAGCCGUUUGAAGGGAGUUGUGAGAUCUUUCGAGAUUUCAAGGCUUCUUAGGACUUAUCUUUUAAUUUCUUACUGUCAAUUCUUUCUUUAUUUCUACUUGUGCUGAAUCAUUAUCUAAUCUAUUUUCUGUUCUUAUUGUGUUUUCAGCCUUUUUCUAUCUUAAGGAAUCAGCCCAAAAAUCCCCAAUUUCUAGGGUUUUUCUAUACUCUUUUUGGGUGAAAUUAGAUUGUCGAAAUUUGGGGAAAACUAUCUUGGUGUUCAAUUGGGCAGAAUCACAAUCUCCUUGAGGGUUUCAAGAACCCUAACACUUAUUUCUAUUCUCUAUUUGAUUCUUUACUGUUUUGGGGAUUUUAUUUCAGAUCUGAAAAUUCAAAAAUCUAAUCUUUUAAUUUUCUGUUUCGUUUCAGAUCUAAUUGUUUAGGGUUUUCGUAGGAGUUUCCCGUGACUUGGCAACUCGAUCUUGGUCCGCGCGCAACCUCGUAUCAUUUGGUAUCAGAUUUUGGGCGUUUUGGGUGUUCUUGGUUGAUUUCUAAACUGAUCUCUAUUUUUUAAAGCAUAAACAACAGUAUUACCCAGAAAAAAUUGUUCAAAAAAAAUUCAUUUGAGUGGGUAAACGUUGUCCUAUUGAUCUGAAAUUUUACAUACAUGUUUUUGGCACUGUGAUUGAAUAUAAAAAAAUUAUUCCCGCAAAAAAAUCAGUCAAAAAAGUCAAAAAAAUCAAAAAAGACGAAAUUCAAUAAAAAUUUAAAAAAAGAUUCAGCGGGUUGAAUUUGGUGCCCAAAAUUUCCAGAUCAAAAAUUAAAUAUAUAAGGACAUUCCAGAUUUAAUUUCGUGAUUUUUGGAGAUCGGUAACACCUCGAACGAAGUUGUCAAGUUACUCCGCAGUUUUUCGGGUUUUCUGUUUUCAGCAAUUUUUAUUGAUUCUUAGCUGUAGGUUUUCAUUUGUUUGCUUUUAUUCUUCCGUUACGUUAUCUAACACCUUCUUGUUUCUUGUGUUAGUAGGAUUUACACGUGUGCACAACUCCUUCCUCGGUGCAACACGAAUCACUUGGUGUCUCGUCAGUUUUUGGCAUCCUAGUGCAAAUUAGGAUUCUUUGGUAGUUUGGUUCACACUCUCUAAUUGGUUGAUAUAAACUCUGAUAAAGAACUCACAAGAUUGAAUUCGACCUCAUUGAGAAUUUGAUUUUUCUUUUUGAGUGAUUAAUGGUGAGGUUUGCUAACUUUUAUUUUUGAGUGUUGAGUGUUUAUUUUUUACAGUUUUGAAGAUGUCUAAAGGUGAUAAUAAUGAUCCACUUAUGAAAGUCCAACAACAGUUAGACGGACAUACUGCUGCAAUCACACAAAUAAAUGUUACACUUCAAGCAUUGAAUACUACUUUGAAUGAGGUACGAGUGAAUCAAAAACAUCAAUAUCGAGAUCCAAUUAAGGAAGAUAGGGAUAACCAGCCCCAUAGGUGCAGCCCUCAACGUGUCCCUAGAAUGGAUGAUGAUUUUCAUGAUCGUGGACAAUCAUCUUUGGCAAAACCAAAGAGCGAGCAGCAACGAGAACAUCUCUUUCAUACUCGCUGCCAUGUACAAGGUAAGCUUUGUAGAGUUAUUAUUGAUGGUGAAAGUUGCUCAAACAUAGCCAGCACGACGAUGGUGGAAAAGCUUUGCUUAACCACUACCAAGCAUCCACAACCUUAUCAACUACAAUGGCUUAGCAACAAAGGCCAAUUUAGGGUCACUCAACAAGUGCGCAUCGCCUUUUCUAUCGGUAAGUAUCAAGACAAAGUUGUGUGCGACGUAAUGCCUAUUCAAGCCUGCCAUUUGUUGCUAGGAGAACCAUGGCAACUGGAUCGAAAAGUCACUCACGAUGGUCGUACCAAUAGGUAUUCUUUCAAGCAUCAAGGAAAGAAACUUACCUUAGUGCCGCUCCCUCCGGAACAAGUCCAUGAGGACCAAAUCAAACUGAGAAAUUCUGUUAAAACAAGUGAGGAAAAAGAAAAAGAGAAUGAAAAAGAGCAAAAAGAGAUUGAGAGUGAAAAGGAAUGUGAAACAGAAAAGAAAAUUGAAAAAGAAGUUGAAGAAAAAAGAGAAAAUGAGUUAGAAAAAGAAACAAAAGAAAAAGACGAGGAAAGGCUAGUGAGGAAUGUUUCCACUAACCAAGAUAUGAAUUUUUCUUGUGUUGCUACUUUUCAGGUUCCCGAAAGAUCGAAAGAUAACUUUCAACUUCAAUACCUCUCAAAUGAAAGACGCUUUCAUACGAUCAACUUAGGCAAAGAUGAAAUCACACUACAUGAUCCCGAAGGUAAGCGAGGUAAGGAAAUUUUAGAAACCGAGUCCAGUGCAGAUUUGAAAAUUAUUAAUAAAACUUUUGGUGACUUAGUUCUUAAAAGAUCCCCUCAUUUUGAUCCGAUUAAUUGUUACUCUUCGAUUGUGGUUGAUAAAGUCCUUACGAAAAGAAGCGUGAUUUGUUAUUCUCUUGAUUUACCUUGUGUAAAAUCCUCGAAUUUGUCCAAAUCUGUUUUGGAGAAUAAGGUAACGAAAUUUUCCAAAUUUGUUUUCAAUUUAUAUUCGUGCCUUAAACAGUUUAUGUGGUUGUACAUGAAGUUUGAGUUCCAUUUGACAAAGGUUAACUCAACAACGGAGAUUCGACUACACUAUGCCCCCGAUGAGCGAAGGUUUGUUUUAAAUGAAAAAGGUAAAAUCGACCCUUAUUCUUCUGCUUAUCGAGGUAAGAUGCUUGAAACCUUUGAAACACUUUUGUACUCCUCGGAUAGUGAUAAAGAUCGUGUUGAUGAACACUUAGAUCGAAACGUGCUUGACUGUCCUAUUUUAUUUAUUGAUGAUCUAUCUGUUUUGAUGGUUGAUAAAAAGAUUCUUGUUUUUGAUAAUGCAUGUGUGAGUGAAUCUAUAGACCGUCGAUUAAUGCAUGGUAUGAUUAUGCAACUCUGUGAACCAUGUGAAUCUUUUCAAAUACCUACUUGUGACGAUUAUGUUUACCAUUUGAUUUAUUACUCGCAAUUUAUUCAUGGUUUGUGGGAACAAUGUGAGACGACUGAAUGCCUUAAAACAUGUCCAUCUUUGUUUCAAAUAUUUGACGAGGCAGUGGUGAGUAAAUUAGAUUGUUUGCAUGGUAAUCUGAAUCUGUCCAUUCACAUGCGUUAUACCUGUUCUAUUAUGCUUAUAAUUGGACUACAAGCUUGUUUGUGUUGCUAUUUACUAUUUCAUGGCUAUUCUUUUCAGUGGACUCAAUUGCCAUUACUCCCGUUCGAUAGAGGAAAGUCGAGUUCAUUUGAUUUUUCAGAUUCGAGGACGAAUCUUUUUGAGGAAGGGGGGAAUGAUACGAGUCACAAAAGCCCAAAUUCUUGAAGGCGAGGCCCAAUAAGCAAAUUCCCAGCCCAAUCAAGAAAUCCAUCCAUACUUAGUUGAAAAUCAGGCCAAAUUGUCAAAGUGGCCCAAGUUGUAAAGUUUUAUUUUUAUUUAUUUAUUUAUUUAUUUUACUUAGUUUAAAUUUUUAUAUUCAGUCCAAGAGUCCCAAAUAAAAUACCCUUGGCCGAAUUUCCAUAUUAAAAUAAUUAGGAGUUUUUUUUUAGUUUUAGUUUUAGUGUUCUAAUUAAAUUAGGAAAACAUUUGAAAGGCCUAUUUAUAUGGCUUGGCCAGCCACCCUACAUUACAUUACAAUUAUAUUGAAAAUUUCAGAUUUGAUUUGAGUGAAAAUUCUCUUUGAGUUCUUCAAGGAUUUUCUCUUGAGUUUUCUUUAGAAGUUGUUUUAACAAUCUUUUUGAUUGUGGGAGCCAUCUUCAACCUUCUUCUUGCCAUUGAUAUUCUUUGGAGGGGAGAUUAGAGCCGUUUGAAGGGAGUUGUGAGAUCUUUCGAGAUUUCAAGGCUUCUUAGGACUUAUCUUUUAAUUUCUUACUGUCAAUUCUUUCUUUAUUUCUACUUGUGCUGAAUCAUUAUCUAAUCUAUUUUCUGUUCUUAUUGUGUUUUCAGCCUUUUUCUAUCUUAAGGAAUCAGCCCAAAAAUCCCCAAUUUCUAGGGUUUUUCUAUACUCUUUUUGGGUGAAAUUAGAUUGUCGAAAUUUGGGGAAAACUAUCUUGGUGUUCAAUUGGGCAGAAUCACAAUCUCCUUGAGGGUUUCAAGAACCCUAACACUUAUUUCUAUUCUCUAUUUGAUUCUUUACUGUUUUGGGGAUUUUAUUUCAGAUCUGAAAAUUCAAAAAUCUAAUCUUUUAAUUUUCUGUUUCGUUUCAGAUCUAAUUGUUUAGGGUUUUCGUAGGAGUUUCUCGUGACUUGGCAACUCGAUCUUGGUCCGCGCGCAACCUCGUAUCACCGUGCUAAAGGAACAUUUCACUGAUCCAACAUAUAAAGCCUUUCGUACUUCAUAGCUUAAUUUAUCAAAAAUUCCAGAAAGGCGAAUUGCCUUUCCACCUUUAAUCUCAUCUGACCACUCGACUGAAAGUGAAGUAUCAGAUUGUAUCAAGUCAUGUGACAUUUCAGGUCUAAAAGAAAAUAAGAAGUUACCUGCAUGUUAUCACCAACCACAUAAAGCUCAUAAGAUUUUGAAAUGAUUUCAGAGAAUCACAUGGAAAAUAGCAGAGUAUUCCUUCACUCCUCACCCCCCAGCCAAAAAAGAAAAAAAAAAAAAAAACCCUUUUUUCUCUUUCUUCCCUCCUUUGUCCCAAAGCACUCAAAAUAUCAUCUUCACUAUACUUAGCAAAUAAACAAUGGCAGUAGGUAGAGAAAAAAUUAAAACUCUCUGCUAAUGAUGUCAUCUACAUAAAAGUUAACAAAAUCAGGAGGAAACAGAAAAUAUAGAAUACAGACAACUCCAUUUAGAGUUCUACGGUCAUAAGUUUUUUUCUGGUUGAGCACCCUCCCUCCCUCCCUUCCCCUUCUUCCCCCAAUUAAUAAGGCAAUUUCAGAGGAAAACAAAAGAGCUUCGCUAAUGACAUUGUCAUCUACAUAAAAAUCAACUUAAUCAGAGGAAAACAAGAAAUCUAGAAUACAGACAACUCCAGUUAGUGUUUUGCAAUCAUAAGUUUGUUCUGGCUGAGCACCUUUUUUCCCCAAUUGAUAAGGCAAAUUCAGUAAGUCACAGUUUUGAAUUUGAUCUGAAGGCUAGCUACCCUGACAUAUAAAUCAAAAUAUCUAGAAUACAGACAACUACAUCUUUUUAUGUGUCUAUGUGUAUGUGCAUGUGGGUUUAUAACAAGCUUGAGAUAUAUAAUUAAGAAAAUACUCUCUAAAAGGUGAUCUAAUUUAUCUAAUUUACGAGGGAAGCUGACUACAUGGAAAAGAAAGCAGUCUAUUGUAGCCAGAAGAGGUGCAGAAGAUGAAAUUAGAGCAAUGCCACAGACAACUCCAAUUAGUUUUACAGUCAUAAGUUUAUUCUGGUUGAGCACCCCCCCCCCCUUUAUUUCCCCAAUUGAUAAGGGAAAUUCAGUAAGUCACAGAUUUGAAUUUGACCUGAAGGCUAGCUAUCCUGACAUAUAGUUCAAAAUAUAUAGAAUACAGACAACUACAUCUUUUUAUGUGUCUAUGUGUAUGUGUAUGUGUAUGUGCAUGUGCAUGUGCAUUUAUAAUAAGCUUAAGAUAUAUAAUUAUGAAAAUACUCUAUUAAAAGUGGUCUAAUUUAUCUAAUUUACGAGGGAAACUAACUACAUGGCAAAGAAAGAAGCAGUCUAUUGUAGCCAGAAGUGGUGCAGAAGAUGAAAUUAGAGCAAUGUCACAUUGCAUUUGUGAAGGAAUCUAGUUAGAAAGGGUGUUGAAAGAAUUAAAGAUCUCUCCAAGAAAUUCCAUGAAACUUUUUUGUGAUAACAAAGCAGUUUAUAAGCUGCGAAAAGUCCCAUUCACCAUGAUCAAACUAAAUACAUGGAGAUUGAUGCCACUUCAUCAAGGAGAAGACAGAGGAAGGACUUCUUAGGCUAGUCUACACAUACACAUGUCAGCAGACUGCACAUUCUUACAAAGGCAUUACCUCAAACAUUUUCAAGAACUUGAAGUUGAAACUAGACUUGAUAGAUAUUCUAGCCCAGUUUAAGGGGAGUGUGGAAUUCAAGGCAUGGAAAAGAAUAAAUAUUUUUUCUCUCAAAAGUUUCCUUUUAUUUUCUUUCUCAAUGAACUCUUUUUCUCCAAAAGUUUCUCUUUCUCAACAGAAACAAAGAGAACAUCAAUCAAGCAGGUUCUUUUAGUGCCUAUCACCUUACAGAAAAGCAUGCCUAGGCCCAGCCAGUGUGCACCAAAUCAAAUGAGCCUAACCCAAAAGGAUUUGACACGCUUUUGUUCUUGAGCUAAGGCGCAAGGUCUAGGUGCACCUAAGAACACCUAGACAACAAGGUGAUAUCCCAAAAGAAAUCCCUUAUGUGUCAGAAUAGUUAAAACUGAAGGGCUAGUCAAAUGGAGAGAAUAAAUUAACUUAAGGCCCGGGAAGGGGCAGCAUGGCAUUAGAAUGCAACGCAGAUUAGACAUUUACUAGUUUAAAACUAUGUCCAAAUAAUUAUGUUUAAUUCAUUCAAAGCUUCAACCAAACUGAUGACACAUAACCCCAAAUGCAUGUGCAAGAAAAAGGACUUCUGUUCUUGAACAACUUUUGUAGACACAUGACCAACCAAAGCCCAACCCCUCUAAGGUCAUAAUACAUAUUGUAAGAGCCUAACAAGGAUACUGAUAGAAAAGAUGAGGAUGUUCAAUCACACCAAGCAAAGGAAAAAUAAAGGAUAGUAAAAAGGUAAAUUUUAAACAGCAACAUUAGCAACACAUACCAACAUUUAACGACAUCAAUGCUUUCCUAAAUCCUCCAGAAAAAUGUAUAGCAUCAAAUGAAGCCAUGGAAUCAUCAAAUGUAUCACCAGCCUUUAAGGACAUAGAUGCAAACUCAUCCUCCAUUCUUUCAGGUCGUCUAAUCCGUAGCUCAAUAGACAAUUUAGUUUCAUUCUGUAUUCUGAUUAAUGGAGAAACUACUAUCGACAAACCAUCCUACAAACAAUAAUCAAUGUCAAGAAAGAUCAAGCAAAGAACAUUAUAAUGCAAGCACAUAUAUAUAUGUUUGCGUAUAUGUAACAAGGAGAACACUAAUCUUAGCAAUACCUCUUGUUUCCUUGAAAUGUCAACCACAAUGAAUGGACCAGGGUAAGAUUUUGAAUCUGUUCAAAGAUGGUAGUAGACAAGAAACAAAGAUAAAAGUCCAGAUAAGAUCUAUAUAGAAGGCAAAUGAAUUUAAUUCUUGAACCAUCUUUGCUAGCAAGCAGGACAUUCUCAAAGAACCAGCUAAAAUUUAGAAAUGAAAGACAGCUAAUUCAAACCUCAAAAAAAACACUUCAACCUACCACAAACAAUUUCCACAUACCAGCCUUGUAAAACUUGACUCAGUCUCCAUCUUAGAGAUGCAUCUGCUUAAUUGAAUUUUGCUUCAAUUUUUGACUAUUUGCAAGUUACAACCUCAUAGAAACCAAGAAGCUCCAUUUAAUUUCACGUUUUUAACCCCCCCCCCCCAAAAAAAAGAAAAAAAGAAACCAAGAAGGAAAACAAAAUCUGCCUCCCAAACUUUCUAUUUCCAAAACAAAAAGCCAGAACUUUUUUCUCCCAUAUAUACCAUAUUAUAUGCUGUAAAUAAUUCAAAGUUAGAUGAAAAUUACAUUGAUAUGCAUAGUUGAAUAGAAAACUAUAUUGGUAACACACACUGCAUAAGUAUCCAUUGCAUAAAUCAGCGCACAUGAAUUUAGCUGUUAUACCCCAGACAGUCUUAUUCAGAAAUGUAAGACACAACCAGAGAAUCAGAGAUUAUGAAUUCCUUUCUUCUUUUUCCUAUUUCUUCUCCUAGAAAAACUUUGAGAUUUAACUGAUCACCUCAAACAAUGUUACCAUUGGGUCAAUAGUUAGAUGGAUCCAUAUCCGGAGCAAAUUUAGGUUAAAGAUAGCAUGUUCCAUUCUAUUUAGUGGAUACUAAGAUGCUACUUCUAGAGUCUUCUGGCUCAUCACAGAGCAAAAGAAACCACCUCUGUAAAACUCUUCAAAGAAGUUGCAUGGUGAAGGUAGCAGAUUCACAUACCUUGAAGUGACAAUAUGCGUGUUCUCCAAGAAAGUACUUGAGCUCCUAGAAGAGAAAGAUGAACUGGUGAAGUUGUAAAUGAACCAGGAACAGAAAGCUGGAUUGAAACAACCGGUUCUGUUUCUGGAGGUUGACUUUCAAAAGCUGAGAGCCUGACAAACAUGCAUAGAGCAAGAUCAACUAAUGAAUAAAGAACACUAACCUCAAACACCCAAAAGAAUAAAAUAUGCAUAAAUUAAAUGAAAAGGCACACGUGCAUUACAAAUAAAUAUAUAAGCUCUGUAUGGAAAAACUCAUAACAAAGGUUAAUAGUACCAACAAAAAAUGAAGUCAUGCAAGAAAAGAACUACCAAUUUAAAACAAAGCAGGAAUCUAACUUUCAGCAAAAUGACCUGUAAGCAAGAAGAAGUAUAGCCAGUGCAGUACAAGGAUACCUUAGAAAAAUGGAAGAAGACUGUUUCCUGCCCACCGUCACACUUUGCUUACCAGAGAAGCGACAAAGAAGGUUCAAACCUGUCUGGUUUUCUACCUGCCAUAAUAGAAAUUAUUAUAAUUAAGAAAAAUAUUCAGUGGUAGAACAAUCUUGGAUGGAUGGCAGGAGGGAGAAUGAAUUGGUGGGUUGAUGUAACCAUUUACCCCAACCAGUCUUUGCUUGAAUUUAAUUAAUGAAAACUAUUUGAUAUUAUGAAUCUAGUAAUGCAAGGAAUGGUGAUCGCAGAAAUUCCAUCCAGUAUCAGUUUUUGAUAUAGCUUGAUAUACUCUUCCAUCAGAUACAAGAUUGAAUUGAGAGAAGACGUAUCAAUCCCCACAUGAUUUUUCUACCAGUUAAGCUGCUUAAAGAAGAGAGAGAACUAUCCAAGAAUGGCAACCUGACCUUGCAGCAGUUGGCCAGAACCAUCGAGCUUCUCAGGGAAAAAGGACCGGCCAAAUUUAAUUUUCCGACCACAAAAAGAAGAAUGUCCAAGGAAAGCUCAGUUAGAGAUAUCUCCAACUGCCAAAAAGCCAGAGCAUUGUUGUUGAGCAUGUCAUUAAAAGUAAGAGGAAUAAUCAAAGAAAUAUUAUAUAGAAUAUAAAACUCCAGACCUCUUUGGUUCUACAAUAGACAUGGACAGGCACACCAUGUUGAUUUUGGGGACUAGAACGAUAGAAAGUACAUAUUUCAACAGGGUGAAGAAAAUCUCUCCUGCAACGAACAGAAGGUAGGAAAUGACUGAACACAUUUAAAUGGAAGAUUAAUUUCAGAGAAAGAAAAAUGCUAUAAAAAUUAACUAUUCCCUUUAAGUUAUAAGAAAACACUCACCAGAAGUUUGCCUGAGCAUCAAAAUGUUGAAGCAAAGCCUUUGAGGUGCUUAUAACUCUGGUUUUAGUGUAAAGAAUUUGUAAAGUUAUUUGAGUAUCAAAGAUGCAAGCAUGAAGGAGAGGAAACCUGUCAUUUGCAUCUGACAGUUCAUGGAAGAUGGUUAAAGAAACUUUGUCAAUACUAAUACCAAUGCAAGGCAGAUUUCCUCUCUGCCCGUAGCUUCUCUUUCCAUCUUCAUGUGCUCCAAGAUUUAUCUCAGUUUCAGCAACAUCUUGUGCAACCGACAUAUCACUUAACCCUUUGAACUUGAGUGGAUUUCCAGGCUUUUUGACAAACACUGGAACCCUAUCAUUGAAAGCAACAGCACAGUCAUUCUUCUUGUUCACCAGGUAAAAACUGUUUCUAAGCACACAAUUGUAAGGCUCCCAGUCAAUGUCACCAUCAUAAGUUGGUUGAUAAAAAAGAACUCUCCAAAGUGACCAAGCAUUAUCAGAGGUGCUGGAGAGCUCAACAAAACCUGACCCUGGUUUAGAAUUUAAUCGCAAUGGCUCUCCUGAGUUGUCCUUAGCAUGCAGUGAUAUCAAGGAGAACCACAAAACUGACGAGUUCCAUUUCCUUUGUUUGUGGUACUUGACCUGUACAUAUUGUCGCAUUUGCAUAUAUGAUCAAUCAUAAAUGCUUUAGAAAGACUUGACAUUAACAAUUAAUAAAUCUACCCAAGGGGGGAAUGGUCCAUGAAUGUUAUGCUAUUGCCUUAAUUAAUUAUAAGGGAUCAUCCUUCUCAACAUGUGCUAAUAACAGUAACCAAAUAAGAAAUAGCUGAUAAUAACUAUUUACAUAUUUCAACAAAAUAAUUGAUAAUAACAGGGAUAACAAAUAAGGGGAGAAGACACAAAUAUUUAGUAAUUAAAAAAUUGAAAUGGCAGAACAUCUGGCAUAAAAGCAUUAUACUCUAAGAAAAUAAGAAAAAUUGAGAUCUUAACCUUUUAAAGCUAAACAUUUAGUUGCACAGAAACCUUAAUUAUGCAUCAGCGUGCAUAAAGAUAUGUCUUUUCAUAUAAAAUACAAGCAAACAAAAUGUUAUUUUAAGAAGCUGGCGUGAACACAGCUAGUUUACGGAAAAUGUAGUAAUAUACCCUGAAAAGAGCCCUUUCUCCAACAAAAGAAUAGUGAACAGAACCUCCUACAGCAUACUUAUUUUCUCCACCUUCAACUGUGAAGUAAAGAUGCUGAUGUACAUCUUGAAUAGCAACAAUGGCCCCUGGGCAUAUAACGAGUAAUAAUUAGUACAAGAUAAACAAAAUUUGCAAGCAACAGACAUAAGACAGUUAGAAAAUAAAAUACCAUUAGGGAUCCUCGCCUCAAAAUCAUUGUCAUCUGGUGUGUUAUAAGACCAGUUCCUUUGCACAGAUUGACCAGUUGAGCCUUUGAGAGAUAACCCAGAGAAGGAUGAGACCAUGGACAGAAUCAUCUGAUUUGCAAAGGAGGUUAGAUCCAGCAACAUGAAUCUUAGCAGUUUCAGUCAGAAACAAGAUAGGAGUAGGCUAUACUGAUGGCAUCUGACAAAGACAUCAGGUGCAUGAAAGUUUAUGGUAGAAAGAGGAAAAGCUAAGAAUUUCUUACCUCUAGUUCAGACAACGAAAUUUUCAUAUCAAAACCUGAAACAGAACCACUGCCAACCCAAACCUGUUCUGGGUCCAAAGGAAUAACUUUGCCCUUCUCAACUGAUAAAGAAGCAGUUAAAUGUUUCAAGAUAUAUCCUUGAUGACGCAAGCAAAAUGCCCCCUCAGAAACAGAAGCUCUAGGGUAACUGUCAUCAACCCGAAAACUGCCAUCACGCUGAAAUGCUACAGAAGAUUCUCCAGAUAAACGCUGAGAAGGUAAAUUUGACUGGGCAGAAGAGAAAUUAAAAACUUGGAUUUUAUCUUCUCCACUUUGUCGAAUGUCUUGAGAAAAGACUGAUAACCGAGAAAGCUUAAGCAUAAACUUCUGUUGCAUAUUAUCCAAAUCAAGGUUCAGAAUAAGAUCAAGCUCCAAUACAAAUUCCCGAAUAUGACCUGCGUAAGCAGACUAACUAUUGAAAGAAAUAUUGAUGGUCAAAACAUCCAACUAAAGAAGGGAUUUACUUACAUGAUUCACUUUCAACAACAAGAGCAAGAGAAAACUGAGAGACAUCAAAAUUAAAAGCUUCAGGCAGUUCCCAUUUGACUUGCUGAGAUGUAAGUAGCAUCUCUUGGGCAUGUCCACCAACAAAAUGAUCAUGUGCAGGUCGUGGCUUGCUCCUCACAGUUGAUUUCACAAUAGACAAUGCAUUUUUAAUGUGAUGUAGGUAGGAAGCAGAGCACUGGAUAAACAUUGCCAAAGCUUCUGUUUCAAGGCAAAGAAAACCGUCCUGCCCAUCAUGUGUUAUUCGUCAUAACAUGAUUGAACCAAAUAAAAUUUUCAAAGGCAUAAAUUAUGUCAAAUGUAGGGUGUCCAAAUCAUGCACUAUCCCCCAUAUUUAACUAUUCCAAAAUCAUAGAGCAAAAGAUGGUUCCCAAUAUAUUGCAUGAGCAAGAGAAAACAUAAAAGAAACAUUAAUUUUCUAUAAAAUUUGCACCUGGAUCCCCCAUGCAAUUGCCUGGGAUUUUGCCCCAACAUGAAGAGAUGACCGAAGCUUAUUUACUUUUUGUGCACCAAUCAGAAUAUUUUUCACUGAACACCUUGUCACAAAAACUUCAGCCACUUCCAUUUUCAUGAAUAUCCAAUGGCUUGAGGCUGGCACUGAGAUAUUUGAAGUAAAUCCCAAAUUUUUAAGAAAAUCAGGAGACUGUACACUUGGCUGCAGUUCACUGCUAAAAGAUGUAUCUUCCGCCAUAUUUGAUGUACUAACCUCAGAAGUAGAAAUAUCUAGCAUCUCAUUCACACUAGCUGAAGUGGAAUUCUGAGGCAUACUCAAUAAUAAAGUAAAUAUGCAAUGAGAUAGAAAUACCUCAUAUAAGCAAUUGUGUGAACAAAGAAGGAACGCUCUAAAUGCAGAGCGAUUAAACCUUUUUUUUAUGUACUCCUGGUAUCUGACGAUCACAGAUUGAAUUCCUGAUAAAUCAAUGAGUAAUUCCAAUUUCAUUUCUUCAUAUAAUAUGUCAAAACACAUUCGAGGGAGUGAAAUCCAAAUACCACAAUCAGAUAAGUUAUCCGCAGCUGAAUUUGUGCUACUAGCAGCACCAAAAACCAUCUUAGAACCCCUUGCUUUAUUCCUCAUCCUAGAACCACAGAGAAAGAGAUCCAUUGACUUGAGUUUAAUGAUGCCAUUAAUUAAAAACGUGUUAUUACACAUCAAAGGUGUCGCUAUUGAAAGCUCUUCAUCCUUGGUAGCCCCAGAAACUCUAUAGUGUCUCAACAUUUGGAAGGAUUCAUUAGCAGGUGAACCAAAGUUGUUACAAAUAUGUGAUAAAUCAGACGACAAACCAGUUAGAGCCUGGAAAAGGGAACAUUUAACUGUCAUUAAUUUGUAUAAGUUAAGAAAGCAUGUAAACGAAACAAAAGGAGUAAUAAAGUAUUUAACUUGAAUAUUAAGGAAAAGAAACAAGGAUAAUAGACAGAUGCAACUAAAAACUACUUCAAGGGCAUCUAACGAGUUGUUAAGACUUAAGAUAACUAAUGCUCCAAUAAUUACAAUUGCAGUAGUAAUUAUUUAUCUAGUAUUUUCCAUUAAAAACAGCAAAACUAUCACAAUCACAUAAGAAAUUAAUGCAUGUCUAAAAAUAAUAGGAGGGUAAAAGCCAACCAGACAACAAAGGUUGAAAAGCAUCACCUGAAAGCAAACACACAACUCAUCCAUAAAUAAUAACAGCGCAAAUCCCAUCGCCAGCCCAUAAAAAGCAGUUGAAAAAGCAAUAGAGCUUGUGCUAAACGAAUGAGCACACUGCCUGAGACAGAUACAUGAUACUUGGUCAUCAAAAAGUUUUAUACUAAGGACCGUGAUUGAUAAUACAAUUGAAAAUUGCAUAGCAUAAAAAUAACUGAAUUGAUGGUGUAAGAGAGGGAUAAGAGAAGGGAAUCAAGAUAAAUGAUUCACAAAUAUUUUAGGGAGAGUGAGGGUGUGACAGAAAGAUGGGCAGAAACAAAUUAUUGGCCAAGGAGAUGCCAUGUCAGUUAAGAAUCAUAAGGCUUUCAAGAGAUGUGUAUUGCUCGACACAAUCCAUAUAUUUUUAAAGGAAGCAUAUUAUGCUAAUUUCUCACAAAUAAAAAAUUUAGCACAAAAUUCACAAUUAAAGGAAAUGAACAAAAAAAUCAAUAGUGUUCAUACCUAGAUUCACCUCAGCAUAUACAAUGUUAUUCCAGUAAUUAAUUUUUUUAUGGGAAAUAAAAUCAAUAGAAUAAACAUCAUUGAAUCAUUUGCUUUAAAAGUUGAAUAGGCCAACAGUACCCUAUGAUAUUCAUAAAAAAAAGUUCAUGAGACCAGCAAAAUAUGAAUAAUUAUAAAGGUUGGAGAGUCAGCUAAAAAUUCACUCCGUGCAUAAUACUUUAAGUGAAAGUAACUUCAAAAUGUACAUAAUACUUUAUUAACAUCAAACAAUUAACAAAUGUAAUUGCAUGAUCAAUUAAAACCAAAUCAUAAUUACAAUCAACAAACGAAAUCAAGUAUUUUCCACCAACCAAAUAUUGAAGUUUGCUUAGGUUGAGUAACCAACAACCAAACAAACAGGCCUUCAAGUUGAAUUCGAUAUGAAAAGACAUUGGUAAAUUUAAGGAAGCAGCCAUAAAUUUUCAAUACUUAUAUAAGAUAAUGCAAGGCUAAAAUCCCUACCUGAAGGAUGAAAAUCGAAAUGUUAUGGGAUCCAAUACAAAUAUUUGGUUUUUGUGUCUGUCUACAGUGUCCACCAAGUAAGCCAGCAAACCAUUGAGCUUCAGACAGAAAUGAAGUGAAUUUGCAUCCUUAGAUGUAUACUUAUUAUUUUCCAGUUUCGGCAUAUCAAGUAUCUUAGGCUCCUGCAACCUGAGGCACUCAGGAUAUUCAUCAUCCUGUUCUGUGAAGGCAUGUAUAGGUGCCAAACCAGACUUUGAACUUGGCCAAACAACAACUUCAAUAUCAUGGAUAUCAAAUCCAAGGUGAAAAUCAUCCUCAUUAACUACAUGGUUGUUCACACCUUCAUUUGCAUUCCUUGUUCCGGUCUUCCUCGAUGAGAGUUGGAUGCAAGGACCAGCUAUAAGCACUCCUAUUUGAAUGCAUUUCCCAGGAAGCAUUAUCGUAAAGAACUUCUUUAUUUUACUAGAAUAGCACUCAUAUUUAUUUUCCCAACUAUCCUCUGGCUGGUGCACAGUAGUAUUUUGAGGAGAAUAUGGAAGAUCCCUGGCACUCUCAUUUCCUUGAGUCCAGUGUAGAGCAUGUUGUAUCUGCCUAAGAAGCAUGACAACUGAUAUCACUGAUGGAUAUUGCAAUGCUAUGUUGAACUUUCCCACUGUCAGAUUGCAUUUCCAAAGCCCAGAACCUAGCUUUUUCAAAUCUGGAUGUCUCAAAAAGCUUUUCAUCUCAAAAAGAAGCUGUGGACUUUGAGGACACUUGAUUUCACUUUCUUCAAACUGCUCGCAAUCUCUUAUCCAAUCCAAGCACAUUUUUCCUAUAAAAUUUUCUAGACAUGGGUCACACCCACCUUCAGCAUGAUUUAUGGUACUGGAUUUAUUGCUUUCUGAGAAGAGAAAGAUUUUUGCAGGCUCACCAUGCAGAAUAACUUUCAAAUUCUUAACUCUCUCAUUUUCUUCUCCAACAGAACUGAUGAAAUACUUCACUUUUACUUUUCCACAGGAAAAAGAUAAUGUCUGUUUAAAGAUGUCUUUUGUGUACAUGAGUAAAAACACUUUAAUAGAGAGACGGAAUAAAAAACCAUCUGAAUAUGAGAUCCCAAUACGUGAUUUCACUUUUUCAUUAACAGGCUCGACUGCACUCAUUGAAGAAAGGGUAAUGUAAAUUUUCCCAAGACUUAAAAUGAAGCGGAAGCGUGAAUAAGAAUUAUCAGAAACAUUUCCCAAGUGUCUGGCAAACAUUUCAUCUUGCUUUGCAGAUCUCCUCCAAAAGAGAAGGUGCUCUAAUGGAUGGAUUUUUUGCAUAACUUUCUGAACAAAGGUUUUGAAAUGAGCACUAACAGAGGGUUCUGAGUAAUUUUCAGGCUGUUCACCACUUGACAAAGCCUUAUAUCGAGCUAUUUUCCGAGCCUGUGCAAUAGCUUCUGCAGGCAGCUCUUUCUCAAUGUCAAAAAUCACCUCCCAAUAGUGCUUAGCAGAUUUCAAAUUUACCUUGUCUCUUAGCAUCUUAAUAUCAGGUCUUUCCAAUAAGUGAUUAGGGGAAUAUUGAAUCAGUGACAACAAAUACUCGUAGUGAUUCACAUAAUGCAUCCACAAACUAGUAAGGCUAACUAGCUUGUACCAUGAUAAUUUGGGAGAUGAAAUUACAUGGCCUAUUUUAAUUGCUGCUAUUCUCCAUAGAUACCGGCCAUUCCUUACCCGCUUGAAUUCUUUUGAAGGCACUUUACUAAGUUCCAUGAAAACAGGAAAAUCAACCGGAGAAAAUGAGAAACUUAAUUCUGAAGCACGAAGAUUGAACUCAACAAGUUCAAGAUCAUUUAACUUGAUGCAAGUAACCAGUGCACUGGAGGAACAAACAUGGUUAAUUUGAUUGCUUUUCUUAUAUCCUAUCUUAAAGGAACUACCGCUUACAACCAAAGAUCCCUCCUUCAGAGGUAGAAAGAGAACAUUAACAAGACCCUUGCAAAGGCAUCCAUGAACAAAAUGUAGAGAUUCUGCAUUAAGCUUCUCUAAAUCCAACAGGUAUACAAAGGAAUCGUCUAAAGUGGGAAAUUGCACUUGCAAAUUAAUACCAAGUAUCUGUAGACGGCAAUGUUGGAGAAUGAGAUUCAAAAAAGAAGACUGAAACCGAUUUCUCCCACAAGUAGUAGCCAAGAUUGCUUCCAAAAUAUCAUGCAGAGCACUACCCUGGUAAGGAAGAAAGCCUAAGUUACUUUGGCCAAGAUUAACACAUCAAGUAGUAAGAAAAGAAUCCUUAACUACAACGAGAUAACUGAUUUAAUAAUUUAUCAUCCAACUCAAACACUAUGGAGCAAAGAGAUGUUAAACUAUUAGUUUAAAAGUAAUUAUGCGAUGAGCAACAAGUUUCACAGUGUAAAAUUGAAAUAAGGGUUUUCGCUAACAAGUGCCCUUAGGGCACUCAUUAAGGUUAGUUAAUAUACUAUCUAUAGUAAUUAUAUUAUAUUAAAUGCAGUAGUUGACAUCUUUAUUCUUGUUAAUGCAUGGCUGAAAAUGUUAUGAUAUAUAGUAACCUAGAAGAGUAACCUUAGAACACCAGUCAGCAAAAUCCUGGAACUAAAGGCAUCUCUAUCACGAUUCAAGGAGUUAAUUUUAACAUAAACUCAGUACUAAAAAAAGAAUGAAUAAUGCUAUUUACUCCGCCACUAUUGUCCCAACUAUAACAGUUAACACCCCCGGAUGGAACAUACAGUUAGGUAUUACCAAUUCCGUUGAUGAGUUUAGCCAUUCAUAGCAAAAACAGCAGAGCUUUACUGCUUCUUAGUGUCACUAAGGUGCAACUUAGAAAGAUGAUUUCCUACUAGACAAUAAAAAUUUAAACAAAAUAAUGCCAAAACUGGGGGGAGGGGGAACCUCGGGAUCUAUCAGGGAUAAAUCCUUCUUCAAACUCUCCAACGCUGCAUUACUCGAAUUUCGCACUUUUGCAGUACCUUCCUCUUCCAUUUCCCUUCAAAAAAAACACGACAAUUAAUUUUUUUUUCAAAUUAACAAACAAAAGGUGCAAAGUUGUGACGUUGCUUACUCAAGCGACAUAGUAACCUUGACUCCACGAGCUUCGAAAACGAAGGCAGAAUCUGACCAAUUUGAGAAUCGAACAACGAACUCCUCGAUAACGAAUUCUUUGAAAAAGAACCGCGAAGACGAUGAACCAUCUAUAAUCAGGCGGUUGAGAGUAGACGUAUCAAGGCGUAUGUUUUUGGCGACGGCGGUGGAAUUUAUGAACCCUAACUGGAGGUCUAGCUCGAGAUCUUGUUCCAGCCAUGGGCGAAGCAGAGAUGAUAGUAUCCGUUUAAUGAAGUUAUUGAAGAACAUUUCCUUGAGGAUUUCGGUUACUUGAAGCGGGUUAAGUUGAUCAAUGUUUCAUCUAUUGGACAAAUAAGAAGAUUUUCGCGAGAAACAAACGGAAAAUUCAUUUUACGAUGAGAGGAGAGAGCAAGAAAGUUCGAUUAUAUCACCAGAGUGAACAAACAUGCGCACUCAGCAUUUUUCUCCAUCUGCAAAUAAAAAUUUAGGCGUUAUCCUUUUCUUGUGUUUUGACGUUUUCUAACGAGAAGGUGAGCAAAUCCGGGCAAAUUACUAAAAAAAAGCUCUUUUUUUUCAAAAUUUACCGAAAUAGGCCCUUUAUGUAAUUAUUGACCGGAAUGGUCCGUUUUCUGUGAAAUCGCGUCUACGUCAGCGCGAUUUGCUGACGUGGACACAAAUCGCGUCCCUUAAGACGCGAUUUGCUGACAUGGCAUGAACAGUUUAUGUUUUUAGUUGAAUUUAAUUUAGUAGGAAAUAUGUUUGUUUUUUAUUAGAAUUACUAUUUGCUAUACUAAUAGUGUAUUUUUUAUUCUAAAAGUAACCUUAAUAAAUUGUUUUGUGUAUUUUUUUUCUUUAAAUAUUUUUUUAAUAUUUUACUUUUACCCUGUAACACACUUAUUAACCUUAUGUUUUUACUUGUAGAGUUUAAAAAUUGCAUUCAAGUACACAAAUAUUUUUCCUUUUUAUUAUGUUUUAAAAGCUUUGUUUCCUAAAAAAACUUGUAAUUUUUACAUAGUUUUAAAUAAAAUAUUUAUUUCGAUUUAUCAAUUUAUGGUAGUAUUAUACAUAACUAAUUUAUAUCAUAUGUAAUAUUAUACCUCUAGCAAUUAAUUAAAGAAUAUUUAUAAACAAUAUUAUGAUAUAAUAUUAUGUAUAUAAUCCCUUAAUAAAGCAUUUAUAAUGUUAUAUACAUGGAUGAAAACAAUUAUGUAAUAAGUUCAUUAAAACUUGAUAUGAAAAUUAUAUAUGACUCUAUUGAAAUGGUGAAGAUGUGGAAUGAAUGUAAUGAAAUUUUGGAUUCAAAUCUCAUCAUAUAAAUUCUAGAUUUUAUAUGAAAAGGAUGAAAGCAUCCUUAAAAUAUUAUUUAUUGUUUUGUUAAAAUGAUAGUCUUUUAGAAUAUAAUAGAAAGUAACAAGAACCGUAAGGGUGGCCUAGCUCAAGGUAAUGGAGGCGAUAGGGUUACCAAAAGGAUGGGCGUCUUAAUGAUGGUGGCAUGGACAUUGAGACAUCAAAAGCAAUCCCAAUAUCUUUUAAGGACAAACUUUUAAACUGGAUAAGAAAUCGAAAGGAGGAAAAGAUUCACUCUUCGAGUAUGAUAUUGUGUUGAAGGAAGGUGACAUGGUUAAAGAGAAUAUUAAGGGCUUGCCUACUAUCAAGUUCUCCAAGCAAGUCCAUGAGUUGGUGGAUCAAAGUAUGAUGUGAACAGUGGUAAUCAAACUUUUGUGGAGAAAAAUUGGGUUUAGUGUACUAUGGAAUAAGAUUAGCUCUUUGUGGAAACCUUAAAGUUCUUUUCAAUUAAUGGGCUUUAGAGAAUGAUUACUUCGUAGUCAAAUUCAAGUUUGCAAUCAUUAAGCCAAAGCUUUAUCAAAAGGACCAUGGUUCAUUUUUGGACAUUAUCUAACUGUUCGAUCUUAGAGUUCAUCCUUUUCAACUUCACAACCAUACCCAUUGAAUGUUGUUGCAUGGAUUAGGUAGCCCAAUUUAUCAGUCUUUUUAUACAAAAAAUCAUCCUUAGUGAAAUCAGGGAGAUGGUUGGAAGUGUGAUUAAAAUAUAUUAAAUACUGACGAUAGGAUUAGGGGGUCGCUUUGCUCAUAUGGUAGUGUGUGUUAACUUGAACAAAUCUGUUAUAUCCAAAAUUGGGACUAAAGAAAAAGUCUAACAUAUUGAAUAUGAAUCCCUUCAUAGUAUUUGUUUCUAGUGUGUGCGUUACAGUCAUGUCAAAGAGAUAUAUUGUAACACCCCUAACCUAUAUCUGUCGUCAGACUAGGGUUACAGAGUAUUACUGGAGUUUACGGGUCUAUUUGUUUAGGGUGAAAAUGUUUUCUGGAAAACAUUUUCCUUAUUUUACGCUGUUUGCUUCCUGGAAAAUGAAUUCCUAUAGGAAAACAUUCUCCAAAACACGGGCAAAUCAUUUCACAAUUUCUGGAAAACAUCUUACCGAUUUCUAAGCCGUAAGACAUUUUCCAUUCUCUUCUCUUCACUCUUAUCGCAGUGGUUCUCCCUUCCUCUCUAUCCAUCAACCUCCGCCUCUCUUCCUCAUCUCUAUUCGUUGGCCUCACCUCAUCAUCCCUGCCUCGUCAUCUCUGUUGGUCGACCAUCAUCCUUACCAAGUUUGUAUUUUGAAGAAACCCUAAAAAAUCAGCAGCUACAGUCCUAUUAAUUUAAUCUCUCAUCGUUGAGAAAAGAAGACCCAGAAGGUUUCUUUUCUUUUCUCAUUGUCGGUUCCUUCAAAAUCCCUGGCAAAGUUUAUCUCAACUCGGUACUGAUUUUUACUCCCUUUGUUUUUAUAUCACCUUUUAUUAUAUAGUAAUUAUCGAUUUUGGAAGUUCCUGGUUUGAUUUUUUGGUUGGGGAGGAAAAAGGAAUUUCAGGGAAAAUCAUUUGAAUUUCUUUUUCUUUUGUUUUGAUUCAAAAUAGGGAUUUUUUAAAGCAUGAAUCUAUGUUUGAAUGAAAAAAUUUCUAUUCUUUUGGAUACAGAGUAUAUAAAUUUUAUGAUAAUUUUACUUAUUUUAUUUUCAUUCUCGCUUGAUCUCACUGCUUAUGCCUUAUAUUUUUGUUUUAUUACAAAUUAGAUGUUUUUCUUUACCUUUACCUCUUAUUAGAUAGAAAUUAUUGAUUUCGGAAGUUUCUGGAUUCGAUUUUUCGGUCACAGAAUGAAGGAAUUUUCAUGGGAAAUAGUUGACUUUUUUCCCUUCGUUUUGUUUUUAUUAAAAAACGGAUUAUUCUUUGAGCAUGAUACUAUGUUUGAACAAGUAAAGUUCCAUUUUUUUGGGCGUCACCUUUGCCUUAAACAUGUAAUGAACAUUUCAUGGGAUUGAAAUGGCAUGUUCUGCCUGUUCUUUUUUCCAUGCUUAUGGUAAGUUAUCUAGGAAGUGGUUUUGUAAGUUUAUCAGUCAGAUACUGCAAGUGUAAAAGUCCCAGAACUUGAUUUGGAGCUAGCUAGUGGCACACUCGGUGGGGUUGUUACAACGGUUGAAGGUUUGAUUACCAAAAUUAGUGAAAGUAGGACUUUAUUACUCAUUUAGUUUUUCCAUGUGAAAAUCUGUUUGAUUGUUGAUUCUAUUAUUUAUAGUUCUUUUUCCUUCAUUGUUUGCUAAGUUUGAACACUUCACCCUCAAAUGGUUCUCUUCACAACCUCGUUUAGGUGUUCCAAAAGAGAGAAUUUCAUUUGCUUGAUGAUUCUGUUGUUUAUAGUCCACAUCCACCUUUAUUUACUAAGUUUGAGCCUUUCACAUUGUAAUGGCUCUAUCUUACAAGUGAUGCUUUAUAUUUCUAGAGCAGAGUGAGGCUAGUUUGCUACUAUGUACAGCGUAGACCUCUGCAUCUUCAUUUGGCUAAAACUUUGCUUCAUUCCUAGGUUAUUCAACCAAGUUCCCUCUAAUUGCUUCCACAUUUUUUAUAUUUGAUGUUCUUGGGCAACUAAAUUAGGGAAUAUUUUGAAAGUUACUGCAGAUGAGAUGGAUGGGAAUAUUAUGCGGUGUAAGGGCAGCAUACAUUACAUACAUACAUACAUACAUACAUACAUACAUGCAUACAUACAUACAUACAUACAUACAUUCACAUAUAUGUUUUUCAAUUUUUUAUUACAGUAAUAAUAUGAGACAUGUAUAUGUAUGUAUAUACUGUUGGGAGUUGAGACAUAUGUUCCAAAUAUAAUAGACAUGAUAAUUGUAGUAAGGAAAGUGAAUUUGAAGGCAAUUAUUCGUAUCCUUGUGCCAUGGUAAAAAAUGCUAGGAACACAAGAGCAACGAUUAGGGAAUAAUUCAAAUGGGAAUGCUUUCUUACCGACUACUAUGAUCUAUUAGUAUCCUCCAUUUGAGAUCACAAUGAAUUCAGCCAGUUAAGUAGUCUUGGUUAUCGUAAGUUAUAAUCUCAGUGAGAUUGAUAUUUAAUUUAUUGAUAUAUAUUAUAUAUCUUUUUAGUCUGUUGCUCAGCUGGAGGUAUAGUAAAAUAAAUCGUAGUGUUCUUUUGCUCGAGUUUGGUUAUUUUGCUGAAAUUUAUUUGUUGGGCUAACUUUUUUGAACUAUGAUUCUAUCUUAAGUCAUAAUGUGUUAAUGAUAUGGUUGUAAAAGGUUUUUCCACACAUAAACCCUGAUUUCUAACCUUAUCAAUCUUUGAUUCAUGAUUCUGAUUCUGAUUCUGAUUCUGGUUCUGAUUCUGAUAUGUUUGUUUUAUUAAAUUUGUGCUGCAGAGAUGGUCAAAUAGCCUUAGUAGCAAUUUUUGUUUUGAUGCAUGAGAGGUGAUUUACAUAAAGGAGUUAUACGGUUUAGAAACUUAUUUAAAUAAAAGGUAAAUUGAAUUGGUGGUUCAAUCAUGAUUUUACAUUCAUAUGGGUUUUACUGGCAAGUGCCUUAAGUAAACUAUUACAGUGGAUCAUUUAUUUUAAAUGUAGUAGUUGAUUAUUAAUGAAAUGAAUUCCGAUGCAUUGGAGAAAAUAUUACGUAAUAUGAUAACAUUUUUUUUUGAAAGUUAAUAUGAUAACAUUGAAGUGUGUCCUUUGGGGACCUUUUUACUUGUUCCCUAUUUAUAUUCAAGGCAUUUUAUGUUAUAUUACUUUGUCUUUAAUUAUUUACUGAGUGUGAGGGUAAAUAUCUAAUUGAUCUUAGUUCUCUGUAGCUUUUGAUUAUUGAGUUAGUGAAGUUGUUGUGCAAUUCAGAGCAUUGGGUAUUGCUUAGAAUUUCUAGUUGAUUGUAUACAUGUGCCACUUGCUAGCUGUUAUAGAUGAAUAUAACAUAAAAAAUUGAAAAACUGACUAUUCAAUGUUUUGAAAAGAAUCUAACCAUGCCUCAUGAAUAUCCAUAAGCUCCAGUGACGUUGCAUAGGGGUUACUAUUAUUGAUGAAUAUUUAUCUGAAAUGUUUUGUAGGAUGUUUAUCUAUUAGGAAAAUAUAUUUGUUGAUGAAUUUUCAGACUAUGAAAUCUGAAGAAAGAAAGACCUUAUUUAAUUUUUAUGGAGGGACCAAAAUUGAGUUAUAAAAUUUUGCAAACAUUAUAAUAUAAUUUUAUUAUUAUACUACUUUUAUAGCUUUCAAAUUUUUAUAAAUUAAAGAAUAAUAAUUUUUUUCUAUUUGUGAGGGAGGCAAAAAUACUUGACAGCCUCUGUCGCCACCUCUGUUUUUAUGCAUUUAACUUUUUAAUAAAAAAAUAUACUUUAUAAUCAGUUCCAUUGGGUUCCAUUUUGAUAGCUAAGUAUAUAUGCCUAAGAAUAUGCAAUCUUUAAUUAAAAAUUAUUUUGAUUGCAUGAUACCAGAAAAUAAUUAAAAUAAUAUAUUUAAAAACUAAUACUGAUAUGAUUAAUAUUUUAACGAACCAACCAUUGAAUUCAUCAAUCUAAAAUAUUGUAUAUAUUAAUAUUUAUUGAAGUGUUGGUACAAAGAAAGUAGCUUAAUUUCUCAAAAAAUUAUUAAUGCAAUUAUAAUUAGCCUGAUAUGUAUGUAUGCACUUUAGUCAUGGUAACUUUUAGUCAUAUAUGUAAUCUUAUGAAAAUCUUGCAUCUUUUUUGUAGUGAUCAAAUAUUUGUGUGGCAUUAUUUUGUGUAGAUAGAUCGUAAUCAAGAUCAAAAUGCAAUUGUCGGAGUCGUGGCUUCAGUUUUAGCUUUUGGAGCUCUUUGGAUUAAAAAAUUAAAAAUAGGAAGGAAAUUUCUUCUCAACCUAGUGUGAAUCGAGAUUAUGAAAGAUAAAAUUAUAUUAAUAGUAUUUUAUAUGGUGGUGACCAGCAUUGUAUUGAUGUGAUAAGGAUAAGACCGAUCACCUUUUUUAAUUUGUGUAAUAUUCUUAGUAGGAAUAAUUUGUUACAAUCAACUAAAUCUGUGAAUAUUAGGGAGCAAGUAGUUAUAUUUUUACAUAUAAUUGGUCAUGGUGUAAGGUUUCGAGUGAUUGGAUCUAGAUAUUAUAGAUCAACUGAGACAAUUCACCGUUACUUUAAGGUUGUAUUGAGAGCUAUUUUGAAAUUGUAUAAACUAGUUAUUAAAUUACCUGAUGAGUCAACUCCUAGUGAAAUCAGAAACAAUCCAAGUUUUUAUCCUUAUUUUAAAAAUUGUAUUGGAGCAUUAAAUGGAACUCAUGUUCGUGCAUUCGUUCCACUUAACAUUCAAGGAAGAUUUCGUAGCCGUAAAGGGGGGACGACACAAAAUAUAUUGGCUGCCAUUACAUUUGAUUUGAAAUUUUCCUAUGUUCUAGCUGGUUGGGAAGGUAGUGCACAUGAUUCUCGUAUUUUAAGUGAUGCACUUUCAUGCCUAGGGGGAUUAAGAAUUCCGGAAGGUAAUAAUUAUCAUUAAAUACCAAAUAGUUCUAGUAAGCUCAUAAUUUAUUAGUAUUAAUUAUGUUUUGUAAAAUUGUAGGUAAAUGUUAUAUUGCUGAUGCUGGAUAUGGCAUACGAAAUAGAUAUAUUACCCCAUAUCGUGGUGUCCGAUAUCAUUUAAAAGAGUUUAGUGCUCAGGGGCCUGAAAAUGUAAAGGAACUCUUUAAUCUUCGUCAUUCAUCAUUACGAAUCACUAUUGAAUGUGUUUUUGGGAUUUUGAAGAAACGGUUUCGUGUAUUAGAUGCUGAACCAUUUUGGAAUUUUCAAACUCAAGUAGACAUAGUUUUGGCUUGUUGUAUCAUUCAUAAUCAUAUAAUGAGAGUUGAUCCUAGUGAUUUACUUAAUCAAGGAUUAUACGAGGAGGAGUCUGAUUUGAUAAUACCAACUCUUACGGAGCGAGAAGAAAGAGAAGAAGCAAGAGAAUGGUCUGCUAAGAGAGACGAAAUUGCACAAACUAUGUGGACUAAUUAUAUGGUUAGAAAUAUUAGGUAGGUUUAAGGCUUAGGAUUAUUGUUUCUAUGUUAUGUAUGUUUUAGUAUUAAAAUUGUUUUUUUUUGUUAAUGUUGGUUGGAUAAUGAUAUUGAAAUUUUAGUUUGUUGGAUUUUGAAAUUAUUAUGUCUUGAAUUUGUUAGAUAUUGAUUAUGUUUUAAGCUUGUUAGAUAUUGAAUUUAUUAUGUUUUAAGCUUGUUGGAUAUUGAAAUGAUUGACAAUGACAAUUAUUAAUGUAGAAUGGUAAGGGCAACAAAGAAGGGACCUUCAAGUAAUUCAGGUGGACAAAACUGAUGGAACAUCUUUUUCUUGAAAUUCUAGCAGAGGAGGCCCAGAGAGGAAAUAAGCCUUCUAAUACUUUCAAAGCAGUUUCUAUUAAUCGAGUUACCGAAGCUAUUUCUGAAAGAUUUCAAGUCCAAUGCAAUGUGAAGCAUGUGGAAAAUCAUUUGAGGACUGUAAAAACCAAGUGGCAGAUUAUAUGCACAAUUCGGGGUGAAAAUGGUUUUGGAUGGGAUGAUAACAUGAAAAUGAUCACAUGUGAUAGAGCGACAUAUGAUGUAGCAGUGAUGGUAAUAUAUGCAUAUAUAUUUUAAGUAUAUUUCAAUUGUUUUUUACUUGUUAUUCUAAUUGUGUAUAAUAUCCAACAGGCACACAAGAAGUAUGAACCAUUUUUGAAUAAAAGCAUUGAUCAUUAUGAUGAAAUGACUUUUGUUGUUGGAAAAGAUAUGGCAAUAGGGAGUUUUGCCAAAACAUUUUCUGACAAUGAAGAGACUGAAGAGGUAAGAACAAAAGUAUCUUCAUCUGGCACAUCCAAAUGUAAAAGAAAAAAUGUUCAAUAAAGUGUCGUUGAUGACAAAAUUAAAUUUGUGGGUGAACAACUUGGCAAAAUUGCUAAUGCUUUGGAACAAUUUACUGCGGAUAAGACACCACAUCUUUACGAAGAAGUGAUGCCGAUGGAGGAAGAAGGAUUUGAUGAUGACUUCCUGUGUUUUGUGUUUGAUUAUCUAGAUAGUCAUGAAUCUGAGGCCAAAUCUUUUUUAGUUAAAAGUAAGAAGCAUAAAAAAAAAUUGGCUUCGAAAAUUUUCUCAAGGUUGAAAAUAUUGAUACUUUUAAUAUGGUGUAAUAUUAGUUAUGCACUUGGACAAUCUUGUUGUUAUUUUGUGGUGUACUACUAAUUAUGCAUUUAGAUAAUAUUGUUAAUUUCUAGUAUUAAUUGUGGUUUAAAAGCUAAUUUAUAAUUAUUCAAUCCUUUUUUUUAUUUUUAUAACACAAUUACAAAUAAUUUAUUUGACUUUGGUUGUUUUCAAUUUAUGACGGUUAAUGUUCUAGCUUAAUAAUUGAGUAUUAUUAUAUAUUUAAUUUGAUUUAUUUAUUUAUAAAUAAAUCAUUACAAUAAAUGUAAAAACAAUUUAAAAUAUAAAUUUAUUAAUAUGUAUAUAAAUUUAUUAAUAUAUGUAAAAACAAUUUUUUCAAAAACUAUUUUCAGGAAAUCUGCCAAACAACAAAAAAUAUUUUACACAGAUUCAUCCAAACACCAGAAAAGUAAAUCAUUUUCCAAAAAUCAUUUUCUGAAAAACAUUUUACUGGCAAACAAACAAAGCCUACAAUUCAAACGAGCACAUAUUUAUAAACAUUUCAUAUCAUAUCAAGAAAAAUAUUAAAACCAAUUCAAAACAUACACAUUGUCCCUUAUACGAGCCCUAAAGGCCCUAAAUACACGUUAGAAACAAUUCGGGACUAAAUCGGAAACUCAAAGGAUUUAUUAGAAAACAAGAAAAAUUUUCAAAACUGCAGGGGUCACAUGGCCGUGUGGCCAGGCCGUGUGGGCAUUCGAAGUAGGGACACACGACCAAGUCCCAGCCCAUUUCCGUGCCCGUGUAACUCACUAACUUGGGUCAUAUGGCCAAGCCACACGCCCAUGUGCCAGGCUAUAUACCUUUCGAAAUAACCUCACAUGCCUGUGUGACAGGCCGUGUGCUAGGUCGUGUAACAGUUUGACUUGUAACCCUUUAAAAGUGACAAGGGACACAUGGCAGAGACACACGCCCGUGUCUCUGCCCGUUUGGAUGAAAAUAGACCAUUUUGCAAGCCAUUUUUCUCACCCAACGCAUAUACCUACAACCAAAAUUGCACAUAUACACAAGCCAUAACAAGACAUCAAAAUCAUGCAUAAACAAGUCAUAUACAUAUGGUAUAAUAUCAUACAAUCAAUAUGCCCUUAGGCACCUCAAAUGAUAAUAUGUAAACAUAUCUAACUAUGUACUCUAUUUGGCCAAAAUGAUCAACUAACUUCCAAUUAGAUUUGCCUUAAUGCAUACCAUAAAAUCUACUUACUAAAACAUACUAAAUGGUACUAAACAUGCAAUUCAACUACUAAGUACCAAUACACAACAUUUCCAACAAGUUACAAACCGUAUAUAAUAUGCAUAUUCAACCCAUAAUUUCAUCUUCCACAAUUCAAGCAUAUCAAGCCAAACAUCAUCCAUAUAAGGCUAAUAUUUACAUGCCAAAACUAAAUUCAUUUGAACACCAAAAUACCAUAACUCAAGCCAAACUAAAUGACCAUUUCAACAUUCAAAACACAUGGCCAACAUUAGCCAAAAUACCUAUACAUGUCUAUAACCAAAAUUAAACUUCCAAAAGUACCGAUAGAGCCGGUGGAUAGUGUGAUAUAGCUCCAACAAGUUUCCAACCCGUACGAGCUUCUGAUUCACUAUAAAACACGAAAAAUAACAUAGAGUAAGCAUAAAAGCUUAAUAAGUUCAUAUAACAUAAAACAUAACUUACCAUUUCAAUACAUAAUAGGUAAGAUAACAUAGCAUAAUCCAACUACACUUGGCCAAAGCCUAAACAUGUACACUAAACAUGUUAGCCAUUUGAUCAUAUAACAUAGGCUAUGCAAUCAAGACAUAUAAUUAUAUCUCAUAGACAUGUAUCAUCCAUUUCAAUUCUCAAUAUGCCAUGUAGUACUAAUUCAAUGUAAUUAACAUAUGUCCCUGUAUUAGUUCAUAUCAAACUCUCACCAUGCUGUAUUAGAGUAGUGCCCAUUGAACCAUUUAGAAUACCGUGGGAUACCCGAGAUAACUCACACAUAGUGUGCUAAAUCAUAUAACUAUAAUCCGUCAAAUCCUGUACAUGUAUGCUCACACGAGCUGUGAAUUAGAAUGGUCACACGAGCUGUGAAAAUAGGUCUGCUCACACGAGCUAUGGGUGGAAUGUAGCUACACGAUCCUGAACACACGAGUUGUGGAGUAUCCGCAACACAUUCCAAACCUCAGCCAUCAGUAAGACAUUCAGAACCAACACCCGAAUCAUGUAAACCCUAAUGACAUGUCAUUUGUAUCCUACGAAUUCCUAAGGUUCAAACAGGACUCGGUAAUUUUCGUACUUCAUUGGAUAUGCAACCGUGUAUACAUGUAGCAAAUUUAGAAUUCAUGCAUAUUUCAAAAUAAAACAUAUAAUCACAAUUUAAUCACACGAACUUACCUCGACGAGUAUACGUAGAUACGAAGACGACUAGUUCGAGACUUUAUCUUUACCCCGAUCUAAAGCCGUACGAGGUCUGUCUUGAUCUAUACGGAUAAAUUUAGCUCAAUUCAAUAUGAAUUUUAUUCAAUUUAACCCAAAAUAAUAUUUUGGAAAAUUAUCAUUUUCCCCUAUACUUUUAAUUUCUUUACAAUUUAGUCCCUAUAUCAUAAAAGUGGAAAUUUAUGCAAUUUCACCACAACCCACUAUAUCUAAAGAUCUAUUAGGUCCCUAGCAAACCUUAUAUUUCAUUUAAUUCACAAUUUCACCAUGUGAAAUUUUUUAUUUUUCAAUUUAAUCCUUAUUUGACAAUUUCACUAAAAAUCACUUAACAAAAGUUGUUUAUCUAACAACAACUAUCCAUUUUUUUAUCAUCAAACAUCAAAAACAACCUCUAUUAAUUCAUGGAAAAACUCUAAUCUUUUAACAGUUUUACAAAUUAGUCCUCGAGCUAGCUAUAUUAAGUUACAACGAUCCCGAAAACAUAGAAAUUAUUAAAAACGAUACAAAAAUGCAUACGUAAUCAAGCAAACAAGGUGGCCAAACCCUAGCUCAAGAAUG
RNAcentral lists this long non-coding RNA (104910 nucleotides) under Gossypium barbadense (sea-island cotton). RNAcentral describes it as "long non-coding RNA (GBAR_LNC020765)". The record is from RNAcentral. Lineage: Eukaryota; Viridiplantae; Streptophyta; Magnoliopsida; Malvales; Malvaceae.